UGUCUGGGCAUGAGAGACUUGAACAAGAUCCGGAAGGUGAAGGUGAAGCAGCAGCCAUAUUUUUCCCUCUAAAGGUAGGCAUGAAGCUCUAGGGCAAUGGCGAGUCACAUAUGUUAAUGUUAAUCUGCUAUCUCACCUGGUGGAUUAUAGUUUCUCCAGCAACCACAAGAUCCUCCUUUGACUUCUCAGAGUCCUGAGACAGAUAUAGAUACAACACCAUGGUAAAGUAUGUUGACUUUACCAUAAAGGUAUCUGAUCAUUGAGGCUGAAGGUGAUGACCACAUCACCAAUUUGUCUUUUCCUUGUUCUCUUCUACUUCAUGUCCUGCUUUCCUUCCUUACUGCUGGCUCAGGCCCAGAGCAAGUUCAUGCCUAGUACUAGUCAUGGAAACCAUAAGUUCUAGCCCCACAAUGAAUCCUUAUUUUAUAUUACUCAAGGGGGUUUUGCUUCUCUAAUUAAUCCUUGCUCGAUAUACCUAUACUUAUCCUAAAUGAAUUCUAGCAUCCCUUUCAAAACAGUGGCUUGGACUUCAGAUGUUACUUAUAAUGUCUUGGGAACCACCAACCCUAGUUGGGGAAGGUGUGAAGUACCAUUCCUGUAAUUUAUCUGGUACAUAAAUUGAACAUGCAAACUUGAGCUUGUUUUAUGUAACUCAAGUAUAUUAUCCACAGAAGGGGAGUAGCUAAGGCUUACAGGGCAAAAACAGUCCUUAGUCAUCAAAGAGUUUGAUUAGAGAGGGCAAGCAUGUGCACACAGGUGCAGAUAUAAAUGGACUGAUUAAACACCCGAGGACAUAAAAGAGGUGAAAAAAAAUGAGGGUAGGGUGGAGUAAAUAAAGGUAAACACAAAUUAUGUGUAUAAUAAAUGUUUGUUGAAUGAAGAAAACAUGAGAGGUAUUUUGACAUUUUAAAUAAAAACAAAUAUAAUAAUAUCAAACAAGAACAUAAAAUUAUUUUUAAUUUCCAUUUUUUAUAAUAGCACAAUGUAACUAUUUUCAUUUUCAGAUAGUAUUCCUUUCUUGUUUUUUUUUUUUUUUGAGGGGAGGAUGUAUUGGGGAUUGAACCCAGGGAUGCGUUACCACUGAGUUACAUCCCCAUCCUUUUAAUUUUUUUAUUUUGAGACAAGGUCUCACUAAGUUGUAAGUCUGGCCUUGAGCUUGAGAUCCUCCUGCCUCGGCCUCCCAAGUUGAUGAGAUUACAGGCAUGUGACACUGUGCCCACUCAAAUGGUAUUCUUCAUAUUCAUAUCCACUUGUUAUAUAGUUGGAAUCACAGUGCAGCACCAUUUUGUAUUUUCUUAUUUUCCCUAUAUUUUUUCAUUGACCUGGAUCUCCAGAGGGGCUAAUAACUACACUUAAGCAGAUUUUAAAACUCUAUUAAAAAUGUGUUAUGUUUUUAACUUUAGCUCCUGCUUGGAAUGUUGAGUUCUGAGAGGCACCUGAGCUGUUUUGGGAACGGGUGUGACAAAUGAUAUCUCUGGGAGAGUGUAACCAAGGUGAGUCGUCAGAAAUGAGCACUGUUGCCAAGGGAACUGCUGGACAAACAUUUAGGGUAUAAACUUUGCUAUUGCAUUUAAAGAUCUUGCCACACUUGUUGCCGACUGGACUUGAAAUCUGAACAGCUCCAGUGAAGACAGAAAUGUCCUAAAGGUGACAGACAUGGUCUGGCAGAGGGCAUUGUCAGGGACAACAGCACAGCUUCCAGAUGCCAGAGGGAAGAGAAGGAAGCUAUUCACACCCAAUGACCAAGAAGAGCAUGGAAUUCUGGGGUCUGUGACUUUGAAUGAGAAUUAACUUACCACUAGGAAAGAGCAUUCCUGUGGCGAUGCCAAGCUGUCUCUCUACCUGGUACAAGUGUUUUGUAAAGGCUGGUUGGGUCCAGCUUACUACAUACAUGUUUUAAGCACAAGAACACAAUUAAAAUGAAAUAUUACAUCAAAUUCCAGGGCUCUCUGUUGAUAAAAAUGGAGCUGGUUUGGUUGGUUCUGGAUGAGGUGACAGAAUUUUAUGUGGUUGGCCUUCACCUCACUCAUACCCUCAUUUCUACUUUACUUGUACCGCAGUCUCUGAGGCUCAUGCAGUUAUCAGAAAAAUAGCUUGAAAAAUGUUAGUUUAGAACCACUUGAGUUUACACAUAGGUCUUAGGAGGAAAUCUGAACAUUUAAUUUUGAAUCAGAUACUCUGCUUUUUUUUUCUUCCUUAAUCUCUUGGUAAUAAUAACAAUAUUAUAAUAGCAAAAUCUUCCAUCACUUCUCCAGUGUGCCAGCUCUGUUCCAAGCACUUUACAUUUGUACUUUUGAACAACCAUAUGUGGGAUAAGUACCAUAAUUCAGUGACACUAAAAUAUAUUUUCUUUCACCCUUUAGUUUUUGUGAAAAUGGAAUGAGUUUUACUUUUGAUGGUGUGUCAUAGUUUAAUUGGCAGCAUUCUAAAAUUUCUUCAUGGAACGUAAAAUAAUGGUAUGUUUGACAAUAGAGAACAGCUUAGAUUUCAUGAAAUACCAUAUAAAUAUCCCCAUUUUACAAAUGAAGACCUAAAGUUCAGAGAGGUUAAGUAACCUGUCUAAUAUCACAAACCUGGCACCCUCACUCAAGACUCCAUGCUCUCAGUGACUUUGUGUGCUACUGGCAUUUGGCCUGUCCUUUCUCCUGUCUCUCUUGGCACUGUCACUGAGGAGUAUGCCCUUAGUCUUAGAGGCCACCUGCAGUUUUGAUACUGAAUUUCUUCCACUGAGUGGAGGACCUUUACCAGGCAGAUACCCCUGGCAGGCUCAACAUGUCCGGCAUUUUUCAUUCAGUCAUUAACAUAACUGGAAUUUGCUUACUAUGUUGAUUUUCCAAUAUAAUUGGCUUUCCAAGUGAAACCAAAUCCUAAAGCAGUACCUUGGAGAACAAGGACUUGGUAACAUGGUAAGGGGAAAGACUGGGAAGAUGAGUGGUUUGCUAGAACUGACUCAACUGGCUUGCAAAAGCUCUUGCCAGUGGGUUGUUAAUCAUUCCACUAAGGAAAUUGACCAUGGUGGAGCCAUCUACAUCACAGAAAUCAGCAAAAGCUAUGGAUCAGGGCUUUUCUGUUUGUGUGUUUAUUUUUUUCUUGUCAGAGAGUGGCUUUAGGAGCACAUCACUAGAUACAUGCUAAAUUAUCAGAUUCCAGCAGGAAACCCUCAGCAGGUAGAGUGAGCAUGGGAAACUGAGCAGACACUGAAGUUUCAAGAUAACCUCAAUGUCAAAUAAUUCUAUUAUGUUAGAUUGUGUGUGUGUAUCGUAAUUCAAUUUAUGAUAUCUUGAUGUCUAUAUAGGUAGAAGAACUUUAAUACAUAUGCUACCCAUAUAUAUUGUAGAGAAAUACAAAUUAGCCAAGGAGAGAGCACUGUCUGCUCUUUAUUUUGUCCUCCUUAUUGACAGAAGAGAUUAGUGAGCUGUUUGCCAAGGACAGAGUGGCCAAUGGCGUUUCCAAAAUCAUCCAAGAAGUGUAGCUCGGGAACAAUAACUGAGAUCGGAGGGUGGUGAUGGAAGUGUAGGAAGUGAUCAAUAAAAGUUCGUUGUUGAAUCUAGCAAUCACAUAAGGGUUCUGGUACAGUCACAUCUCUUCCACAUGAAUUAUUUAGUUAUUUUUCUCCUUGGCAAUUCUCAGAAAAACCCACAAAACAAAACAGCUCUCCAUGCGCUUAUCAUGCAGAGGAGGAAGGAAGUGAGCUGUGGCAUAGAGUGUGCCUCACCCUCUUCUGCCUGGAGAGAGAAGACUCCAGGGAAUGAAGUAGAUUGCAGCAAAGUUAAAACGAAAGCCAAAGCUGGCCGACCUUGCUGGCAUUUGGCAGAAAGGAAAAGACCACGGAAGCAGCUGGACUUUGAGAGAAAGUUCUUGGGGCCAGGAAAGGGAAGGGAAUGAAGAUCCCCAAACAGGAGCUCUCUGGCCAUUUGGGGGCCACAGGAGGACAAUGGUGAGGAGUGGAGUUGGAGGAACAAAAGAAGGGACAGUGACCCUGGGACUGACUGGGUUGGGGAUGGCGUAUCCUGCCUAGACCCUUUUUAACCUGGGGAGUUCAUCCUAUUCCUGAGAUCAAGCUGCUUUGCCUGUUGCAGAGAUCUGGCACGUUUCCCACUUUCAAAUUGGGCCGUUUUAGGAAGGAGUAGCUUGGUGGUUCCCCUCUCUUUAGAGCUGCCAAGAAUCCAGCUUAAAGAAAAGGUAUCUUUUUGGAUUUUAGGAUAGAGAUUUUAGCAGCCAGUUUCUUGGCUCACUCAGAGGGAGGCUAUGGGCUUCAUUAGGUAUGAUGUAAAGGCCAGAUAGCAUCUUCUGGAAUGGCUUUCCUUGAUAUCUGCCCUCACAGAAAAGGGCUGCUCACAAUUUAUUAGCAAAUUUGGCUCUCAUUAAUAAUUCUUUGAACUAGCAGAGCAAUCCUAGCUGAUUGAAAAUAAUUAUCAACCUCUCCAGAUGAUUAAACAGCACAUUUAGAUUUUCAUUUAUAUCAUCAUUUUGAUUGAAUGAUGUGUGUGUGUGUGUGUGUGCAGGGAUUAUGUAUUAAGAAGGUAUCUCAAAAGUAAUAUAAAUACUGAAGAAAAAGAGAUACACCUUGUUCAGUAUCACAGGAAAACCAAGAAAUCUAAGACAGGUUAGCACAAGAUCAAAAUUGGGACCCAAAAUAAAUUAAGAAAGACAGACUGUGACAGAGAUAAAGUUGCAUGGGACAUAAGUGAUAAACAUGCAGAAAAAUACUUAUGGCGUUCUAAGCAUAGCAUCAGAGGAUUGAAAAUUCUGGUCAGUAUCAACAAACAAGCAGUGUAAUUAAUCUGGAACAGAAGAAUACCACAGAUGUUGAAAAUUAUUUUUUUUCUACUGACUCAGUCUCCUGCGUAUUUACAAAUUGAAGGUUGUAGAUUAAUAACCCCUGAGAUUUACGCCCAGCCGGCCCGGUUCCAGGAUUGCGUUUGCACUCAGUGACAUCCUUUUGGAUUCAAACUAUUUCCUCUAAUCAGAUUAUAAGAAAAAGUAAAGACUAAACCUGCUUUGUCUCACAUUUAUUCUCCCAAGUGUAUUCGGGUAAGGAUUCACUCAACAAGAAUAACAAACAAAGAUUCCCACCAAAAACUGCGGCAUUUCAGAAAAGUGGUGCAAGCUGCUAUUCUUUGCUAAUAUCACUUAGUUUGGUGCAGCCUCCUUCAUAACACAAUAAUGGUGAGUUGCUUCCACCUGGUUCAUUUGAAUUCUGGUUUUGCUGCAUGUCCCCAUCUGGAUUAGCUCAACAAACUAAAUGCUAGAGAAAAGAUUAUGCAAACAUGGAAGUUUAUAAAACCCUGCGGACUUUUCAUUUCACAACCUCAAGGAGUAGGCAAAUGUUUUCAUGGAGAGGUAAACUAAGUCACCAAGCUGUUCUGCUGGUGGCUAAAGGUCUCCUAGCUGGUCAGAGGCAAAACAAACAGUAGGAUCUUGGCCAGAAUUAAAAAUUCUGUGGGUUUGUUAGAGCGAUGCCCUCUUUCAGACUGGCUUUGUUCUUCCUUUCUCUCUUGUUUUUUAACUUGUAGUACUUGUUAAACAUGAAAUUUUUUUGAAAGGGUGGAACUUGGAACUCCAAGUGAACUUUGAUCGCGAAUAGUGAUUCCUGAGUUUUCCAGGUGGUUAAAAGAGCGGCAGAAUCGUGGCGUAUCCUGCCUAGACCCUUUUUAACCUGGGGAGUUCAUCCUAUUCCUUGAGUUUGAAACACCAAAUCUCAUGGUGUUUCAAACCAGAAACAAAUAUAUCUGCCAUCCAACUCUGAAAUCAGAUAUACUUUGCCAUUUUAUGAGUUCCUAGCUAGAUAAGGUCUUAUAUUCCUUUGCGAAUCAGUUUGAUCUAGAGCAAAAUCCUUAGUUCUCAUUCUGUAAAAAAAGGCUAGCAAAUUAAAAUGUGGUGAGAAUGUACUAAAAGGGAAAAUACCCUCACAUCUGAAAAUUAUAUAUUUAAAAUUUAAAUGAGAUUAUAACUUAGAAAUGUGUUUUUCUCCACAAUUACUUUUAAGGUGCAAAAGGUGUUGUGAGCUAAGUGUGGUGGGAGGCUGAGCCAGGAGAAUUGCAAAUUUGAGGCCAGUUUCAGCCUGCCUCAAAAUAAAAAUUAAAAAGGGCUAGGAAUGUAGCUCAGUGGUAGAGAACCCUGGGUUAAAUUCCAUAUUCCCCCAUAUCCCUUCCCCCCAAAAAGAAUAUUUUGAGACCCUGAGAAAUCAUCUGUUCACUUAGUAACCAGAAUAAUAGAAUUAGAAACAGGAUCCAGUGUGUAAAGCAAUACUUAGUCUCUGUUCAAUAAAAAAUACAUUUGGUUUUUUAAUGUAAACUAUCCCUUUCCUCAUUACCUGUCUAUCUGCUCUUAAUAAUUCCCAUCCCCAUUUAUCCUUCCCAAGUCACUAGGUUAAGAGAAUAUUAGUGAUUAUCUCUAACAAAUCCACUUAGGCUGUUUACGUAACAAUAAGAAAAUGUUUUGAAAGGGAAUUGACUGUUGCACUGGGGGUGGGCAUUCAUUUCUUCGUGUAAGAACCAGUUCUUCUUUACAGAACAUUUCAUCAAAAUGUUCAUUUCAGACUGUAGGUUCAGCUUGGUUGAAGGCUGUUUUCCACAUAAAAGCCCGCCAUUGGAUAAGAACUGGCCUCGCCCAGGGUGUGCUACAACUGUCUUAUCUCUUGACACAUUUUCUAACUUCUUUAAAUGAAAGAAGGAAACCAAAACAAAAAUUGGGGUUAACAAUAUGGUAAAGAAGAUAGGACCUCAGCUUGAACAAGGGACACAUUCUCGUGAAAAUGACUGGUAAUGUGUAGAGGCAGAAGGACCCUGUACUUAUUCUGCAGGUGUGGGAAUUGAGAACCACACAGAGCGCACACUGACUUGUUUUCUAAAAACACUUGAUCUAUGGUCAAAGAGUUGACUGAAACAUUCGAAGACAGUUUUUUUUUAAAAAGAUAUUCCAGAAAAAAACAAUAAUCCAAUAUUCUUUUAUCCCAAAAUUCAGUAGUUCAUAUUGCCUGGCAGCCUUCCUGUAUUUCUCUCACAUUUUUCCUGCUGGCUUGUUCAGGACAGGUGUACUUUUUGGCACACUGCCUUAGGCAAAUGUUCCAAGAGAGGACCUGGUCAAAGGGGACUGUACUUCCAGCUGGGGAUAAACCACUGUGGCUGCCAGAAUAAGCCUGGGUACACCCAACAGUCAGAAUUCUAACCAGGACAUACUUUCUGGCUCAUGGUGUCCCACACUGUCUGAGGGACAGUGGGGCGUGCUUUUUUGUUUUGAUCAGAUUCUUUUAUAGGAGUCUAAACUUGUCUCUUGCUCUUCCAAAAAAUCCACAAGAUCAUCCUCUUUCUCUUUUCUCUUUUUCAGAAUCUUAAUUUUUAGUCAUUUUAAAGUUGUUCUUUUGCAACUCUCUGCCCCAUGCCUAUCUUUACCCUAGUCCCUAAUCCCAUUUAAGCCAAGUGCUGAGUUCCCUUUCCUUUUUAAUUUUCUCCCUUUAGCUUUUUGGGAUGUCUUGGGAAAUUUACUCUUUUUACCAAAUGCAAAUUUGGGAUAUGUGAAAAUUAACAUCUUCAGUUUCUAUGAGACUUUUUUUUCCAGUUCCAUAUUUAUUUAUGCUUUUAUGAGUGCAUUGUAGUUAUGCAUAAUAGUGGGAUUCGUUUUGACAUAAUCAUACAUGCAUGGAAUUUAACUUGCUCCAUUUCAGUCCCUGGUGUCCCUCCUUCCACCCUCCCUCUUUUCCCCUUGCUCCACUCUGCUUGUCUUUCUUUCAUUCAUUUAUUUAUUUAUAGACAAAUAAGUAAAUUGGUGUUUUAUAGAUGCAUAUGAAGAUGGGAUUCACUGUGGCAUAUUUAAACAUGCACAUAGCAUGAUUUCAAUCUGCAUUUUUUCCCUUUGUCUUUCCUCCUUCCUCUCCUUCUACUCCACUGAUCUUCCCUAUCUUUAUGAUAUCUGACCCCCACUUUUUCCCUCUUACUCUGUUUUAGCUUGUUCUUAUAAUAGAGAACAUUCGACCCUUGAUUGUUUGAGUCUGACUCAUUUCACUUGGGAUGAUAUUCUUCUGUUCUAUUCAGUUGUCAGCAAAUGCCAUUAUUUCAUUUUUUAAAAAUGACUGAAUAAAAAUCCAUUGUGUACAUAUACUAUAUUUUCUUAAUCCAUUCUUCUAUUGAUGGACACCUGGGCUGUUUCUGUAGCUUGGCUCUUGUGAGUUGCACUGCAACAAACAUUGCUGGGGCUGCUGUAUCACUAGAGUAUGCUGACUUCUUUUACUUUUACUUUUUUUUUUUUUUUGAGCUUACUAAACUUUUGAGAGUGUCUUCACAUCUCAUUAAUUCCUCAACCCAUUACAGUCUGGCUUCCACAAACACCACUCAAUUAAAAACCCUCUCUCGCCAGCAUCCUCUCAAUUGGCCCACUCAGUGGUCCUACUUUCCCUUGUCAUCCUACUUGACAUUUAUGCAACAUUGGACAUGGUUGACCAGCUUCUCCUUAUUGAAACUCUUUCCUUUCUCAGCCUCUUUUAUUUCACCGGCUCCUGCAUCUCUGAGCUUCCUUCAUGGGCUUCCUUUGCUGGUUCCUCCUGCCCUUUGAUGUUGUUUAUUAGGGGAUCUGUUUAUGGGCUGCUCAUGUUGCCUUCUCCUGCUCUAUUCGAAUUUCUUCAUUCAUUCCAUAUGCAUUGAUGAAGCUCUCUGCCUCGUGACUUCUCAGCUGAACCCUAAUUCUUAUUUCCUAGAGCUUUUAGAAUAUUUUCUCUUGUUAAAAAAAACAGGCUGCAUUAUUAUUAUUACCAUUAUUUGUGGUGAUCAUUAUUAAAUUCUCCGUGCAUUUUCACAUUUUUUUUUUUGUUUGUUUACUGUGUCCUUCCUACCACCACCCUGGCUUGGAGCAUGCUUGCCUUUUAUUCAAGAACGGCUCUUCUAGAUGUUUUCUGCCACCUUUACGAAGAGUUAGUUGUUAUUUCCUUUUUACUUUUGAAGCAUUUUGAUAAUGACUGAUAUUAAUGGAAUUCUGACGUGCCAAUGGCUGAUCUAAGUUCUUCAUAUGGAUUAUCUUAUUCAGCCUGCACAGUAGCUCAGGAGUUCUUAUCAUCUACUGAUUUUGGAGGAAGAACCUAAGACUCCACAUAAUAAUUUGCUCAAGGUCUUACAAUAAAGUUUCAAACCCAGGCAGUCUGAGUCCAGAGUCCAUGCUAUAAAUCAUAAUGAUCUUAUGCCACCUUUCCAAAUAAUAGUAGCUAACUUUUACUGACUGCUUACUUUGUGUGUAGAUUUUCUCUGUGUUUGGCCCCUAGGAAACUCUUAGGAAAUCCUAUAAUCAUAAUACCUAUUUUAUGAAUGAGAAAAUUGAGGCAUGGAUAGUUUAAGUAACUUGCUCAGAACUGCAGAGCCCACAAAGUAGCCAAGUUGGAAUGUGCUUUGUGUUAUUUACACAAAUUACAGAGAUUCCCAAAUUGCUCUGUAAUUAACCACUUAGGUGCCUUCAUCUUUUGCUCUUCUUGUGGGCCCAGGUGAUGUCAUUUUCAACUUUUUAAGCCCUUUUAUCUUGUCAUAGAAUGCAAGUUUCAUAAAUGUGGAGGGAAGAGAGACUAUAGCAUUUUGGCUACUAUUAUCUUUGGGUCUUUUUUCUAGGACAACUGAUAGGCACCCAAUUAUAUAUGUUUUCUAUAGCAAAUCAUUUUUUUGUUUGUAGCAUUAUGAAGCAAAACAUGAAAAUGCUACUUCUACAAACUUUCUUUUAAGUAAAAAUAGUUUCACCUCCCAAAGGUAAAAUAAUUGCUGUCCAGACUGUCUGUAUUUGCUACUCUCUCUCUUUAGCAGUUUUUGGCUGUUUUGUCCAGAUGGAAAGUUUAGUUGAAGAACCUUAAUUUGUUUGGAGACCAUAUUUCACAAAAUAUAUGCCUAUAACAAAUUGCAGUCACAUCAUAGCUUGAAAGAGGACAUUUUAGGUUGAGUGCAACUACAUCUGCCCAUUUUUCCUUCCCUCCUGCCCUUCUUCCUUUCCUUCUUACUUUCCCUAAUAUCUAGGUUUCACCGUGUGUUGAUGUUGUCACAGAAGAUCUAAUAUGUACUCUGUUUCCAAAAUUAUAAUCUCUAUCUCUUCACUUCAUUUCAAACAGGUUGGUUUUGUAGUUUUUAAGCCAUAAAAUGCAGUGCUUUGCCUCAAUAAAGUACAAUGUAUCUAGUCAUUUUUCUUAUCGUUUUGUUUAUAGAAUCACAAAAAUAAUGCAAUAUUUUGCAGAAAAGAUCCAAAAUACGUGAUUAUAUUCAGUAAAAUUUGAAGUCUCUCUUUGCCAAUGUGUCCAAUUCUAUUUCUCAACUUGCUUUCCUUGCAACAUUUUUUCCUAUACAUUAUAAACACAAAUGUGCCCACACACAUAUUGAGUUUUAAAAUAUCAUAAAUUAAAAUUACAUUACACAAUCUUUCUUCAGUAUAUUUCUCCUACCACAGUAUAUCUUUCUGUGUCUGUAUUAAUAAAUCUACUUAAUUAUUUUUAAUGGUUACAUGACAUUCCUUGUGAAUUUACACUGUAUAACCAACACUUUAUAAACCAAUUCCAUUCAGAGAACGUGUGUAUUGGUUUCCACGAUGGUAAACGCGCACCUAUCUUUGUGCUCAUGCAAGCUUUCUGUAGCUGAAUUCCUAGAAUUCACAUUGCUCCUUUAGGGAGUGCAGAUUCUGAUAGACUUUCCCUGUUGACAGUCCCCACCAACCCCACCUUUCACAUGCCCAUCCUCACAUGAGGCCUUUCUAUAGGGAAUCUGAGCUAUCCAUCUUUACAAUUUUAAUAAACAUAGCUAAAUUUAUAUAUUUCAAUCAACAUUGAGGAUGAAUCUGAAUCUAUAACUGCCCCCUGCCCUCCAAACACUGCUAGAUUGGUAGCAUGCCCGUACUUUUCUCUCUCCUCUUCUACUUUCUUUAAUUAAUUCUAUCAUUUGAAAUUGUCUUGGUUAUUACGCAUCUUUAAAACCCAUUUCCCUGUUUCUUGUAUCUCAUUUCUUAAUAAUUACAUUGAGCUUUAUGCCUACAUUAUACCAAACAAUUUAGAUUAAACUGUUUCACCUAUCCUUUUGUGUUAUGACAUUCCUUUUUAAAAUAUUUUUAAAUAAAAUUUUUAAAUUUUUUCUAUCUACAAAGAGAUGCCUAGGUGGUCAGGUUUAUAAAUCAUUGCAUAUAAAACAAUGUUCUUAUUUUUUAUUGGUUCUAGAUUAUUAUUUUAUUUUAUUACAGAAUUCCAGGUUUGAGAUAACUUUUUCUUAGUUUUUUUUUUGAGAGCAUUUCUCUAUUAUUCUUGGGUACUGAGUCUUGUUGAUAUAAAAUAUGAUGGCAAACUGGCUUUUGUUCUUUUAGGUCGAGAAUUUUUUUUUUUCUCCUUAGAAGAUUUGAUUUUUCUCUCUGCCCUUGGACUUUUAAUAAUAUCACCAAGAUUUAUAUGUGUCUUUUGUUUGUUUGCUUUUAAAAUUCUCUGACUUAGCAAUUUGUCAGCUACUUUCAGAAAAAAAAAUUCAGAUUCUCAUAGCAAUGAAAUUCUGAAUUUUCUUUUACUAUUUUUUCUUGCUUGGUUCAAUGAGAAAAACCAAGACAAAAAACAGCAAAGGAGAAAUAAAAUGUGUAUGUCCAUGAUUUUUUAAAAAAAUCUUCUCAAUAGCUGUAUUAUUUGAUUAUAGCUUAUCAUGACUAAUCAUUGUAUUUUUUGCUACUGAAUAGACUUGCAUAUCUAGAAAUAAUAUAUGCUUCCAUUCUUUCUGGUCAUAUAGGCUAUUUAGUUACUUACAGUCAGGCAUAAGAAAUUUUUUAGAUUAUAGAAUUUAGAUCAUAGAAUUUCUGUAUUCCUGAGGGAGCAAAAUCUGCUUUCUGUGCCCCAAAGCCUAUAUUCUCACUCAUUUUCUUGAAAAUUGGAGAUGAACUUGUCUGGAAUAACAAUUUGACCCCAUUCAUUAUAAAAUCAUUUUCAACAGUUUAUUGAGUGCAUUUAGAUUACAUAUUUAGAUUGCAUGAGUUUCUGAGAAAUAUAUUAAUAGUAUACAAAAUUAUAACAUGCAAAAUAUCAACAAAAAAUCCCAAGCCUCAAAAAAUAGCUUAAAUGUGUUAUAGGAAAAAAUUGUGGAUCUGACUAUCUGUGGACUAAUCUUUAUUUAACACUUCUCUGUGCCAGGCUCCUCUACUGUUUUCUAUAAGCAUGGCUUCGUUUAAUCUUGACAAUAGUUGUGUAAGGCAACUGUUAUUACCCUAUUUUACAUAGGAGGAAAAUAAAGUUGAAAAAUAAGUUAGCAAACAAUGAAGUCAGGAUUUGAAUCCAAGCUUCUCGUUUCCUCAAGAGUGCUUACUUAUGGUGCAUGGUGGUGUGAAAAUUGUUCAGGAUCUUGAUCUCUGCAUCUUCAAUCAGAGAAGACAUCCUACAGGUGGUGUCUCCCAAAGGAACCUCUGGCUAGGAAGAGCAAAGCAUUCCAGAAGAGGAUAAUUUUUAUAAUGGCAGAACAGUUGAAGAAUGUAGCCCCACUGGGGAGAACUGUAGGUUGUUGUGUAUGGGUAUAAGAUCUCUCCAUGAGCUAUCUAUUCUUCUGAGGCAUGGUUGUUUUAGUACUUUGGGUUUUAUGAAAUUUUUUUUUGUACACAAUUGCUCAGUGAUACACAUCAGAGCAGAUGAAGAUUUGAUAAUUUCACCUAUACAGAGAUAGCCUUAAGAUGUGAUUUCAUCUAUUUAGAAUGGACUGAAAUGACUAUGGAUUUCAGGUGAAAUUGUCACAAAAAUACUAUGUGGUCCAAUAAUAUUUACUCAUCAAAAUAAUGGUAAAGUUGAGGUUAGAGUUUGAGGUUACAAUUGACAGUACAGUUCAGGACAGCAGUUUAUCAGAUCUGCAUGGUUCUGGCCCAUGAGGAUUCCAAACAGGCCAACUACUCAGGAGUAGCCCGCAACAAGAGGAUGAGAAAGAAUGAAUGCCAGAGAAAAAUUUUGAAAAGUACUGAAGAGUACUUUUGAUUUUAAGCUUUCAGAGCAUUUCUAUGCACAUAAAUCAAUCAAGAGCCCAUUGAAUAGUUAAGAAAAUGCUUUUCACGGAGCUGUUUAAAAUUUAACAGGUGUCAAAGAAAUUCCACCAAAGAAACUAAAGUGCAUUUCCAGUGUGUUUUAUGUUCAGAGUUAUUGCCUGACACAAGGACAGAAUGUGAGACCAAGUAUCUGCAUCCAGGGAAUGAUGAUUGAAUUCGAACUCUGAGUUAGAUUGCAUCAUGGUCCAGAAAUAUCCUGGAUCAUUAAAUUAAUUAAUUCACAGAUACACUAAUUUCUAAAGAUUUUACUCCCAUAUAGCAUAAUGAAAGCUUGGGGUAAUAGGUUGUAUUGUGAUCUUAGGUCAACCUACCACCCGUGGCUCUAUGUGUUUAUCUGUGGGAGCCAAUGCUGAGUGUGUCUGGUGAAAUUCCUUCGUAAUUUGAACCCUUCUCUAUUGAAGUGAUCUCUGACCACUUUAAGGCUCUGGUAUCCCUUCAAAAACAAAGGCUUUAUCUCUUCAGAUCUCACCCUGAAUUCCAUUUGCCUCUGAAUUCCAAUCAAAGGCAACAGAAUAAUUCAAUUCCCUUUGAAAUUUUUGAUGCAAUCUGAUGUUGACGUGGAUCUCAAGAGUAGUCUAGUGAAAAGCAUGUUCUCCUGCUGGAUCAUUGCCCACAUUGUUUUUUUGUAUGUGAUUCAAAGCUGUUUAGAACAAGGUUUUUCUCAAGUCCCUUAUACUGUCACAGCUUGGAUAAAUUCACUUUGGUGGAAAAACAUCUUGAUCUAUCAAGCUUGGGUCAUCAACUUCAUGAAUUUAGAAAACAUGAGGGUGUGCAGAGAAAAGUGCUGUGAUUAAUCCUUGAUGUGAUAAAAAGAAAAAUGUAAUUAGAAACAAAGCUAUUGUUCAAGAGAUGGGCUGAACUUCUAGGGACUGACUUCUAAUCCUGAGACAGGCUUGCCCAUGGGACUUGUGAUUUUUGUGCAACAUCAAAGAAGGAAUGGAGGAUGUAGAGAUGAACUUACAAGUCACAACAUGUUUCCUGGGGCAUGAAUAGUCUUUCUACUCUGGCCCCAGAUUUUAUCCUUCAAUGGCCUUCUAUCACACCAAUUCUCUGAACCUCUCAUAUGGGCAAUUAAUCUAUUUAUUCUUUUGUUUUGUCCUCGGAUUGCUCAUGUAUUAUCUGCCUCCACAACCAGAUUGAAAGGUCCCAGAGAUCAAGGGCCAUGUUUUUCACUGCUGGUGUGGUGACAGCAGUAUCUAAUGGUGUGUGGAGUUCACGGGAGACUUCCCUCAAACCUUAAAAAGUGGCAUCAAAUUGAGUAAGUAGCCUCAGGAAUCUUGACCCAGGGCCAGCACAGAAUCCACAAAAUGUACUUGUCCUCACCACUUCCCAUCUACUUCCCAUCUUGUUCCUCCACUCUCCUGCCCCAACAACCCCGCAUGCUCUCCUCACAAGGCAUCUUCACUUUGGAAAACAUUGCUACUUUUUUCAUCUAUGGUCGUUUUCUUCUGCUCAAAUGCCAAAUUUAGGCAUAUGGCAUUAAGUCUUUUUUUUUUUUUUCAAGCCAAUAGUUAACAGGCUAAUAGUUAACAAGUAUAUAUGAACAAGUUAAUAAUUAACAAGUAAAAUACAUUAUAACUAUGUGGUUGCCUAGACUCAACACAGGAUUUCCUAACAUGUGUAUGCUUACAGGCUUCAUAAGUGGAUUUUCAAUAUAUCAUUACGGUUUUUAUUGAGCAUGGCGAUCUCAUCAUUUUUGUUGGAGUUCAUUCUUGCUUCCAAAGUCCAAGCCAUUUCUUUCUUUCCCCCUUAUUUUCUCAUAAAAAUGUGUAUCACUUAUGAUUCUAAAAUUAAUAAGUAGUUAUUAUAAAGACUUGAGAAAGGCCUGGGGUUGUGACUUGGUGGUAGAACACUUGCCUGGCAUGCGUGAGGCACUGGGUUCGAUUCUCAGCACCACAUAAAUAAAUGAAUAAAGUUAUUGGGUCCAUUUACAGUUAAAAAAAAAAAGACUUGAGUAAAUACAGGAGGACAACCAGAAAAAUAAAAUCCAUCCAUAAUUUAAUUGCUUAGGGACAAGCAUUUCUAAAGUUAUUUUCUCCCAGGCUGAUCUUAUGCACAUAUAUGUGCAUGAUCCUCACCUCAUAAACUUAGAUAAAUAGUAAGAUAUGUUUUCUUACUUUAAAAAAUCCAAAUAAAAUCUGCCCUUUUCCUCACAGAGCCUAUCACAAUCAGUUUGCCAACUUUGAAGAAACUUCACUGAUGUUUUUAUUAUAAUUUACUGAAAAUUAUAAAUUAAUCAUGAAAAGUAAGUUUUUAAAAAUAAUAUUUAGUUUCCCAUCUAAGAAUAUAGUAAAUAAACUUUGAGUUUUCUUCUAUCUCUCUAAGUUGUAGAUUUGGGAUGGGUGAGAGGAGGGGUGUGGGGUUAAAGUCCCACCUUUUUCUGAGUUAUUUUAGAUGUUUAACAUUUUUUUAAUUGCAAAUGUGAAAAAAAUCUUUUUUAUCCUUACACUUCCCUUUAUUGUUGGAAUUAUUUUAGAAAGUUAUUGAUUUUUUUUUGUGUUUCCUUUGUUUUCAAUCAUAUUAGUAAACUUUCUUAUAAGUUUUAUUAAAUUUUCAAUUUAUAUUUUGGAAAUUUUAAGUAGACCAUAGCACUUACAAAUAAUAACAGCUAUACUUUUUUUUUUUAAAAUAUAGCUUAUUGCAUUGAUGGGAAUGUGUAGAACAAGAUUAAUAAUGUGGACAUCCUGUUUUUUAGAAAUGGGGUCUUACCAUGUUGCCCAAGCUGGCCUGGAAAUCCUGGGCUCAGGCAAUCCUUCUGCCUCAGUCCUUCGGAAGCUGGGACACCAGGCCUGUACUACUGUGCCCAGCUCUUUUUAAAGGGAAUGUCUCAUAAUAAUAAAAGGGUGAUCGGUAGAGUAGAGCAGGCAGAUCAGGGGGAGGGAGAAUGGGCUGGAAGGGGAAGGUGCUGAGGAAUAAGAAUGAUCAAAUUAUGGGUGUGUCUGAAUAUGGCAUAAUGAAUCCCACUAUGUAUAAUUAUAAUAAAAAAGAAAGGGAAUGUCACCAAUGUUUUAUGGACAGAUAUUACUCCUGAUUUGAAAUAGAUUUUUUUUAUCAUGCUAAGUAAUCAAUAGUUGUUUGUAAACAAUAUUCUUUGGAUUGAGUGUUUCUUAGAAUUUUGUAGUCACCUGUUUUUUAAAAAAUAAACUUUUGUGUUGAGAGUCAACAUAGGCAUAAUUUACUAAUCUAUUGAUCAUCGAAGGAUAGCAGUAAAUAUGAUAAUAAUUAGCAUGUGUAACCUAGACUUUUAUGCCAUUUGUAUUUUUGUUUUUAUCACAUAUUUGCAUUUUUCUUUCUUUUUAUCAUAAUAAUCUUCAUAAGAAGUCAGGUUUUUUUCCUUUGCAGCAUCUCAUAGUAUCUUCUUAGGUGUUCAUAGUGCAUGUGAUGAUUCGCAAUUCAUGUUAUGUUCUCUUCCAUAGAUGGCCCUGUUAUGGUAUAAGUUGCUCUGGCAGACUUCUUUAAAUGAAAUUUUAAUCCUGCUUUAUGCCUAUACAAUGUGGUACAACCCAUAGGCUGGGCAAAACUCAUAGCAUGCUUCUCUGGAAUAGCAUAUAGUUUUUGUUCUUGUUUGCAUUUCUCAAGAUUGAACUUUUAAUUCUUUUCUAUGAAAUGGACCUAACAGAGUUUUAUGAAGUGAUAUUUAUAGUCUUACCUAGCUAGCAUAAUUUUCAUUAUCUUUUAAAUCUUUGUUUUGCAAACUUCUUUAUAUUUGUUCAGAACAAAAUAUUUCUUGGGGCAGAGUAAAUGUUCACUAUUUGCCAUGUUCUGAUGAGGCACAUGCCCUUUGAGUAGUCCAUCCUCAAGUAGUUUUCCUGGGCUUUGCUGGCCUGGUUAAACUGUCUGUUUCUCUUGAGUGCAGGGCUGUGGACUCCCUGUGUACUGGAUAGAGAAGGGGUAUGGGGUUCUGGCCCAGUGUCUCACCAGUCACAUGUGUGCCUGCCAGAAAAGUAGGAAAGUGCUCUUAUGUGUGAAAAAAGAAUAUCAAAUUAAGUAAAAUAGGACUAAGUUUUCCUCGAGGGCUAGUUUGUUAUCUACAUGAUUAAGAUGUUAAUAUAAUUCAGGAAUUGCAAAAAUAUUUUCUUGGUAUCCAUGAAGAUUUUUAAGCUUUUUGGGCCCUCAAAAUCUCUUAACAUCUUAUUAAAUCAAUGUAAAAUCACCAUUUAAAGAUCUUAAAAAUGUUCAAUUUACUAUCUGCAUCAAACAUCUUCAAUUUUGAGUAAUAGGAGUGUCAUUCUAAUGCUCCUUUGAAAAAUAAUUUAAUCAACUCUUCUACAUGUAUAUUGACUGCAAUCACACUUAUGUUACUUCUCUCUACUCCAUGUCAAAAACAAUUCAAAUAACAACAAACUACAGUGACCUCCCAGCUCCAGCACAAAAAUACUGCUUUAGAAAGAGCAUAUUUCAGGUUAUCAAACACUCUUCAUUUCCACAGUUCUGGUCAACCAACAAAAUGCAUUUUUUUCCAUAAUUUUAUUCUCUACCAGUUUGACUAAGUUCUUACAGUUGAUUUUUUCCAAAAUCACCAUGCUUCUUCACUGAUAAAGAACUACCUUAUUUCCGUAUUCAUUUGUAUCUCCCAGUUGUGUCUACCUAAUUGCAGGUUAGUUUGGGCUAUCUGCGUAAGGAUAAAUUAGCUUGGAAGCCAAAUUCCAUUAUUCCUACUACAAAGAUAGGUCCAAUAACAGAUGCAAGAAAUUUCAACCAUCUUUUCUAUUGGGAUCACAGAUGGUAUUGAUGUGAAAGACAUCUGUGGCACAGACCAGAGGAGGGAUGGUUGGCUUCAUUUAGAAGCAGGGCAAAAGAUAUGGCAAAAGAGAGCUAAGGAUGCCAGGAGGAAUUUCAUGCGCGUUCACAGGUCCUGGUAAGUUGAUUGAUUGUAGCAGAUUCAGAGCCCAUUGAUGGGGGAUCUAGGGACAGACUGGGUGAUGCUACUGUGUUUCUGGAGGAAUCUAGAUUGAAGAAUAGAUACAAUAAAUUGUGUGAAAGAAUAGACAGAAAGACUUGUGAGGGAAAAAAAAUUAUCAAGCAGGAAUAUGGUCACAGCUUGAACCCUUUCGUACCUUUGUUAAGGAAAGUUUUACAUCAAGAGAUAGAUGAAGUAAUAAGGCAAAUGAACCUAUAUGGAAAAUAUGUAAAGUUUAAAAAGUGGAACAGAACUGUGAUAUUAGUUGAAUAUUAAUAUAUUAAUGAUAGGAUUUAGAUUAUCCAUUUAUUAAUUUAACAAUACUACAGAGCAUCUACUAGAAACUGACAGUUGCUGAGAGAUGAUGGAUGCAAAUUAAAUAUGGUCCUGAGCUUCUAGAACUUGCAGUCUUAUUGGGAACCCUUCAUGUGUGGCAAAACACUAGUACACGAGGAAAAGAUAAAUAUAUAGUUGAAAUCAUUUUUUUAUAAUUCUCAAUAUUUGUAUUUGUACAGCCCAUCCUUUUUAUUAUCAUAAGCUAUAAAUAUCAGCAUAACAAUAAGCAUUUUACAUAUACUAAUUCAUUUAAUCAUGAUGCACCCAGGGUUAAGUAACUCCUAAGCAGGAGGGCUGGGAACCAAGUCCAGGCUGUAUAGGCCUCGAGUCUGUGCUCUUAAUCAUGACUGUAGUGUAGUGAUGCAACUCUUCAUGCCAAACUUCCUGUAAAACUUUAUCCUGAACAUUAGCAUUCAUUAGCUUCCCUGUUGUUGAGUCAUAAUGUCCCCACAUCACUUAUAUUUGCUGGAGCUCUCUGCCUACAGUAGGCCUUUGGGAUAUGUUAUUGAUAACUGGCCUCACCACUCAGGCCAAGAAGGUCAACUUGUUGCAUAAAUGAUAUUGGCAAGUUUCCUUAAAUGCAGUUUUAAUUCUGCUUUAUGACUGUCAAGUGACCUCAUUGAAUACACUUUCAAGUAAGGCUAAACCCUAGGGAAAUAAGGAGGACCUAAGACUGGCUCAGUUCACACACAGGCCAGAAAGUUCCAGGCAUUUGGAGUACAGUGAUGCUCGAGGAGGAUGGCAGAACACCUGGUAACCCAACAACAUCUCUCCGAGGAGGUUUUUCUUGCUUCUCCCUUAAUAGUAAGUACCAUCUCCCCCCACUUUCUUUCUCCAUAGCAUAGAAUUCUUAUUACCUUCCACUUCUAUUGCUUCGUGACCUUCACUGCCUACUUUCUGCAGUUGCUCUGUUUGCUGCCCUAUGUACAAGUCUCAGAUUUAUAUUCCUCAUGAGAUAGUAUCUUAUGGGACCCGAUUUAAGCUAACUGGUUCUGGGCUCAGUUUUGGUGCUGGUGUCUAUACAUGAGCUGAUGACCUGUCUGGAGCCAAUUGCUCUUGACUCAGGAGCUGAUCCCGGUCACUAAUUUGUGGCCAGGUUGUGCUGUUUCUGGAGCUUUCUGCAGGAAAUUCUGGGUGAGUUAGGCACUCUGAGCAUCUGGGAAGGGUGUAGUGAAACUGGCAAAGUAUUCGCAUAGCUUUUCUGAUAUAAAUACAUUAUUGAUUUUUUCCACAUUGAAUACCUAUGUGAUGCAUGUCAAUAAUUUGUGUGGAACAGGGAAAGAACCUGUCUAUUUGAAUGGAAAGAUAAUGCAGGAGAUGAACUGUGAAAUGGUUAGAAUUUUAUAAGUUUCACACUUUGAAAAAAUUUGUAAAGAUAGAGUUUGUAAUAAUGUGGUUAAUUUUACAGUUGCUGAUAACAAAGUGAGGGCAGAAAGAAACUAGAAGAGUUUACCUAGAUGAUUUCCUACUCUAAAACACUAAAGUGGAUGUCAACCAUUCACACAUUUGUAUCUAAAAGAAGACCUCCUAAAACCUGUGAAGCAACAUGUUCAUGAGAAGUCACUGCACUAGAAAGCCUUUAUCUCUUCAUCUUGAUUACUCUGCCUUAUGUCCUUCUUAGCCUCUAUCACUUCUGCAUGCUAUACAUUUAUGUGUUUAUUGUUUGUCCUUGUCUCCCCUGUGAAUUCUCUAAGCUAUGUAGUGACUUGGUGUCCUUUACCAGCUGCUAUUUCUCCAGGGUCUAGAAAGUGCAUGGCAUAUGGUACAAAUUCAUAAAUGUUUGUUGAGUGAGUGAAUGAGCUAAUAUAUAUAUAUAUGUAUUGAAAAGUGUCUAGAAAAAUAUACACCAAAGUGUUAAUAGUACUCACUUCUGGCGAGUAUAACCAGCAAAGCUAGAAGAGAAUUAAGGGAGAAGGAUGUAAAAUGGCAAACAUCAAUAUUAUAGACCUCCAUAACAUUCACAUUUUUGUUACUUAAUAAGAAAAAAAAUUGACUUGCUUUACAUUAGGCUUUUUAGGAACAUAUCUAUUACACAAAUAAGUAAAGGCAUAUAUAUAUAUAUAUAUAUAUAUAUAUAUAUAUAUACACACGUAUAUAUAUAUAAUAUAUAUACACACAUAUAUGUAAUAAUGAAAAUAAAUAUUUAUUAAUCUUAUAGUCUUUUUCAAUAAGUAUGUCCAAUAUUUUAUAGUAAGAUAGAAAGUUCUUCUUCAGAAAGAUAUUUUUUAAAAAUCUAUUUUUAGUAUUUCACAUGUGGUAUGAAAUGAAUAUGCAAUUGUCAACUGUCUAAGCAAAAUAAAACAUACCAAUUUUUAAAGUAAAAAUCCCUUUGAAAUGUCUGGAAACAUUCAUCAGUACUCAGUGAUAUAAGAGAAUUGCUGAGAAGAAUGCUUGAAAGUAUUUAAGAAACAAUUGAUUAUAAAUAAUAAAUAGAAUCAUCUUGUAAGGGUAAAAAUUAUGCCAACAUGCAAAAUAGCUUUAAAAAAUACUAUAAAAUUGAAAAAUUGUAGAGGAGGAGACUAUUAGGGUCCAGUCAGGAAAUCAGACUGUAUUAGAUGUAUUUUAGUAAGCACAUUUAUAUGGGUAAAUAAUUGCAAAGACAAGGGCAAGCUUAAAAAUCCUAGGUGGAAGGAAGGCAAACUAGUCAUUAACAAUAGUAGGAAGCCUCUAUCUUCUGUGGGGCUGGCGGAACCCAGGGAGGAGGCACUGUUACCAGAGCCCUGAGACCAGGAUCACUGGCUAAGAACUGGAUCACAUCCAGAGACACAAGGGAGGGGGCUAGAAUUACAAAGGGAGAGACUCUCUGCCAGAAAAUGGUCUAAGAAGGAGAUACAGACACUACACAAAGUAGAAAGAGGGGAAGAAGUACUCUGGCUUCUUCCUGCUCCCCACCGUCAAAUCUCCCACUAGUACUUUCCAUUGGCCAAAUCCAAAGGGAAGUAAGUGUAAAAGGGCUGGUAAAUGUAGUUUACAGAGUUUGCCUUGACACAUGCUGUAGACCCAGAGGAACAAUGAGGAAUGGUUUUGAGAGUAAACAGGUAAAAGACAUGAAUAAAUGGUUUAAUGGAGGUAACAAUGCUUUAUUCAUGCAGCUGUUCAAUUUCAUAUAAAAUAUUUUAGGUAUACUUAGAAUUAUUAAUUUUAUGCAGCAUUUAUUCAGGUGUAUUUACACAAGACUCUCAGCAUGGAUUGAAGCAUAGCAUUUUUUUUUACAAUUUUUUUUUUAGUUGUAGAUGGAUACAAUAUCUUUAUUUUCUAUUUAUUUAUGUGGUGCUGAGGAUUGAACCAAGAACCUCAUGCAUGCAAGGCAAGUGCUCUACUACGGAGCUACAAGCCCAGCCCCAACCUCAGCAUAUCAUUCUUUCUCAACCUUUUCAGGUGGAAGAAUCCUUUUCAUAUCAAUGUAUCACCAAUCAAGUGAUUAAUUCUUUAUUCCUGUAUUAUUUCAGCAACAUAUGGCACAAAAAGAUAAACAUUUAUUUAAUUGAGGUUAGGAAUUUUUAUAUUUGUGCUAAAAAAUUAAACAUUUUUUAAGAUUAUUUUUUUCUGACUUAUUUCUAAAUGGCAAACCAAGAGAGAGAACUUGAAGCUGUUACUUACAAGCUUUUCUUGUGAACAAUCCCCUUGCCCCAAUAACUUGGAGGCCGAAUUAGAUAUAACAAUCAUUUUACUUUCUCUUUUUGACUUUGGCUUUUGAAAUAUUGGAGGCAUUUCAAUGUGAUGUGUAGGAAUUUAAAUGAAAUGAAUGAACCUUAUGGAUCUGUUGAAGAUCAUCUUGAGGUGAAUUUGCAGAAUUAUUAUCAUUUAUUGCUUUUCAUCAACUAUAUAAUUGAGAAGGUUUUCCCAGUGAUUUAUACCACCAUAAAAUACUUGGUCUUAUUUCUAUUAAUUAUGAUUUGGAAGAUGUCGUAAGUAUAGUGUUAAUGAGUAUGUUGAAUGAUGUUAGAUUAAUUGGAAUGACAAAAAUGCCUUAAGCAAAGAGUUAGAGACUAUUGGUAAAUCCAAAGAUACAACUGUUAUUUACUUUGUGUCCUGCCCUAUCCUUAGAAAUAUGACUUUUCCAGAGCAAGAAUUUAGAUCAAUGUUCAAUCUGAUAUUUUUAAAAGUUUUGUUAUGGAAAUUUCAAGCAUAUACAUAAAUAAUUCUUAGUACUGCUAAUUUAGCUUCAACAGUGAUCAACUCAGGACUAGUCUCAUUUCUUUAUAAAUUCCUUCAAUUUCCCUUUCCUGUCUUCAUGAGCUCCACUGGAUUAUUUUAUAGACAACCCCCAGAGAUCAUAUAUCACUUCAUUCUUGGUUUUAACAUCCUUUAAAAAAAAACAUUUAAAAAUUUGUUCUAAUUAGUUAUACAUGAUAGUAGAAAGCAUUUUGAUACAUCAUACAUUAAUGGAGUAUAACUUCUCAUUUAUUUGAUUGUACAUGAUGUAGAGUUACACAGGUCAUGUAAUCAUACAUGCACAUAUGGUAAUAAUGUCUAAUCCAUUUUACUAUCAAUCAUAUUCCUUUGCCCCCUCCCCUCCCUUUACUCCCCUCUGUUUAGUCCAAAAUACCAUGAUUCCCCCCACCCCACCCCAUUGUGAGUUAGCAUCCACAUAUCAGAGAAAACAUUCAGACUUUGGUUCUUUGGGAUUGGCUUAUUUCAUUUAGCAUAAUAUUCUCUACUUUGAUUCAUUUACCAGCAAAUGCCAUAAUUUCUCUAUAUCAGUUUCUUUAUCCUUGCAUCUGUUGAAGGGCAUGUAGUUUGGUUCCAUAGUUUAACUAUUGUGAAUUGAGCUGCUAUAAACAUUGCUGUGGCUGCAUCACUAUAGUAUGCUGAUUUUAAGUCCUUUGGGUAUAAACCUAUUAGUGGAAUGACUGGAUCAAAUGGUGGUUCCAUUCCAAGUUUUAUGAGAAACCCCCAUAUUGCUUUUCAUAGUGGUUGCACCAAUUUGUAGUCCCACCAGCAAUAUAUGAGUGUGCCUUUUCCCCCACUUCCUUGCUUAAAUUUUUGAUGGUUGCCAUUCUGACUGGAGUGAGAUGAAAUCUCAGUGUAGUUUUGAUUUGCAUUUGUUUAAUUGCUAGAGAUGUUGAACAUUCUUCUCAUAUUUUUUUUAUCAAUUGUAUUUCUUCUGUGAAGUAUCUUUUAACAACUUUUUCUGGGGAGGGAGAGAAAGAGAAAUGUUAGCUUUCCAUUUUGUAAUAGUAGGAGGUUCAACACAAUGUUCAUCUGUUUCCUAAGAAUGAUUGGUUUUGGUGAGCCAUUGUGUUGGAAAUCACCAGUGAAUUACAUAUCCUUUGGUGAACUGCAUUAAAUACAGAUACCAGGUAAAUGACCUUUUAAAAUGUAGAUAAUUCUUAGGAUGGGAAAUAAGUUAAUUUUUAGAAAUCAUUACUCUGCAUUUUAAAGUCGGAUUCAUAUGUAAUCAUUUGGUCCAAUGUAGAAUCAUAAUGCAGUGGAAUUUUGGACAGAUAUAUAUAUUAGAGAUGAUUAGAAGUCUCAUGAAAUAUUCCAGAACCUAGAACUUGUGCUUCACCAGUGUUGACAACAAUGUUCUGAAAUUUUAUGGUGGGAUAGGGUGGGAAGGACCAGAAAACUUGUGCUGAAAUAACUGAAGAAAAAUUCUCUUCUCACUUUACAUGAUUUCAUUGGAAAAUACUGUUUGCCUAUGUCAUUGAUUAUCCUCCAUGUUGAUAACUUCCAGAUCUGUAAUUUUUUACUCUUUUCUUAGCUUGGGUUCAAAUGUACAACUACUAGUAGGUAUUUCCAUAUGCUUAUUACAAAGCUCCUCAUAUUGAACAGGUCUAAAAAAGAUCAUUGUACCUCCCAAACCUAUCUUUUCCUCCCACUUUCUUCAUCUGUAGGAAUGGCACCAUCAUCCAAUUGGGACACUUGAGAAAUAUAGUCUCCUUCUUCUCGCCAAAUUCCUCAGACCAAUCAGAUUUCAGUUCUUGUCCUAUCUACCUCUUCAAAAACUCUCAAUUUCUCCCACUGACAGUGUCCUUGCACUAGUUUAGACUUUUUGUUUUCUGCCAUAACUAGUAAAUUUGUCUUAGAUCUAAAACAUUCUCUACCCUGCUAUUUGAGAUGUGUUGAACACGCAAUAUCUCUCCAGUCUCAAAUUCUUAAGUUUAUUAUUCUGGAUGGCAAAUACAACAUUUUACUAUGUAGCACUACCUUAUUUGUUGGGUAGGUCUCCUGCCAUUACUUAAUGGCUUUACAUUUAACUAUAUGGAAAUACAUAUAGUUCUCCAAAUAUGCUAAAAUGCACAUUCUGAUUCAGAUGAUGUCUAAGAGUCUGUAUUUCUAAUAUGAUCCCUGUUGAUGCUUCUGGUUCACAGAUCAUACUUUAGUAAAAGGGUCAUAGGCUUUAUUUUUGCCCUCUCUUAGUUUCCAGAGGAGUCACAGUUUUAUCCUCACUUUGCUAUAUGUUGUUUUAACUACUUUGUGGCUUCUACCAUUUUAUUUCACAUAUCAGUCAGAUUUUUUCCCCCAGAUUUGAUCAAGUAAGUACUUGACCAAAUCCUACUCCCCCCACCAAAUUUCAGCUCAAAUACUGAAACCCCCAGGAAGGCUUGGUUACCUUUUUUCCUAUGCACCCUGCAUUUCUCACAUGUUUCUAGCAGUAGCACAUUGUAUUGUGAAUUCUAGAUUGUCCAUUUCCCAUUUUGUGUUCCCAAUAUUAUUCACUGUGCCAGGAAUGUGGGAGAAAUACAGAAAGUAUUUGUUGAAAAAUAGGUAAGUGAGUUCUCUCUUGAUGACUUUUAUAAUUGUUCUUUGAUAUCCCUGUGGUAUUCCUAGUACUGUAUGGGGUGGUGAGUAAGUAUUUCUAAAGAGUACUAAAAGUUUUACAAACCAUAGACUUUGGAGAUUAAUUGUAAUCUAAUAAUAAUUUAAUAAUUUAAUAAUAAUAAAUAUGGUCACCAUAGGAGAAAGACCCAGGACUAUCUCUGGACAAGUUCACAGAGUAGCUAUCUGGGCCAUGAUUAAUUUAUCAUGGUCUAUUUAUAACCCCCAGGCUCGUUUACCCAAGAACUUGAUUUGUCAACAUCUUUUCUCAGGUGUACACUCACAUUAGCCCAGAUUUUAAGGUUGAUGUGUAUGUAAUUUAGAAAGUUAACUCAUUCAUUCAUGGUAAGAAAUUAAAGCAUUAAGCACCAAAAUACUAGAACCUGCAUGAUUAGCCCUUUACUUGCUGUCAUAAAGUUUUACAGAAAGUGAAAUCAUAAUUCAUCUUUUUUUUUUUUGUAGAGUAGAAUCUAAAAAGCAGUAUUUAGAUGAACUGAAUGUAUCAUGGCUUCAGGUUAAGUUGGCUCAAAACAUCCAAAUCAUAAUAAGAAUGAUCUUGCCAAUAAAGUCUGUGGCCACAUGUUCUGCCUCCACUAGAAGAAUGAAUCUUUAAUGGAACUGGAAAUGCUGAAUCUCAAAGUGUCGUGGUGGAGAGGGCCUUCCCCAGAGUGCUUGGAUGGGCCCUGACACGUUUGCUUCUGAGAUUCUUCCCUUAUUCUUCUUCCAUGGCAAUGAACCCCUUUCAAGUUGACUUAUUCUUCCAUAGUGAAUUAUCUCUCUAUUAAGGCCAAUUUGCAUAAUUUCCCCCUGAUUCUUCACUUGUUGUUUUCUAUUAUUUCCAACUCCUAGGAGACCCUUUACCAUAAAUCCGUAUAUGAUGCCAAAAUUAAACCCUCCACCACUGCAGUUAGGGCAAGACUGUCCUUAUAAAGAAGAUCCCCGUCUACUCUGUCUUUCAGCGUAACUUCCUAACAUAAAAAAGAAGAAAUGAAUUUUCAUCUCCUUUCACAAAUACUAUAGGUCUAGUAAUUUCUUUGAGGUGAGUGAAAGUGUCUCUGGAGUGGGUAACACUAGUGUCACCUUUUUCCUUCUCUGUAAGUUGGCUUCACUGCGAGUGGUGGAGGAUGAAGCACACAACACAUGUGUAGUAUCUGAGUGGGUAGAGGGUAUCAAGGCCCUAGGUCUUUGUUCCAAAGCCUACCAUUUGACUGUAGUUCUCUUCCUUUGCUGGGAAGUUGAGAGAAAGAGAAUCAGUGGGUAGAGUAAUGGCGUCCUAGUAAAUCACGGGAGGGAUGAUGAGUGAAGGGUGAGGAGGAUGCAAAGUGGAUCUUGCAAUUCUGCAUUUCUGAGAGGAUCCCAGCUGAUGCUAUGAGCCCAUGGAUUGCAUGGUGAGUAUCAAGGACUAUAAGAUUCCUUGAGGUUUAUCCCUCUCAAUUACCAGCCAAGUCAAAAAUUCUUCCUUUUCUUGGCCGUUCACUCUGUUGUACCUGCUUUCUAUCUAAAGGCAUUUGUAGAAUCAACCAUGUCACAUGUAGAAAGCUGUCUUGUACAUGUGGAUUUGCAUGGUCUUGGAAACAUUGAGUAAUUGUGAAGUGUUAAACAACAAGGAAAAAUGAAUGGAGAGAGAGGGUGCUGUGUGGGUGGAGGAGAGAGUGUGGUGUGUGCACGUGUGUGUGGCGAGGGUGGGGUAGGGAGCAAAAGGAUAUAAUAGGUCUCUUUGGAAUGUGGAAAUGUGUGUAUGUAACAGACCUGUUAACUCAUGUCUAAAAUAGCAUAACUCCCCAGCAUGGUUGGGCAAGUACAGUAGCAAAAUGAAAAAAAAAAUUAAAAACCCUAGGGAAUGUCAAAGAAUAUUUUUGGAACAAUUUAACAUCCCACAUCAUGGUUUCUUUUCUCUUCUGUGCUAUUAUUGGUUAGAUGUAAUUCUCUGCUGUUGAGAGUUUGUUCUGGUCCCUAUCUUGCUUUGCAGUGAUGAGGUGUAAAGCAUUCCAAGAGAGAAAUAUCUACUGUUUGUGGCCAAACAAUAUUCAGGAUGUCAUUAUUUCAAUUUCACCUAAGUCUUUUUUUCCAAAGUAUUGUUAUAUAAUUUCUCUGCAGAAAUCCUAUGUAACACAUUGACCUUCCUGACUUGAUCUUUUCUUCUUUUUUAAACCUAGACUCUGUAUAGAUUACAGAUCAGUGGAGAAUUUUUUUACCAUCAAAAUUAAAACUGCCCCAAAUUUCAGGUUACUUUGCUCUUCAUUAGCCACAGCUUCCCAUUUCAAUUCUCUUCAGUCAGGAAGGCCAUAUGUAUUUUACACUGAUAUUGUUAGUUCCCUCUCAUUUGUUAAAUUGUCUGCUACAAUUAUGCAUCCUACUAUUAGGCCUUAGAAAAUAAAGACAUUUAAAAAUAUUGCAAAUAAUCACAGUCUCAACAGGGAUUGGAGAUGUAGCUCUGAGGUAGAGCACAUGCUUAGUAGGUACAGACUCUGGUUCAAUUCCCAGCACCAAAACAAAAACAAACAACAAACAACAAACAUAAACUUAUCAAAUGGCAAUAUAAACAGUUCAGUUUCCCUUGGCAAUUUUUUUUUGGUAUGAUAAUUGAAUCUUUCUUCUGAAAACUCAGCAAGUGUUUGGUAGGCCUAUCUUUAAAAUAACUUUUUUGUGAUUUUUUUUCUUCUAAUGGUGGCAAGUAAAAAAGAUGAGGAGUGUUAGGUAUUGUGUUUGUGAUGAAACUCCAGUUUUCAAAUAUAGGUUUAAUUCCAUUUCUCUUUCUCUGUGUCCACACUUCAUGUCUGCCUGUAUAGUGGUGUAGGUUUGGCAUUUCUGUGGAAAGUUUGUACUUGUUCAGAAUUUCAUGGAGAUGUCACUGGGAAAUGUUACUUUUUAUUGCUUGGACUACUCAGGAUUUUAUGUGUAAUGUGCCAUACAAUCCCGUCAGUGGUUAAUCCUCAUAAAUAAUUUCAUGACUUGGUUUAUUAUUGCAAUAUCCAUUUUAUAGAUGGUAAUACAGAGGAAUGGAUUACCAGGAAGUUGAAAUUAUAACCUACAAUCAUGAAAAUGUCCCAGACCAUUGUUUAGUUUAAGCUGCAGACUGCAAAUUUGUCUCUAUGUGCCAAAAAUCAGAUAAAAAUGAAAUAUCUGGGGACUUAACUCUGAAGCUGUGUCUGGGUUUGCAAAGGAAAAAUGAGAGGAUGUGAAUCAAGUACUUAAUAUUAUGGAGAGAAAAUUCCCUUGUAAUGAGGAAACCGUGGGUCCCACUGGCUCAGUGCUCUUCCCUGGCAGGAAGAAAUCCACUGGAUCAUUGCUCAACUCAGGUUUUUAUUCAUAAACAUUCCUCUCCUGGCUGUACAGGGCCAGGAAAAUCUGCCUUCCCCUUUCUUCUUGUAAGCUCAAUUCCAGUCCUGAAAAUGUGUCCAUCAGAUUCUCAGUGGUCAUCUCAAGAUGAUACAUACUGCUGUGACCUUCAGAAAAGGACGUUUGGAAAAUAAGAGUCUAUCUGUAGGAAGUAUCCAACCUACAGAGUGGAGGUAUCUUGACAAUCCUGUCCCAUUUGCCUGUGGUCACUAGUAUUAGCUUUAGAAAACUUAUUCUGAAGUGAAGGAGCUGUGAGGUCCACAUGUAUUCAGGUACAGUGGUUGGGGGAGGCAUUUUUCAUGGUCCUCCAUCCCAUGGUGCAGAAACUGAGGUUCCCAUUGUGGAUCUGUCUCUAACUCCAAUAAGGAAAUAAGCAGCAUAGGAAGGGGAUAGAUAGAGGACUAAGGAAGGGGACAUCCACAGUGCUCUGUCCCUUAACAAGAUGAAGAACUCCAACUCUUACUCCCUGUUGGGGGAUAAGCGGCCUUGUCCACACCUUGAUUCUGGCCCCAAAAGGCCCAUUUUGGACUGCUGACUAUCAUAAAUACAUGAUAUCGAAGUCACCAACUUUGUGGUAACUUGUUACAGCAGCAAUAGGAAACUAAUGCAGGAAAUUUUGCCCUCAUGGGCUCUUUCUUCUAUUAAAAAGCAGUAAAAAUUAUAUUUUUAGAAUUGUGUUAAAUAAAGAUGAAUAUAUUAAUAUUAUAUCUAAAAUAGUUUCUUUGAUCAAAAGCUUUUCUUUUUCUGAUUUUAAAAGACAUUAAAAUAUUUUCAUGGGCACUUAAAGGUAUCAUGGGCUCUGCACGUGAUGCUAGGUGUGCCUGAGGGGUAUGGUGGCUCUGCUUAUGGCUAUUUCUUUUUUUUUUAACCUUUAUUUUAUUUAUUUUUAUGUGGUGCUGAGGAUCAAACCCAGGGCCUCACACGCACUAGAAAUACGCUGUGCUGUUGAGCCACAAACUCAGCCCCUGCUUAUGGCUAUUUCUAUCCAUAUCUUCCCUGUCAUUCAGCACUUUGGAUUCAGUAUAGCCAAAUGUUUGCCAACUGAGGGCCAGCAGUGACAUUGGCUUCUUGUUUGGUUGUCCGAUUUCUUGGUGUUUGAAUGGGGGUAUUUUUUAAUUAAUUAAUUAAUUUUUUAAAUUGAUUUUAUUUUUUAAAUACAUGACAACAGAAUGUAUUACAAUUCUUACUACACAUAUAGAGCACAAUUUUUAAUAUCUUUGUAUAAAGUAUGUUCAUGCCAAUUCAUGUCUUUAUGUACGUACUUGUUUUUUUUUUUUGCAUUACAAUUCUUAUUACACGUACAUACCACAAUUUUUCAUGUCUCUGUUGUAUACAAAUUAGGUUGACACCCAAUUUCUGUCUUCAUUCAUGUACUUUGGAUAAUGAUGUUCGUCACAUUCCACCAUCCUUGCUAAUCCCCUGCCUCCUCCCUUUCUCUCCCUCCCCUCUUCCCUAUCUAGAAUUCAUCUAUUCAUCCCAUAUUCCCCUUCCUACCCCAUUAUAAGACAGCCUCCUUAUAUCAGAGAAAACAUUUGGCAUUUGUUUUUUGGGGAUUGGCUAACUUCACUUAGCAUUAUCUUCUCCAGCACCAUCCAUUAACCUGCAAAAUGCCAUGAUUUUAUGGAAAUACAUAUUUUGAGCAGGAAGAAGUUAUUCUAUUCUAAGUCACAUGGCACCAGAGAACCCCCUCACUCUGCACACAUAGUAAACACACGAGAAAUUCUGGUCCAGUGAAGACUUGUGAUCAAACUCUUGUCUUCUAGUUUUUGUUCUUGGAAGAUUCCGCAUACGAAGCCUUUCUUCAUACAUACCUUUCUUUGCUAAGUUGCAGAUGAAAGAUAGAAUGGAUUGCUGGUUAAAAUUUGAAGAUGGAUAUACUGAUAAUGUAAAUAUUUAUAUUUAAGUAGCAACCACAAUUUGUAAAAACACUUUUAUCCACUUACUCUCUUGAUAAGCUAUAAAGUCAUUUAAGACCUUAAGAGGAAAAAUAUUUUAUAAUUUAUUUAUAUAAAGGUAGUAUAGUAACAGUGGCUUUAAUUUUAGGUAGAUUGAAAUUUAUAAUUUUGUUAAGAAAAAUACCGGGAAAAAUAAGCUCUAUAUUUUUUUGUCGCUUUAUAACUUGGCCUAUGCUCCAAUAGGUAGGCAAAAAAUAGAAAAUAAAAUUUGUACUCCUUAGUCAUAUAUAUUACUUUCCACGCUCUGCCCUAAUGAAAAAUGAUACAUUUCAAGCUUAUGAGUACAAGCGUUAAUGCUGUGAGUUGGAAAUUACAGCAUACUUCAUUGCAUACCUCAUUAACUGUUUCCACUUUUCCCACAAUUAAAAGCCAAAAAGGCAUCAUUUCUAGCUAAAAAGCAAAGUUAGGUUGAAGGAAGUUCAGAGAUGUGAUGAAGGAACCUGAGACCAGAGCGCUUUGCUUCUUAUGAAGACCCCAAGGGUAAAAAUGACAGCUUUCCUGAAUUAUGAUCCUAAUUCAGGAUUUGCAGUGGACUCUGAUUUGAUGCUGUUCUGGAAAACGCUAUGUUGAAGAGGCUUUGUUUCUAGAGAGUCUCAGGAAAGUAGCCAAUUCAAACUCCUCAACCCUGUGAGCUCAUUCCUGGCUGGUAAGGAGUCCUUUCUGUCAUCUUUCUGAGGGUGAAGACUCUCCACACACCUACUUCUUCUGAGCUCAUCUGUGUGCUUCAUGUGUGCCGAUAUUCACGAGAACACACGGACCCAGCUCUUUCUACCUGGCUUUCACAAAUCCUCUGAUCUUAUUCACUAGGCUUCAGUUGAAAAACCAGCCGCUACCUCAGAGCAAAGCCUGUCCAAGGAAGGAACAUCACCUUUGUCCUUGGAAAAACCCACAGAGCACUCCUAGGCACAUUCCCACCCUGCUAAGUUGUUUAUCUACAAAUAACAGGAGAGAUCUGCUGCGCCAGGUGUCCCUGACUGAGUUGGUUGGUGGCUAGUAACCCCCUAGCAGCCACCAAUCAGCAUGAGACAGGGAAAUUCCUGGGAUGCCAGAUGACCCUCCCAGUAGUUUAUGGUGUUGGGAAACCAUGGAGUUCAGCAGGAACACCCCUCUUGGCUUAAACCAAUCAGUUCAAAUGAAUACCCCUUUUGUACCGACCAAUCACCCCUACCCAACUUGUUCCCGCCAGUGAAUGUGCUAAUCAUGUUUUAGAGUUGUUAUUUGAUUUUCCCGCGGUGUGUGAUGAUUUGCUAAGAGAUGCUAUGAUGUAUGUGGGGGUCCCUGCCUUCUCCAAAGACUGUAUAAAACUGCUGCAAACCCUGGGCUCGGGGCCUCUCAGCGUCACCAGUUGCUGUGUGUGCACGCGGAGGACCGAGCUAGCUCGCAAUAAACACCUCUUUGCUGCUUACAUCGGAUCUUGGGUCUCUGGUGGUCUUUGGGGGUCCUGAAUUCGAGCAUAACACAGUGUCCCAGUCAGACCAGUCUGGUCCAGCUGUGAAGAGACAGACAAGACGGACUGAUAAAUCCCAUCAAUUAAUUCAUAAUUUCAUAAUUGAAGUUUGGACAGGACUUCUGGCCUCCAAACGCAAGAAGGUCUCUGUUCAAGGCCAAACACAGUUGCCCAUUCUAUCCUUUGAGAAAAAUGAGCAGCUUUUCAGAGACCCUCCCUGCUGCAGCCCUUCUCUCCAGAUCCCUGCCUUGCCUGCCUAUGAUUAGGUGCCUUUUAAAAAGUUGCUCUUCUUCAAGUUACACCCUGCCACACCUCCAGGCCCGAGGAUGCUUUCUGUUCCUGGCAGUCUUAAACCCUGGCCAAUAGCAAAGGAGGCAUCACGCUGAGCUCCAGAAGAGAAAACCCUUCAUUGUGCAACCGUGACCCAUUUGGCACCGGGGAGAGUAAUCCUGAUGGGCUUUAGGGAGUCCACAUCCACUUCCCCUGGGAUUGUCCUGUGGAGGGCCCUUGCAAACACAAUCACAGUGCCACAAUCGAGGGUCCUCAACGGAGACCCACAGAAACAGGGCCAUUCCCUGUGGUGCCCUGAUUCAGUCCUGUAGCAUGAUUUACCAGCUGCCUGAAAAAGAAAAUACUGCUAGGACCUGGACUGUGACCAUGAGGUGUGAAGGUGUCAAGUUGAAAAAACAAGGGUGGGUCUAAAAUCUGCACCUCCUUCCCCACCCCUCCCCCUACUGCCCUGAGAAAAUCAUUCCAGUGUAAACAUCUCUUUUUAAAUUUAGGAUAUCUUUGUGCAAGAAAAACUACUUUAUUACUCAACAUUAAUAACACUCACUUUGAACCUUAAUUCUGAAAACCACAGAAUUUAAAAAAUGCAGUAAAUAGCUGACAUGGGUGUUCUUCCCCUGCUUUCAAAGGAAUUGUUUUUGUAAUUACUGAGCAGGGUAAAGUUGAACUGUCCUCAGCAGUAAACAGGAUAGUGUGUAAUGAGAUAUCUCAACUAAAAACAUUAGUCAUAUACGGAUUAAUUAAUAAUGGAAAAGUUUCAGGGCAUUCCUAAUGCUUUUUAAAAAAUGUGUUCUUUUUUUAAGUUGUUAGGUCUCUAUUCUAGUUUUGAGUACAAAUAAAUGCCUGACAUAUGGUCUCAGCCAAAUUCCAAAAUGUAGCAAAAACAGGGCCUGCAUAUUUGGCAGGAAUUUAAACCAGUUCAGGCCAGUGUCUGUUUUCUGUCCAAAGAAGAGUUUGUGCUUUACACUGGGCUAGGAAAAUAACACAGGAAAACAUGGGAACAACAACUAAUAUUGUAAGCUCCAAUGCCAGGCUGGCUAAAGAACAACGUUUGGAGCAACUCAGGAAUUACCGCCCAAGCUGCAGUUUGGGUUCGCAAAAACGUUUGGAAUACAGUAAGCACAGAUUGCAUUGUUGUGAGGAAAUUGCCUUCUCCAGUCUUAGGCUCUCACCUUGCAAAUCACCCCCUCUUAGCAAAAGCACAUCUUACUUGUUAACUCUUCCCCUGCUCGCUAACCUUUUCAAUCAUCCCCUUCAUCGUUGCAGAAUGGCCUUCGGAACAAAGCAGCAUUUUAAAGGCUUUCCCACUAAAAGUUCGCCCCUCCCCCCCUUUUAAAGAGGCAGUGCGGGGGUAAUUUUCUUUCUUUUCUCUCUGUCUUUCCUCCUCCUCUUCUGCUUCUUUUUAAAAUUUGUUUUUCCUACAAUCCACUCUAGUGAAGCUGUCAUUGUUUGGGGGUUGAUGGAUAUUUCUUUAGAGAUACCAUCAUAUCGCUUGUUAUUGUAACACUUAUUGGUGAUAAAGUUCAGACUAAAAAUUAAGCAGCUGCAAUGUAGCAGCACAAAUUAGUUUAAUGUAAGCAGUCAGGAGCAGCUGGCUGCUCGGGACUGGAAUUUAGCUGUGGGGGGAAGGGUGCUGUGACGCUGACAGUGUUUUUUUCCUCUACAUAAACAUUUUUGGCUGCUACAGCUUUUGUGCUGAUCAUGUGACAGUGUCCCUAGGCAGAUAAUUUAUUUCUGUGGCUUUCAUGAGCAAUCAUUAACCUUCAGACACUGAGUUUGCUUUUUGCUUUGUGGCAUUUGUUAUUAUUAUUGUUAUUAUUAUUUUGUAUACUAACUAGUUUAAUUCAGAAACUGUCAGGAGAAAAUUACAACCAAUUUAUAAUAGACUGCAAUGCAUAACACUUAUGUUUCUAUUAAAGCAGACCUUGCUCAUAAGACCAUUCUCAUAGCUUUGCUGUGUUUGUGGAUCUGAAUAGUUAUUUUUAGUAUGGCUGUCUGUCAUUGGCAGGUUCCUUCCCUGUCCUCUUCGAUUGUGAGGCCUCUGUAAGCUGGUCUUACAAGAACUCAAUUUGGAGAUCAACCUUUGUCUUUAUUCUGUAGAAGGCUGGAACUCCAAAGAGGCUGGGGACUGGGCUUCUGGGGUUAGACAUUGCUUACAUCCCUUCUUCCUUCAACAACUACACAUCAGUAAACAGUAACAGUGUGGCCAUUUGUAGUAGGAGCCAGAAUAUAUUGGAACUGAAAAACAAAGGAAAUCGGAAACUGUGUCCUGCAUAAAACAGAAAGGAUAGAAAAGUAUCAUUUCUGACAUCUACUAAUGAUGCCGACCUCCUUUUCUGAAUUUAUCUGUUGCGUCCUUCUCGGAUCUGUUUGUGUUGUUCAGCCCUUUCUGCCAACCAGUAAUUCAGGAGUAAUAUGCACAGGGUCACUCUCUGGUGUCUAUCAUACAUGAUAUCUUCAGACACUUUCAGAAUGCCGAUUAUCUCGUGGGUAUUGUGUGGGCCCUGUUAGAUAUUCAUUUAUUCAUUCUCUCAUGGUGCAGGGUUGGUGGGGGAACAUUCAGGACUAGUUGCACAGAGGGAUUUGAUAAAGUGUAUUUAUAAACCCCAAGGAACUGUGUUUAGUGCAAAAUAAGAGGAAGAAAUAGCUCCUUUUCUAUUUUACUCAUUUAAAUAUUUCAGUGAUAGGAGCUGUUCUUCAUUGAUCUUAAUAUUUCAUAAGGAUAGAUGUAUGGGUUAUAGAACACAGCAUGAAAAUUCCAUUCUUUGAAAUUUAUGAUUCACGAGCUCAAAACAUAGAGGAAAUAGAUAUUGUCACUCUUUAAACAUUUUAAAGCACCAUCAAUGGAAUAGGCUCAUGGUGAGGAACAGCUUGACCAAAUGAUAGAAAUGUGAAUGCCAGAUUAUUUGGGUGAUCUUUGAUGUUGCAUAGAAAUGAGUGAGUGGGUCCCAAAGGCAUAAUUAAUGUAAAGGUGCAUAAAGUGCUUUAUGAGUUGCAUUGUUGCUGGGGUGGGAGUGGGGGAGUGGGCAGGGAAGGGGACUUCUUUGUCCUCACUUAUAAGAGAGAUUUCAGCUGGGUGCAGGAGUAUCCACUUGUAAUCCCAGCAAUUUGGGAUACUGAAGCUAGAGGAUCACAAGUUCAAGUUUAAGGCUGUCUUUAGCAACUUAAGGAGUCCCUGUCUCAAAAUAAAUAAUAUGAAGGGAUGGGGAUGUAGCUCAAUGAUAGAAUGACUCUGAGUUCAAUACCCAGUACAACAAAAAGAAGAAAAAGAAGAAGAGGAAGGAGGAGGAGGAGAAGGAGGAGGAGGGGGGAGGAGGAGGAGGAGGAGGAGGAAGAACAAGAGAGAUUUCUUUCCUAAACAUAUGGCCCUAGAGUUCUGAACAUUCUCUACUUCUUUCUAAGGUUUUUCUUUGCUCGUUGGAUUCCAGCUCACAUGAUUGGCAGGGUCAUGGUUACAUUUUAUAACCACGUUGGUAUAAAAUGAAUAUUAUUUCCUAAGUGACAUUUUUACAUAUUCAUAAUUAUGUCUUUUAUCCUUCUGAUUUUAAGUAAAUAUUGAAACAUUGUAAUGAAGCCCUGAAAGCUUUGCAAGCCCAGAAUGCUGGGCCACUGUGCCUAAUGAGGAAGUCAGUCCUAAGGAUGGGCACAAGCACACAGAUGACCUUUACACAAGGUGAAGAUCUAUGUGGAACAAACCAAGCAAGGUUGAGAAAGAUCAAACUUCGAGUCUUCUUUCCUCAGGCCAAAGCAUUCACAGUUCAUUCCAGAAUACCUUUGUCACAUGUUUCCCUACCAAGAUUAACUUUCCAUGCUGACUCUAUCUUGGGGAGCUCCUAACCUUCACCACUAAUUUGCAAUAAUGCUAAACUUCCUUCCAGCCUCUGACUCUAGCUCUCUGGGCCUUAUCUAAGCCAGUAGCCCCUUGGCUUCUGUUCUAGAAUAUAUCUACUUUUUUAUGUUGCUUGUUCCUUCUCCCAAACUUCAUGCACUCAGAAUCACUUUAUUCUAGAGGCCUCUCUCCAUGCACUUUUCCCUUGACCCGGUGUGAUCCAGCAGGGCUGCCUGAGAAUUUCCCUCUUGGUGUUUGCACUUAUUUGUUACUCUCAAGUUUCUUUUGUCAUUUUAGCACUUGAAAUCCAUUUAGAUUUUUCUGCUUCAACCUUACCUCUAAACCAUUGUAAUUCUCCAGCAUCAUUCAACCUUGAAUAUCUUUUCUGAAGAUAUUCAGAAAAAAAAUUGCAUCCAUAUUGAACACGUAUAGAUUUUUUUCUUGUCAUUAUUCCCUAAAUGGUACAGCAAAAGAACUAUUUACAUAGCAAUUAUAUUGUAGUAGAUGUUGUAAGUAAUCUAGAAGGUAAUUUGGGAUACUGUUUGCAAACAACAUCCCAUUUUAUACAAGACACCUGAAUAUCCAUGGAUUUUGGUAUCUACAGGGGUCCUGCAACCAACACCCCCACAGGACAACUAUAAUGGGCAUGCGGGGUGUACCAGGUGUUGUGGUAAGAAUUUGCUAAGUGAAUAAUAAGCUUUAUCUCUUUUAGUCAUGACGAAGACCUAUAAAGUAUGUACUAUCAUUGGUUCAUUUUAUAAAUGAGGAAGCCCAGGCACAAAUAGAUUCAAUAACGUAAAUUUUCCCAGAUAGAAAGUAACCAGAUCAGAAGUGCACCCCAGGUAUUUAAAUCCCAGAGAAUUAAUUCCCAUUCAUUAUGUUGUACUCCUCCUGUGCUACUCUCAUACUGACCUGGUUUUAACUAUAUGCUUUCAACAGUCAAAAUCUACUGGUAUAGUUUAGCCUAGAAACUUCUUCUCCCUUGUCUGAAUGUGUACUUAGCAAUUUAUGACUUUAAGUGGGUAGGAAUGUGGGACCAAAAGUGAGAUUCACUGAUGACAAGAUUAAGUCAGUGAAGUCCAUGGAGAUAGGAUCAUUUAUUCAUUCUCUCAUUCAUUUUUCAGCACUAUUUAUUGAAUAUUAAAUUUUGACCAGAAACUUAAAACUGAAUUUCUGUAGAAUUUUUCUUGUGAUAUCAAAAGACUGCCCUUGUUUUCUGGGAGUUCAGUCAGAUAGGGUAAAGGAAUAGGAAAAUAUAAAUACUAUUUAUGUAUAUCCCUAUAUCAAGGUAAUUAGAAAAUUAUAUUCCAGGAACAGAGAUAGUCUUAUGUAGAGAACUCCUGCCUCUACUUGUAUUUGAAUCUGGGAAACUUUAGUUUGGAGGAGCAAUGAGCUGUUUCAAAGGAAGAAUAGGAACUUGUCAACUUAAAAGGGUAAGAAAUGCAUCCCAGGCAAGGAGAUCAACAUAUGCAAAGGAGUGGAGGUGAGAAGUUUGACAAAUGCAGAGAACCUCAAUAGUUGUUCUGGGCUUUAAGAUCUCCCCUGUAGAGUUUGAGUUGAGGUGUAUAUUCAGGCCUUAUAAGAUCACAAAGGUAGAGUCACAAACAGUUCUCAAGGGCAGAGAAUGAGCUUUGAGGGGAAAGGAGCAAAGGAGGAAGAAAGGUUAGGAGCCCAUGGUAGUUGUUUUGAUGCUGGGUAAUGAGGACCUGAUUCAAGAUGGUGGGGAGGAAAAUGCAUUUAUUUGGGCUGAGGACAGAUUGGGUAUGGGUGGAGAGGGAGAAGACUAAGAUACCUUCCAGGUUUCUGGGACAUUACUUGAACUUGUGGAUUUAGGUGGGGAUUUCAGAUGGGAUAAACAAAUAAUCACAGUUGAUUCUUAUCAUUUACAGUAGUUAUUUCUAUAAAGUUGCCUCAAAUACUGAAUUAUAGACUGUUGAAGUAUUGCUCCUUGGGGAAAUACAGGGUUAGGUUCCUUUGAGUCUCUGGUCACAGCAUUUUCAUCAGUUGAUGGGUACAAAAAUUGUUUUAUGCAUGCUUUUGUUUGAAGACACCUUAUUGAUACACAUUGUUGAUCCAUUAAUUUUGAAGUCAUAGCCAGCAGCACCAUAGCUCAUGCCUGAACAAAACUUAACUAACUUGGGUAUUUUCUCUGUAAAUCACACCAUAGUUUUCAUGUGCUUGGGAAUGCGAGAUAACAUCUGGGCACUACACUGGGUGUGGCAUUUUAACAAGUGACCCCCUUCCUCCAGUGCACCAAAAUGUGAAAAAUGUGGCAAUAAGUAAACUGCAUAGAAGGUACUUUAUUGUAGGAGAACAGAAACAAGAAGGUAAAGUUUCACCUGUUCAACAUCAGCUAAAUGUGUGGGCUGAGCAGCACUCUUGAACAUUUUGCAGUCUUGCAUGUGUCCACAAAUGACUGCAAAAGCACUGGAAUGUUAAUUUUGGGGUUACAAAUAAAUUUUAUUGAGUAGGCAAAGUCACACAUACUACAAAUACACACAAACCGAUUGUGUCUCUUAAAGAGCAUUGCUUUAUUCUACUUCCUGUGCUAUUGAUUGUCAGCUCAAGUUUUUUACCUCUUUGCUCUUGUCUACCAAAGACUAGGAAACAUUAUGAGUUUUAAUUUUGGGGAUACAAACAAACUUUAUGGAAUUGGAAAACCUACAAAUACAGGAUCUACAAGUUAUAAGGAUCCAUUGUAUUCACUUGGGAAAUUUGGCUUUUGAUGUGCCUUUAACAGAUGCAGCUAGUUGGCAUGUUUUAGAAUGAAAGGAGAGACACUCAGCCAGAAAAUAGACAUUUGAGAUACAUUAGCAUUUUAAAGGCUGAAACACUGAAGGUGGAGGAGAUCAUUUCAGGGCCUAAGAAAUUAUUUACAGAGUACAUAUAUGGUAUAAGGAUGGAGAAGCAGGGAAGUAUUGGGAGAGCACAUGUGACUUUGGAGGCACUUGGGAUCUUCAUGAAGUAAGCUUCCACCCGCAUUGAGUCUCUUCAUGUCCUUCAGCAGAAUGUGGUGUAAGUUGGGCUCUGGGUUACGGCCCUGAGAGGGGGCAGGAAGUUGGUACAAGAGGCUUUUAGAAUUAAUGCUUCAAGGAGAACAGGCUCUCCUGGCAGGAGGGCAUGGAUCAGAAUGUGGAAGUUUCUGUGUCUGAUGCUCUAGGCUGCUGUCAUGGGAGGCAAGAGGAAUGUACCAGCAGCACUGUUCCGGAUCCCUGUAUCUCUAUCACACACUCAUACCAACCACCUUGACACAUGGGUCUUCAGAGGGUCACACUUUGGGCCUAGACAUUUUGCCUUGAUGCUUAUUUCUUCAGUUGUAAGUUUCUGACCAACCUCCUACUUUCUCUGCAAACCCCAUAACAUACUCUCCUUGUGCUCACUGGCUUUUUUCUCUUUUUUUUUUUCUUCACCAUAAUCCUACUCCCAGAUAUAGAGGCAAAAAUACUUAGGACAAAAACUGAGUUAGAUUCAGGAUUCAACUGUUAAAUAUUUCUCUCUGUGCUAUGUGUUAGACACUGUGCUUAGAAGCUGGAUAUGAAGUGACAAAUGAACGAGGCAUGGUCCCUGCAGUCCUGCAUCUUACAGUAUAGGACAUAUAAGAGAGGCAGAGGCAAGUUGGAGCCAGGACGUCAGGGGUCCAGUCCUGGUUGUAUUGCUAUUUGUUGAGGUAACAUUGGACAAGCCACUUGUCUUAGAAUCUCUGCUCUCAUUUGCAAAACACCAAGUUUUGAUUUCUAGUUUCCUUUUUUGGCCUUUUGUAGGUGAUUCUAUUAAGCCAGACUCUCUCAUGUUGUUUUACAGGAUGGUGGCAAAUGUUAUUAUCAAGUUGGAUUGUUGUAGGGAAGCAAGUCUUAGUGGAAAUUGCCUAAAUUGCAGAAAACUUUGACCCUCUAGAACUUUGCGUGAGCACAUCCCCUGCAGAAAGUAUUGGAUGAUUGUCAGUCCUUACCAUGCAACUGUUGGACCCUGAAGUAUUUGGAUUCUGUAGAAGGAUUUACUGAACAGAAGAUGCCAGCUUUGGGAAAAGGAUUUGAUAAUACCUUGCACGAUUUACCACCAGCUGGAAAGUGGAUCAACCACUUCUCAUUGUUAUGCUCGGAUUUCACUGAAUGACUCCAUUUGAAAGCCACUGCUGUGCUGUUGUGAACAGUAGCAGGAGCUCAUAUAUUGUUCAGGGUCCCCAAGAACAUCUUAGAGAGGCUAGGAGACCACAUCCAAAAUACAAAAGUUGAGUGGUUUUACCAGAGGCAAAUGCAGCACUAAGUAACUGCAGUAAUUUCUGUAUCAUGACUCUCUCCCCUCUCAGGUACAGAUCUCCUGAAAGCAUGAAAUGAAGCAUGAAUCCAAAUAAAAGUAGUUUUGUAAAUAAAUAUUAGAUAAUCCCCUCAGAGGAGGCUGAUGGUUCCUCCACAGUACAAUGCACAAGUGUGGUUCAGGGUCUCAUUGUCAGCAGAAGGAAGCUUAGAGAGAUGUUACAAACCAAAGUACAUAACACAUGCGAUUAAUGGCUCUGAAAGGAAGAGACAGGAUUUUACAACAUUCUUUUAUGUUUAGUAUAAACAUAUUCCUUCUUAAGAGGGUGUGUUUUUAAGGAAAAAAAAUAUUCCCACCACCAAAGAACCCUUGUUUUGUUUGUUUUAUGGCUAAAGGAUGACUUUGUUUAAAUUAGUAAUCCAUUCUGAUACAUUGAGGGUGGCAGGUGGAAUCCACAGGGUGGGGCAUGGCAUUUGGGCUUGGCAUUGCCCUUGAUUGACUGUGUAAAUGUAGGCAUUAGAAUAAUUUUUUUCUGGCACUUUCCAUGAAUGCAAAGUGCAGACCAAAGUAAUUUUUAUCCCUUUCUCUUUAUCUUAUGUAUUGAUUAAGCAGUUCGAAGAUGGAGAGUUCAAGGGAAAACUCCUUUCUUUUAGUGCAAGCUCACUGGGCAAUUUUUGUGGAGUAUGCCAGUAUAUUUGGAACUGUGACCAUAACUGAACUGAGUUACUAAAAAAUGCUAGGCAUUUAAACUCCUGGGAAUAUUUGAUCAUUAUAAAAUGUGGCCAAAAUUAUAAUGAAAUAACUGCUAAGACUUUUUUGAUUUUAGAAACUCUGGUAACCUACUUGAAAAAGACUGCUCGCUGUCCUAAACUGUUCCAACUUUUGUUCUUUCCUGACCUCUUGCUUCCUCCCUCUGGUUCUCUGCUUGUCUUCUUGCUCUUCUUUACAUACUUACUAAUGUGAAGGAAUCACAAUUUAACUCAAACACUUAGGACCCAAGGAGGCUGUGGGAGUCAGGUGACAAUCUUUUGUUGGAACCUGCAGAAGGAUCAUGUGGCAAUGUUCUCAUCCCCAAGGAAAAGAGGCUUUUGCCAUUCAACAGUUUAACUAAUUAAGAAAGAGCCAGGCACUGAGGGGCAUGUCUAAAGAGAUAGCAAACAAAACCCCCAAAGAAUGUGUUCUCCUAGGAGGCCUGAGAUCUUGAAAAGAGCCUCCUAUCAAAGCUGACACUCAGGAAAUGCUGAGAUGGUGUGGCUUCCAUUAUUAGUGUCAGUUUUAUUUUAAAAAACGUAUGGGGUGUCCAUGAUAAGGUCCAUAUGCAAAACUAGCCCUCUCAUGGCUAGGCAGAUGAGAUCUAAAUUUAAGAAGUUUGAUUGAAAUGGAAACCUCCAUAAAUUGAAAUCGAGUAAUAUAUCUUUCUCAAUUUACUUCACCAAGCUGAGAAAAAUAGAGAGUUGUAAAAUAUUAAAUGAAAGAAUACUCACUCACUUGAAUUUGCUUUUAUUUAUUUAUUUUUCUCUUUCCAUAUUUUUUAGUUGUACAUUAUAGUUAAACAUAAUGGUGGGAUUUGUUGCUACAUAUUCAUAAAUGCACACAACACAGCAAUAUAUUUUGGCCUGUACCGUUGGAUUUGCUUUUCAAGUAGUGGGGAAUUGUUUUUUGAUGUAUUAAUUUAACUUUAAAUAAAAUUUAGUCCCCCUCCCACUUCUUUUCUAAGAAACACACUAAGGUUUAAAUGAUUACCUGUUUUAUGUCCCCUUCACAUAUCUUUCUCAAGCUCUGAUCUUCUUCAGGGCCCCUCUUUUGAGGUAAGUCCUCUUUCCAGGCUCCCCAACAUUUGCAGGCUAAAUAAUCCUCUCUCAUCAGUAGUUCUGUAGCUUUUUGCUGGGCUGCUUUAAGAAUGGGACCCUGGAGCACAUCUCCAAUUAGAUGCUGCUUCCAGCAGGAGGCCUUCUUUGAAGUUAAUGGCCCCUUCUGGGUUUGUCUUAUCUCUUUUGUACUAGUCCUCUUCUCAACACUUGCCCUUCCUUCUUGUAAUUGUCUGCCAACCUCCCCUUUGGCCUGAACUAUAAGGUCCUGGAGGACUAACUCUGUCUUGCUCACUAGCAUUUUUGACCCCUACUAUGAUGGUUGAUUAGUAGGAUUUCACUGCUAAACCAAAAAAUGUGUUGUCUUCAUUGUUUUUGAAGUAAGCAACUUAAAAAAAAGAAAGAAAGAAAGAAAGAAAACCUUGCAUGUUAAGCAAGGUUUAAAUGGAAUUGAUCUCUGAAUUUCAUUCGUAUAAUUUGCAACUAGACCUAACCAUCUGCACAUGGUAACUCUAUUUGCAUUCACAAGAUAGACCCUCUGCCUGGGACUCUCCAACAAUCAGCCAUGGUGAACAGCAACUCAUCCUUUGGCCCUCAGCUUGAAUGAUGCUUACCUUCCUAGUGUUUCUCUCCUCCUGCUCACCCAGCCUAAAACAUCUUUCCCUGAAACAAGCACUUAGCAUGCCCUUUUUCUCCUUCAUCUCACUUAUCCAAAGUGUAGAUUUCUCUUUUAUGGGUUGUCUUUUUAAAAAAAAUAUUUAUUUAUUUUUUAAUUGUAGUCAUACAAUACCUGUAUUUAUAUGUGGUGCUGAGGAUUGAACCCAGGGCCUCGCACAUGCUAGGUGAGCAUUCUAUCACUGAGCCACAGACUAGCCCCUUAUAGGUUAUCUUUUCUACUAGAUUGUAAACUACAUGUGAGCUGAGAAUUUAUACGUUUGGUCCAGUAUGAUAUUUCCAGCACCUAGCACAGUAUCUGGCAUGAACCAAGUAUGCAAAACAUAUUUGGAAAAUUAUUAUAUUUCUUUGCUUUUUAUACUAUAUAAAAGAUACUCUAGGAAUACAUAGAAGAAUAAGACAUUUAUCUCUAACCUUAAAAGGAAGGUUGGCAUCUCUGAUACCUUAACAGAAAAAAGACGUUUAAUGUUAAGGAUGAGGGGGAAAGCAGAGAUCUAGAGGCUAAGUAUGAGAAUGCUCCCUUACUACAACAUAUAUAAUAUUUGUAUAUUUAUUAAACAUUGAUUAAGGAAAUUCAUGAAAGAAAACUAUAUAUUUAUUCACUAAUGCUAUUAAAUGUGUUUACACAUUGCUAAUCGCACUAUUACAUUAUUUUGAGGGAUAGUGGUGUUUACAGUGAGAGAUACAGACUAUUAAUUUUUUUCUAAUUUUAUUUUUAACUGACUAAAAAUUGUAUAUAUUUAUCACGUUCAACAUGUUUUGAAAUAUAUAUUCUUUGUGAAAUGGCUAAAUCAAGCUAACUGACUUUAUACAUUACUUCACAGGCUACAGUUAUCAUAGUCAUCUCUUGAAGUCACUCCUCCUAACUGAUAUUUUUCAGUUUUGGACCAACAGGAGCAUAAAUUGGGUAUCUGCAUACAUAAAUCAGAUCUCUUGCAAAAACAACCUCCAGGUUUUUUGUUGCUGUGUGCCUAGGACUCAGGAUGAAGAAGUCAGGGCUUUAAGAAUGUUGCCCAGAGGAUACAUGGAAAAAGGAUAUUCCAUUCAGAGAUUUGCCAAGUUCUAGUCCUGGUGGCAUUUAAGUAUGCCCCUAAGUUUGGUCUUGUUUUUACAAAUUUUAUUUUCCUCUUCAAGACUCUCUUGUAUUGAUUAUUCUUUUAAUCAUCAGCGGUCGCUCUGGCAUGUGCUCAGUGAUGGUCAUGUUUAAGUCAGGAAGACACUGUUCUCUUCUGUUUGCUUUAAGCGGUGAUAGGCUUAAAGCAAAAGGCAGUAUGGAAAUAAACACUUGAAAGUACAACAAGCCAAGGAAUUAUGUAAUAGGUAAAAAAGCAAACACACAAAUAAUCAAAUGAAUGCAUAAAUAUUCGCUGAGUUUAGCUGCACUGGACAGCAUUGAAAUAAAAAGAAAUACUGACACUCUUCAAAUUUUAACCAGGAAACCCUUAGGUAAAGAGACCUUCUAGGCAAUGAAACUGAUAUGAUGACUAACUUUUAUUUUGAGUUAAAAUAUGCCAGAUACAUCCUAGGUGAUUUAUUAGUAUUAAUUCAUUUUUUAGUCCUUAAACCAGCUGUAAUGGAUGCUGUCGUGUGUCAUACAGCUAUCUGCUUCCAGAACUGAGGUAUCUACACUCCUUCCUCUCCUGGAGAAUUGUCUGCUGACAGCUCAUAACUAAAUCCUUCCGGAGAAAUUGCCCUUGGCAGUAAGGAGCUCCCUCUCCAAGGCUACAUUCUUUCCAGAGACAGCCUUUAUCCAAUGGUGGGUCAAUAUCUCCAUGGGACUAUUCCAGCUUCAGAGUUUUGUGGAAUCAGCUGAAGCUCUGUUGCAAUUGCUUCAUGCUUCAACUUCUUUCUCUUCUCAAUCUCUCUUCUCUCAUUGCCUUCUGGGGAUUUUUCUGACAGCUCACCUGUCCUAAUUUCUAUCUCAGAAUCUGAUUCCUGGGGAAUCAUAUAAAUGACACCAACCUUCUUAUUAUUCCCAUUGUACAGGCAAGGAAACUAGAUAGGAAGGAAGCAUAAUCAGCUCAGUCACACAGGAUCCAGACUUAAGGAAUCUAGGUCCAGAGGCAUGUUCUCAGCCACUGUGCUCUGUCUCAAAUAGGGCAAGGGAAACAUAUGAGCUCUGUAUGUGCCUUCCUCUUGGGCUUAGUCUUCCUUUGUGUCUUUUCACCUUCUCCUAUUUCAGUCACACUGGCUUUCCUUCAGCUUCUUCUACUGGCCAUAAAUGAGUGAGUCAAUUGCUAGGGGUGCAGACAGUGGGGUGGUAUGUUAGGAUCUUGGCUGGAGAUGAUUAGAAUCUAGAAGAGGAAUUUGUUUAUAGCAAGGAGCAUAGGGAGUGAAAGGUUACUGACAUUAUAGUUAAUAAAUAAUAAUAUAUGAAAUGCAAAUCUGAGGGUCUCAGCUUGGGGGCAAAACGUUUUGUACUGAGUGCAGUAUUAAAUUCUUAUUGUGAGGCAUACGGGAAAUGAUGUCUGCAUCCUUUGGAAAUUUGUAAUAGUUUUGGAAAGAGAAAAACACUAUACGAGGAAAAGUGAAAGAAUAAAAAAGUAACAUAAUAUGUAACCCACAGCAAGAUAGUGUGGCAUAUUAUUAAUAUAUUUGUGAGAGUAUGAAAUUAUGGAAUUUACUAUAGAAAAUAUUGACUAUUAAAAGGUUUAUUUUGGUUUUGUGUUGCAUCUUCAUGAAUUGCAAAAAGAGGGAAAAAUAAUUAUUGACAGAAGAGACAGGUAGAAAUCAGUGAGAAGAGAGGCAUCGUCUCACAGCAUUUCUAGGAAAUAAGUACUGUUAUUAGGACUUAUGAGAACAUUGAGAUGCAGAGAGGUGAAGCUCUUACUGGGGCCCAUUCAGCUGGUAAGCCAUUGAGCUAGGAUCUGAACCCAGAGUGUGUGAUAUUAACCUCCAUCUUUUGGAGUACCAGGUUUAUGGUGAUGUGGGAGAUUAGGUGGGUGGGCCAAGGUGUUGACUCAUCUGGGAGAUUUCUGAUAGAUCUGUCGGGCAAUUGAGGGCCUUCAUAAUCGGGGAGAAGCAUGGGUUUGCAAGUCAAGCUAAUGAGAAGUCUAAUUUCAGUUCUAAUCAUUACUGGGAAAGUUGCCUAUUCAUCUUAAGGCUCUGUUUUAUCUAUUGUUAAGUGGGAAUAACCAAACUUAACUGUUAGGGUGCAGUGAAGAUUAUAUAUAACAUAUAAAAAGCACUUCAUAUAGUGCCUAUUGUGAUUUUAGUAGGUACUCCGCUGUUUGGUGUUAAUUGUUUAAGCUAGGAUGGAGAUGUCUGGAGAAGAUGGGAACAGAGAAAAUGGCAUUUCAGGAAGCUAGAGAUGGCUUCAUGGUAUAUGAUGGACUAAAAAAAGGAAGGGUAGAUGCAGAUAAAUACCAAUAAUUAGUAUUUCCUAGUCAUAAAAAGCAGUGUGGUAAAGAGCAUUUAAGUAGGAUAAUGGCUGUUGAGACAGAGGAAGAAGUAAACCUGAGUGACAUCACUAAGUAAGAAUUGACAGGAUUCUGUGAACAAGAGAAGAGACUGGGAAAAAGAGCUAGAUGGGCUGAUGACCAAAAGGCUGAGAAAGGUAGACUGUUGAGGCAAGAAGAUGGGAACCGAAGUAAAGUCCAGUCCUUGGGGGCAUGGCAAUAAAUUCUCAUGUUGAGGUGAAGGUGAAUAGACAUGAAAAAGAUGGGGGAGAGGGGCUGGGGAUGUGGCUCAAGUGGUAGCGCGCUCGCCUGGCGUGCGUGCGGCCCGGGUUCGAUCCUCAGCACCACAUACAAACAAAGAUGUUGUGUCCGCCUAAAACUAAAAUAAAUAAAUAAAUAAAUAUUUAAAAAAAAAGAAAAAAAAAAGAUGGGGGAGAAUUUGAGCAAUAGAAAAGGGAUAAAAGGAAGCCAUGGUUCUACUCAUUUUGAUCUUCAGAAAGUGGGAUUUCUGGCUGUGGGUUUUCCAGCUCAAACUCUGAGGGAAAGAGAUCCAAGAGAAGUGGUUGCCUAGAAUGACUGCCAGCUUUGCAGAAAAGGGAGCUGAAGUCACAGGAAUGGGUGAGGGCAUUGUGCUUAUAAUUCAAAGGACCUUGACAGAUUCAUGCAUGGAGGUCACAUGAUGGUGGAUUCUAUUUUCUUAAAAACCAAAUCCUUUCCUAUUGGGUUCAAUGGAACACUUCCUGUGAAAUCUACCAAUUCAACACUGAACCAGUGAUUUUUUAGCUUUUCACUUUUAGAGGUUGUUUUAGAAUAAAAUUUCCAUCCAUCGUCUCUCUUCUGUUCUUUUGCUUUCAGAGCAGCACAGUAGAAUGCCUUGCUAACACCAAGGGGUUCAAAAGAGCUAUUUCUGUUUUUAAAAAGGGCUUAAUAAGGAAGCAGCUUAUUCUCUCUGAGGAAAAUGAAUUUCAUAGAGGCCAAACGUAUUUCUGUAAAUGGUGAAGGACAAUACUAUUAUGCUCCAAUUAUGCUCUUCAUGAUCAUAGUGUAGAGGCCCACCUGACCUUAUACCAACAGGACAGUAGGAGAAGAAAGAUGCUGUUGCUGAAAGCUCUUAACUCAAUGACAAAUGUCACAAGUAAGCAGUUGCCAAAAAAAAAAAAAUGCUUUAGAAGGUAGGAGCACCAUUUAAGUUUUUUCAGACAUGAAUAGAUGAGUUUGUAAAUUAAGAAACUGUGGGGAGCUGGAAUCAGGGAAUUUGAAAGUAUCAGCCACACUUAGCCAAGUGGCCUUUCUCAGAGUCUAGAAUUUCGUAUGUUCCAAUAACAAAGCCCAAAUCCCUCAGGCAAAAAGUCCUUGGGAAAAAAAUUUAUUAUAGGCUCAUUAGAAGAAGUUAACUCUGAGCUUCUAAAAUGCAUUUCUUUUGCUGAGUAUUGGUGAUAUCUUGUAGAAGCUUUCCCUAGAAUUUACCUACCCUAAGAAUGGUCAAGCCCAAAUUUUAAUUAAGGUCGUCCUUUUCUUUUCUUGUAGACUAAGAAAGUAAUAUGAGGAAUAAAACCCCAGGAGAGCCUCUCCCUAGUCCAUCUGUGACUUGUAAUGUUGUCUAUUAAUGAGUUUUUAAAUAUACAGUGAAAAAAUUAUUUCUGUAUUCAGAAAAAUACAUUAGAGGUGGGAAGAAGGAAGAACUCACGACCAUCCUUAAAAUUCAAUUAGACUGGCUGCAGGCUGGGCAUAAGAUUAACUUGCAUAGUGCUUUUUUUCCUCUUAAAUGCUCCAAUUUUAUUCUCAGCCAUUAAUAUAAAUGUUCAUGCUGAAAGAUCAAUAAAUGCCCUGGAAGCUUUUUUUAAAAUGAAAAAUUUCCUUAUUUAAGGAAACAAAAAUGCAUCCAGGAAGAAAUAAAGUACAGUUUUGUGCUCAUUGAUCAGGCAUAUGCUCAUGCUACCUGUAGCUCUUUUGGAUGAACCUCCCAUAUGAAGAUUUCUAAUUUCUAUUCUCUAACACCUUAUUGCUAUGCUUGACUCUGAAGCAAAAAAUGUAGCUGUGUGGAUUUUUUUUCAUUGAUAAUUGCAAAGCAUGCUGGUCAAGUUUGUGUUGGUGUAAAACACUGAUCUGACAUCUUAAAGGGCCACAUUCCCAGGUAAUGCCAUUAUGCUUCAGUAGUUCCCCAUGAAACCACUGAGUCCUACCCAUCCACCUUCUCUUUGCCAGGGGAAAAGCUCCAAGAUGGCUCAUUUGAUUGUCUAGAUUUUCUUAUGCUUGGGUUAUGUUGGAGUCUAUCUGUCCAAAUGUUUUAUCCAUAGAAUCCCUUUUAAACAAGACAUUUUCUAGGGAGAACUAUGGACAAAGGAACUCAUGAGGGUGGUUGUGGUAUAAAGAGGUGGGGAGAACAGUGCGAAACUUCGCUGACCACAAGGCCAACUGGUGCUAUUCUGUACUACUGCUAUCUGGGAAAGAGGGAAAUGAUUACUUCAUGACUUUCUGUUCAUGAAACAAGAAUAAUGACUUUAACUCUGAAAACAGUCUUACUUCUCAUCCGCUAUUCUAGGAAUGAAUGCUAAAUCUUAUUCUUCCAUCUACCUGUGCAUGUCCCCAAGUCUCUUAUGCCUGAUUAAAUUAACUCAUCUUUACGAGUAACCUGCUCUUCCAAGCUAACAUGAACACCAUUUUCUUUCUUUCAAGGAAAACAAAACAAAACAACAACAACAACAAAACAAACCUGACACAUUUUCUAUUAAGGGGCCAUAUUUUGCAAAAGAUUGAAUAAUUGGAUGCUACUUUUAAAAAAUUCUAGUUCCUUAAAUGUAAGAUGCUUUAAAGUCAUACCCCCCCCCCCAAAUCCCUUUGUUCUGAGCCUAUUCCAUUUCGCCAUACAGAAAGCUGGGCAGUUUUGUUUGCUUCCAGCUUUUGUUUUUCUGAGUUGUUUCUUUUCACUCAUGCCAAACCUAAAGACUUUCCUCUUUUCUUACAAAUUUUUUCAUUUGCAUUGUUGCUGGCUUAGAGGCAACCUCCUAACUACAGAUACUUGCUGUUGAUCUAUGUACUUCAGCAAUUUGGUUAAGCAAUGUUAUUUUCACAAUACUGUUUUGUCCCUUCAAUCACUUAUUUGAUCUAUUUUGAUUUUAUUUCUUUACAGACCUGCAUGUUCUUGUUAAUGUUUCUUUUAAAAUGAAAACAUCCAGAGAUUAUAUGAUGUUUUUCCUAGGUCUUGCUUAAGUUUUUGUGUUUUUAUUUUCAAAAGGAGAAUUUAUAAUUUUAGUUUGUUAAAUACAUUGAUUUGGAAAAUAAGCAGAAUAGUAAUUACUUGUUGAAAAAUUUGUCAAAAACAGAAAAGCAUAAAAAAUUUGGUAUAUACAGUUCCAAAUACUUUUCAUUGUUUCUACAAAUUUAUAUAUCUGUGUCUAUAUCUCUGUCUCUAUCAAUUGCACAUAUAGUUUUAGCAAAUGUAGCACACUGUAUAUAGUUGGUUCUCAUUAUUCACUGGAGUUGUUUUAUAAAAUUUCCGUAAGUACUAAAUUAGUGAAUACUGAACCAGUGUUCCUAGGGGAAAGGCAGAGUGAGGUUCCUAUGAGCCACUAGUCACAACAUUUUCACCAACCAAUCAAUAUAUAACUUUGUACUAUGCAUAAUUCUGUUUAAAGACAACUUAUUCAAUAUAUAUGGGUAAUUCAUUAACAUUGAACUCAUAGCCAACAGCACUGUAACAGAACCCUAAAUAAAGCUUACCUAAUACAAGUAUUUUCUCUGCAAGGCACAUCAUGACUUGCAUUUAAAGACACUAGACAGCACUUCACUAUGAGGCCCCUGGAAAAAGCAAAAUUAAAUACAAAUACAUGGCACUAUGUAGACCAUAAAACAGACAAUAUGAGUGCUGAAACAAGAUGUCAGAGUGCCACCAUGUUCUUCAGUCUCAGAAGGAAUGUGCAUAUUCAUGAAUGACUGAGAAAAAGCAUCAUAAGUAUUGAUUUGAUGAGCAAGUAAAUUUACUUGUGAAAAAUGAGGAUCAACUACAUAUCUUUCUACAAUAUGUUUUUUUCCCUACUCAGCAAUAAUUUAUGGACAUCCUUCCGUAUCAUUGUAUAAGGACUUUAAUUUGUUCAUCCCAUAUUUGUGCUACUGGGCACUGUGUUUAGUGUUAGAAGAGUGGAUUGAACAAAACAAGACAGAAUAUAUGUUCAUAGACCUUAAGCAUAUUGUUAGAAUUUAAGAUGAUGCUAGAUAGUGGUAAGUGCUCUGAAGAAAAAGAAACAAUGUAAGGAGUAGAGAAUGAUCAAGAGAGCAAUUUUCCAUAGAGGUUAUGGAAGACCUUUCUGAUGAGUUGGCAUUUGGACAAGAUUUGAAUGACUUGAAAGAAGCAGUCAAUCAGAGUACAAUGCUAGAAUAGAUUAUGCUUCAAGAAUCCUUACCCUGUCCUGUAGCCAUGGGAGGGAUUCUUUGUAAAAUUGCAGAGUAAAAUAUUUUUACUGCAAUUGGUUAAGACUAUCACCUCUUUCCUUUUUAGUUUCCUCUCUGGCAGUACUUUCUCUUAUAUUGGGUGGUGUCAGCCAUGAGUAUUUUAGGAAAUUGGCCCAAGCAGCAGCAUGCUGGAAAUUGUUUAAAAACUCUAGUUUGUAUCACCUAUAAUUUUCUGUGAUGUAUAUACUCCUAACAUGACCAAUUUCAAAUUGCCAGCAUGAGGUCACAGAAAGUGAAGUUGGGAUAAGAUGUACAGUAGCCCCCCAUUAUGUAGUAUUUCCACCACAUUCAUCAUAUAUAACUUGACAUGUUCCUUUGAUCACUAAGUUUUCUAUCAAUUGAUGGCUAGAAUUAGAGACUUAACGAGACUAAGAUUCAACUUUUUUUUUUUAACCAGACUAUGUUUUAGAUAGUAUCACACACAUCAGGAGGUUUAUAGUAUAAUAGUCUUAAAUAAAUUUAAUUGUUUAUCAACAUGAAGUCAAAGGCCAGACAUAAAUGAUUUAUUGAAAAAUCCAUGUGGAACAAUGACUAUAAAAGCAGUUAAAUCUAGUUUGCAUUUGUGGAGAUGAACCUCAAAAAAUGUUUAUACUAUGACCCUAAUUUUUUCAAGAAAUAACAUUACCAACCACAGGAAUUAAACUCUGGAAUUUUGGCAGUACAAUUAAGUUAUAUGAUGUCAUUUCUAGUCAUUGGUGAAUUGGGGUCCUACUGGAAUAAUUGAGUCUUAUGAUUAAUAUGGGAGAUAAGAGAUUGAAGUUAUGUCUUAUAGAUGACUGAUUUUAUGGUAAAAGAAAGUACUACAUGUAUGACCGUGAUGCUAUAUCGUAAGAAAAACUGAUAAGGCUGCAAUGGAUGAAUUAGUGUCCAUGGGGCAUGUCUUUUCUGGCUUGUAGGGGAUUUCAAGAGUAUAAUUUUUGGACUCAAAAUUUUAGUUCCCAGAUUCUCCAUAUCCCCUUCAUCCUGCGCAAGCCUGAUGUGUUAUUGCCCAAUCCAUCUAUGAUUCUGUUCUCGUCAACAACUCUUAAUCAGACAGUCUUUUAUCCUUUGCCUUCCAGGAUGAGAACCACCACUCCCACUCACCACCCUUCAUCAAAUAUACACAAACCAGCACAUUCUCAUUCCUUUGCUAUCGCAGAUUCCACCAACUUCUGCUGGAAAAGACCAAAUGUCUAAUGUGAGGGACCUCUGAUUUAAUAUGAGAUAAUGGUGCUCAAAGGACAGUGUUCAGUUUCAAGGAAUGGAUGGAUCUGGAAGGAAUGGUGAGAGACCUGAGUGUCUGAGGAAGAGGUCUGGGAUCAUUGAGUGCCGAGGACUGAGACCAAAUAGUGAAUGGACGUCCAACAGAUAAAGGAAGAAGAAUGACUCUCUGCUUCUUUUCUUACUGACUGGAGUCAAGUUUAGAAAACUCUAUGCCAAUUCUGUUAAAAUGUUUAGGGUUCUAUAAACUUCUUAACAUUUCACUCAAGGGACAUAUUUCUCAACCCCAUUUGCUGGUUGGGAAUAUUGUAGAGAGGUGGAGAGAGCAGUGAUGCUGAAAGUCUUCCCACCUGGGCUCCCAGUGACUCUAAGGCUAGUGGAGCACUCUGCAUGACUACUCCCAGAAGCAGGCAUGGAUGAGAGCUUGCCCUUGCACUUGUUGGCUCAGUGUUACCCAUUGUAAAGCCACUUCUCACAGAGUCCCUAAGCAUAAUAGCAGCUUAGCUCUAUUAUAUUUAGAAGUUGAAAUUAAUUUGCAGUGUGUACACUGAUGAUUUGCAGCAUAUUCAUAAUGGCUGGGCCAAUUGGAAGCCCCUCAAAUUAUUCUUUACUGACAAUUAAGCACAGAAUCUGGAGUGCAGGUGUGAGGUGGAUAUGACUGGUCCUCAGCCCAAAGCUCUUCAGAACACUUUCAGCAGUUAUGUGCUUCUCAGCUGGCUUCUGUGUGCAUUACUCUGCUUUGGCAAGGCUGUGCACCAGAGACUAGUAUUCUGACGCCAGUUCUGAGACUAACUGAGCAAUUUUAUUCACAAGUAUAAAGAGCUAGAAAUGCUCUGGGAGCUUAGGUUUCUCAGGAGCAGUCUUGGGCAUUCAUUGCCAAUCAUAUGUAGAGCAGAAAAGGUGAGUUUUCUUUUGUCCUGUUGGGACAAAGACUCUGAGACAAGGUGUGCACUUCAGGAGUUCUAUGGAAUCCAGAUGAAGUUACCCUCUAGGGCUUUGCCAGAAAUCGCACCCUUAUUUGGCUCCUUUUUCUUCUUCCUUCUUCUCCUUCCUUUUUUUCUGUUCCUCUUUCCUUCAUUCCCUUUUUGGUUUCUCCUGAGAAAAGUUCUUAAUCAGUCUCCUGCAAGUGAAUUCUUGCCAGAGGUUCCAAACCUGGGAAACCAGUGUGAGAAAAGGGGCUAUAGUGAGCACUCAAAUAGCAGCUAUGGUACAGGACUGCAUGUCCCCAUCCUCCAGGGUCUCAGGGUCUAGGCAUCAGAACUGUGCUCUGACUUUGGUAAUGCUGUGGUCUACCUGCUGUUUUUUUUUUUGGCUGGGACCAUAGAUCUCUAAGAACUAGGACCCUGAUAGUAUGAUCUGGCCCCAAAAUUCUUUCUUACACUUACCAAUCCCUGUAACUUGGAUUAGAAUCUUCCCUUCCAUUCCCCAACUUCUUAGAAAAAUUUUGCCAUGGAUGGAAAGAGUUCCAGGAAAUACUACUGUUCCUUGACUUGUUCCAAUACAUUUGGCCAUUGCCUAGAGUCUUUGUGGCUGGGGCUACCUGUUGAUUUGGAACAGUGUUGGUGAUUUCCAGAAUCAGGUUUGAGUUGGUUAAAUUCUGGAUAUACUGCCUAGUUGUCAUUGCUGGAUAGAUUUCAGAGACUCAGAGGGUAGAUCUUCCUGUUUAGCCUCCAUCAGGUCAUCCUCGAUAUCCUCCCAGUCAGCUGUGGUAGAACUCCAAGCCUGGUCUCUGAUUAGUGAACACCAGUGGCAGGGACUACAUCUAUGUCAACUGUUAAAUCACCAGCAUCUAUUACAGAACAAAGUUUAGUAAAUAUGUACUGAAUUAAUACAUGGAUGAACACUUAAUUAAGUUAUUGUAUAAGCGUCUAUUAACACCCAAAUCUCUUUGUUGGCAUGUCCUAAACUUUGUUGCUUAUACUUAAGCAAAAUGUAGCAUGUGCCCAACAGGGUGGACAGAGAGUAUCAAGAAAGUGAUGCAUGUAUACAUACGUAUGUGCAUGAUCCUCAAGGCAAUAUAGGACAAGAUGAUGAGUUCUGGGUCAGGCAAACCUUAGAUCAUAUCCCAUUCCAACCACUUAUUCAUAACAAGCACUAAUAGUUACAUGGUGUCAUUACAUGCCAGAGGGUGUCCUGAACAAUUAACAUACUUUAUUGUUUAGCCCUCACUACAACCCUAUGAAGUAGAGAAUAUUAUUGUCAUCCUCAUUUUAGAGAUAAGGAAAUUGAGGUUAAUCUGCUCAACAGGCAAUGGCAGCAAUGGGAUCUGAACUUAGGAGUCUGACACAAGAGGAUGUUUCUUAGUCUCUGUUAUAUUCACUAUUUGAUGCUAGGACUUUGUGAGGGUUGAAUGGGAUAAACGGACAAAGGCUUUAGCAGGAGGUCCAUAGGGGCUCAAUAAAUGCAGGGGGGUGGUGGUGGCAUGCAGAGCACCUUCCUCCUUUUUUUCCUUCAAGGUCGACUUUAUUUUUUAAAUUAAUCUUUUAUUAAUUAUCCCCAGCACCACCAAUAAAAAUAAACAAACAGAAAAUCCCUACCCAAGCCAAUUAUGUCUAAAAAUGACUCACAAUGAUUCUUACCAUCAUCAAAUAUCCCAACCAUGUUUAUAUUUCCCAAUUGUUUUUUACACACUUUUUUCCCCCAAGUAUUUUUUGUGUGAAUUAGGACUAUAAAUGAGGCCCAAACAUUGCAAUACAUUGCUGUGUCUUUUAAGUUCUUUUUAAGCUAUCAGUCUCUUUCUCCACACUUUUCCUUCUAGUAAUUCAAUUGUGAAAGAAGAAGGACAUUUGUCCUGUAGUUCUCCCAGGAACUUCUUCCCCAUUGUGGAUGAUUACAUCCCCAGGGUAGUGUUUAACACAUUUCUGUGUUCCUCCCUGUCCUGCGUAUUGGUAGUUUUCUCUAGAAGCUUGGUUAUAUCAUUUUUGUCUUGGCAAGACUAAUUCAUAGGUCGUAUUGUCUUUUUCCAUCAGGAAGCACGUGUGUUCAGAUGCUUCUCUUUAUAGCAUGCUAUCAGUCAUUGAUGAUUAAGCCCAGAUCCAUUAAUCCAUUAGGGAUGAUAAGUGGUGCUACUCUGUUUAUUAUAUAGGAGAUUUCUACAUAGACAAACUUCCCUAUUCAAUUUUUUGGUUUCUCUGAAUUACAGGAAGACAACAAAUGCUCAAUUCUAUCCCUUUAUCAGUUUUAAGGUAGUGUGUUAUUUCCUAUCAACUCAUGCAUUCAAACUGCCCUCCACUUUUAUUUUAAAUGAGAUGCUCCAAAUCCAUAGAAAAGUUGACAGAAUAUUCCCUUAGCUGGAUGCAUUACUUGUUAAAAUUUUGCCACACCUUCUUUCUUUAAAAAAUAUAUAUAUAAUCACCUGAAAGUAAAUUGCAGAUCUCAUGGCAAUUUACUCCUUAAUACUUCAGCAUGCAUUUCCUAAGAGUAAGGAAAUUUCUACACUAUCACAAUACUAUGAUCACAAGAAAUAAUUUUAAUGUAUAAUAAUAAUCUAUAUUCAUAUUCUGAAAACUUUUUUUAAAAGUUCAUUGAAAGGUCAGGCAUAAUAUCUCAUCAUAUCUGUAUUUUACUUUUUUUGGUUAUUUCCUCUUGCUGGGAUCGGAACGGAGGUUGACCUGAGGCAGAGUUUAUAAUCUUCAGGAGUCUGCCUGGAGGAAAUUGUGUGUAUGUUACACAAGGGAGGCAGGUUACCUACCAUUGCAUCAUGUUGGUUUAUCCCAAUAUUGGUGAUGUAAAACUUGAUUCUUUGGUUAGGUUGAAGUCUGCCAAAUUUUGUAGUAACAAAGGAACGCUUCCCUUUGCUAAGUAAUAAUGUGUGGGAUAUAUUGAAAUCAUUUGAACUUUAUAGUUCUCAAAGGUAUUAAUAUCUAUUUCUGAUCUUUUUUAAAUCAAUUACUGCAUCAGUAACUGUAAAAUGGUGAUUUCCUGAUACUAUUUAUCUGUAGCUGAUAUUCUUCAGUGAAUAAGAGCUUUCCAUACUGCUCUAUGUUUGGAGUAACAAUACAGACUCAUGGAUUCUUUUUUUAAUUCAAUGUAUUGGAAUCCAUUAUCUUCAUUAUUCUUUAUGAUGUUCAUAUUAAUCCAAAUUUGGCCAAUGUGUGCUUCUUCAAGAUGAUUCCUAUAUUCUCUUAGGAUGCCCUCAUUGGUUUCUGAGUGCUUCCUUGCUUUCUGGCACAGCUAGAUAUUCUGCCUUACCUUGUCCCUUAGUUAUUGAAUCAGUAGCUUCCCAAGGAGACCUAGUUCCUUUUUGUAAGUAAAGAUAUUUGGAAACCAUGAUCUAGGGACUAAGUGUGCUUACUGAACUACUGAGAUGUUGUUACUAUAGGCCCUUCCAGUGGGAAAAGCUAAGAGAUAUUUUUUGUUCUUUUUUGUUAAAUCAUAUGUUCACACUCAGCAAUCAUGGGGGUCCUUGCCAUCUCUGAGUCUGUAUGUAUGUCUUCCUUUUCUCAUGGUUAGGAUCUUGGUGUACUCAACAAUGUUAAUAAAUUUGCUCAUACUCUUCCCCAUCAUAUAUACAAGAGUUUUUCAGAAUUAUUACAUCCAUAUCUUUUCAACAAAAAGAUCCAAACUUAGCUUAGCUUAGUGGUACACACCUGUAAUCACAGUGACUGGGGAGGCUGAGGCAGAAAGAUCACAAUUUCAAGGCAGCCUCAGCAAAUUAUUGAGGCCCUAAGCAACUCAAUGAGAUCCUGUCUCAAAAUAAAAAAUAAAGGGGUUGGACAUGCAGUUUAGUAGGUAAACACUGCUUGGGUUCAAUCCCCAGUCUAAAAUGUAAAAAAAUUGUAUUUUGUAUUUUGGUCUUUAGAUUAUCUCCCACAAAGAGAGGGUUUCUCAACCCUGUCUCUAUUGACUUAUAGUCUGGAUAAUUCCUUGUUGUGUGGGCCUGUCCUGUGCAUUAUAGAAUAUUUAACAACAUCCUGGCCUCUAGACACUACAUGCUAGUACCUCUUCCUCCAGUUGUGACAAUCAAAAUGUGUGAAAACAGUCAAAUAUGCCUUGGGCACUGGUGGGAGGUGGGAGCAAAAUCUCCCUCUGUUAAAAACCAUUAUACUAAGAGGGUACAGACAUCCUGACUCCUAUUUUCAAAAGCUACUUGAAUACAUUGAUUUUAGAGUCCUCUUAUAUCAUUGACUUGAUAUUUAGUUAGGUUCAUUUAUUUUAGUUUGUAUUCAGCUUAAGAAUUUGCCUUUUCUUUUAUCAUUUGUAAAAUAAAGUUUAUUUUCUAAAUAAAUGUAACAUCUUCAUAGUUCAAAACAAACAAACAAACAAACAAACAACUCCCCAACUUACUGUACUCAGUAAAGUCUCAUUUCCUUCCCUAUCUCUGCCAGUGGUUUUAAUCUACUAUCUACAAAUAACUAUUUUCAUGAAUUUCUAGCUUAUCUGGCUUACAUACAUCCUAGGACACUAUCGAUUCUCUUUGGAUCUUGAUUUCUCUAUUUAAAAAUAUAUCCUGGAAACCACUCAAAAACAAUUCAAAGAAAUUUUCCUGGCUUUAUUGCAAAUGCUUGGUACUCUUCUGUGUGACUGUUUCAUAGUUGAUUCCAUUAUCUUUGGAAUGGGCAUUUAAUUUAUUUCCUAUAUUUUGCUAACACUACAAAUAAUUCCAUAGUGUGUAACUUGGUCCAUAUGUUGUUUUGGAUUUGUGAGUGUGAUUUGUGGGGUCUUUGAGAUCAAUUCCUAGAAAUAAGAUUGUUAAAUCAAAGGGUAAAUGUGAAUGUAGUUUUGGUACCUCCAUGGGGUUUGCACCAUUCUCUGUUUCUACCAGCAAGACAUGACAGAAUGUGUUGUCAAACUAUGAAUUUGUGCCAAUCUGAUAAGAGAAAAGAAAAGUAUCUCAGUAUAGGGUUAGUGUAGUUUUGACUUGCAGUUUUCUAAUAAUGAAUGGAGUUAACAUCUUUACAUAUGUUUGUAUCCUUUUAUGGUGUGUGUGUGUGUGUGUGUGUGUGUGUGUGUAACAGAAAGAGAGAGAGAGAGAGAGAGAGAGAGAGAGAGAACUGUCUAUACUUGUCUUUUCUUAUUUUCCUUUAUAUUUUUGGUUACUUCUCUCCAGAAAUUUUUAGAGACAUAAUACAUUGAGUAGAUUAAGCUUUUAUCUGUGAUAAAGGAUUCAAAUGUUUUCUCUCAGAUUAUCAUUUCUUUUAAUUUUACACAUGACUUUUUUUUUUCUAUGCUGAGUGCAUUUUUAAAAAUCUAAAAAAUAUAGAUAUGCUUAUAAUUAUAUUUUUCCAUAUCUGGAUUUGAACCACAGUUAGAUUUUCCCCACACCAGGUUUUAAAUAUACCAAAUCAUGUUUUCUUCCACUUUUUAAAUGGUUUCACAUUUAAAUCUCUAAUGCAUUUGGAAUUUAUUCUGGUGUAUGGAUCUAACUUAAUCUUUCUUUAAGAUAGGGUUAUAUUUGCCUCAACACCAUUUAAUGAGUCUUUCCUCUCCCUGUGGAUUUAAGCAUUGCUCUCACCAUCUAUUUGACUCCCUGUUCUGUUCUAUUCUGUGGUCUAUCUGUUUGUAUGAGAACAUCAUGAUUUUUAAACACUGAGACUGUAUAGUGCAUUUUUGUAUUUGGUGAAGCUGGUUCUUUCAUCACUACUUUUUUUUUUUUUUUUAGGCUUUUGCUAGAUAUUCUUGCAUGUUUGGUUUUUAUGUGAAUUUUAGAAUCAACUUGACUGUUGCAGAGAUUUACUGGGCUUUUAUUGGGAUUGCAUUAAAUUUAUAUAUUUACUGGAGGAGAAGUGAUUGACAUCUUCAUAAUGUUGAAUCAUCCUGUCCAAGAGAAAGGGAAGUCUUUACCUUUGAUGAAGUCUACUUCAGUGUCUUCCAGGAGCAUUUCAGAGAUUUAUCAUCUUCCUCAUAUGAAUUUUAUAUUUUCUUCUUAAGUUUAUUCUUAACUAUUUUAUCAUUUUUGUGGCCUUUAUAAAUAAAUUAUGAGUUCUAAUUGAUUGUGGCCUAUAUAUUUGAAAGCUAUUGAUUUUUAUAUGUUGAGAUGCAUCCCAGUAUCUUUAUUAUUUGCUUUUUAUCACUGAAUGGCUAAGAUUUUCCCAGACAUUUCAACAUAUUACCUACAAAUAGCUUUAAUUCUUGUUUUUCAAUUUGUGUGUCUGUUGGAAUUCCCUCCUAACCUAUGCACUCUCCAAUGCUGCCCUGCUGUUAGUAUGAUUCUCAAGCUACCUUUGUAUUUUCCUUUUCCUUGUGAUAUCAGAAUGAAUUCAAGUCUGAUCUACCACAGAUUUGACAACACCCUAGGUGUGGUUUUGGUGGCAGCAUUACCUUAAAAAAAGGAAUGUACCAAUAUAUAUCCCAAUAGGAGUUGUCCUCCUCUUCCUAUGUUAGCUAUGUUCACAUAUGAAUACAUGACCAGUAAAACUCCAUAUCAUGUACACAACUGCAAAAAUUAGAUCCUAAUUAGAAUGUUAUUACUCAUGUAUGUAUAAUAUGUCAAAAUACAUUCUACUGUCAUGUAUAUCAUCUAAAAAGAACAACAAAAGCAAAAAAACUUGUCCUUUUAACCUCCAAACCAGGUCUUCCAUCUCAUUUCUAGGUCUUUCCUGGGUAUUCCUAAACCUUGAUUUUAGCUCUGACUUUUCUUUUUCCCUCCUGCCUUUUUGUCCUAUCAAUUGCUAAUUCAUACAGAUUUUACUUUCUUUUUCCCUUUUCCCUACGUCAUCUGAUUAGUCCACUUGAUAGGUACAAAGGUCCAGAUGCACUGCUUCAGUUGGAGACUUCUGAGGGUCAUACUAGUUUCAGAGUCACAUAUGGGGUGGCUCUGUCCUCUGCUGCAGUGGCAUUUCAACCGAACUUCCCUCCUUCCACCUGGUCCUAACUUCCUCACUGUCUGAAAGAGGUUUCUGAGAAUGUUCCUCAGCAAACUUCUUACACAGACAUCUGACUCUCAGAGGAUGUUUUCUCGAGAUCCCACCCAUGACAUCUCCUUUUCAAUGUUUAUUGGUAGUGUUAUUUCUUACCUAAAGUAUUGCAAAAUCUUUACUGCAAAAUCGGAUCUAUCUGCUCACUGACUCCCCUUCUAUAAUCAAAAUGUUGAAGAAAUAAUUUGUCCUACAAGAUAGCUCUAAUUAGGUUGUUUUCCCUCUAAAACCCUGUGCCGAUCCCCAGACUGUUUAAUUGGUUUCUUACUCCUUAUUGUGACCUUCAGGUUGUCCUAAUUUAGCUCUUACUCUUCCCAUUCGCAUCCUCUAUUUCAGUGGAAGUAUCCUAUACUCCUCUUAGACUUGACUACUAUACUGUAAAAGUUUUUAUACUAUACUGUAAAAUUCCUCCUUCCUAUAUUUGUCUCAAAAUUUCUGUCUUCUAUUCUCUCUCUUUUUAUUUUUAUUUGUAUUUUCUGUGGGCCUGGGGAUUGAACUAAGGGCCUGCUGCAUGCUACGCAGAUGCUUUGCCUCUGAGCUUUGUUCCUAGACUGAUUAGCUCUUCUUUAUAAAAUUCAUACCAUGUUUCAAAGUCCUCUUCAAAUAGCCAUUCUCCAUGAAGAUUUUCUUUAUACUUCAAUCUAAUGUCAUCUCUUCUUCAUUGGUCGUCCCAAUGUACUUUGUGCUUCUCUUUGGUAUCCACUUGAUUCUAUUUACUGUGUUCUUAUUUCUCCUUUUUUACUUCUCUUUCCCAUCCUGCUACCCAAACUGGUAGAGCAAAGUUUUACCUAAAUCCUCUUUGUAUCACUUGAAAUAAUAAGAGUCAUCCUUAAUAUUGUUCAAUAAAUUAUUAAUCAAUUCAAUUGAAUGUGAACUGCCAAUUUGACGUUUGCAUAAAUGCCUUUCAUCUUUCUAGCUUUUCAAGUUUGGAAAGGUGGGAGAGUUUGCCUAAGGUAGAAAAAUAUUUUAUGUUUUUGAUGAAAUCAUAUUUAUUAGCCAAUCUUUUUUUAGUACAGUUUUCAUUGGAAGAAGAUCCUUACGAUUCUUUUAGAAAGUUUCUAAAACUAGGGAUGGAAUGUGGCCCCAUAGGGUGAUGUCCAUGUCCUGUGAGACAUAAGCAGGAUGUCAGGAACUGUCAGGAAUUCCUGAGGGUGGAGAGAAGAACCAUAGGACCAGGUAAUCAGAUGAUGUGAAAUCAUAUCCAUGGUGCAACACGGAACACAGCUGUAGGGCAGGAAUCUGGAACCAACCAUAUGUUUCUUUAUCUCAUUUUUCCAUCUUACAAUGGAGGAGAUGUGAGUUUUAGCUUCCUUAUUCUGUACAAACAACUUUGCCCAUUAUCAAGAUAUAUCUUUCCUUUUUCUUUUUUUCCAUGUACUUUAGCCUCAUUUCAUUAAUUAAUAUCUUUUUCUGAUUGAAUAAGAAUAACAGUGUUUUCCAAAACACUCUUAAUUGAUCUUUGAUUUUACCCAUACCAUUCCAAUUAAAGACAUUGGAAAUAGGGCACUAAUUAAAAAUAAGCUUUAUAAAAUAAUAUUUAUGUAGGCAAUUUGUGGAUGAUGAAAUUGAAUGGGAUAUCAUAUACCUCAAGGUAUAUUUAAAAUUAUAUUUGCCUACUUAUGUCAUUCUAUAUCUCAGAGUAAACUGACUAUAAAUGAUAUAGUACUAGAAAUAUAACUUCUCAUUUUUGGGGUAUGAGGUGGUAUUCUCAAUAAGCAGAGUGUGGUUAUGGUUGGAUAGAACAGUAUAGGGCUGUGCUUUUGUAGAAUCUCUCAUUGAAAGAACUUUGAUUGCUUCAUACACAUUGCCUUGUGAAUCCUUCUAUGUUCUUAGGAGGUGGAUGGAGUUAUUGUCCCCAUUUAACUAAUGGAGGAAUUGGAAAAGAGAGGGCUUGAGCUUCAUAUCUACCAGUCAAUGAUCUAUGUGACCAUGCAAAUAGGACCUACUCAGCCUUCACACACACACACACACACACACACACACACACACACACACACACACACAUAUAUAUAUAUAUAUAUAAUAUUUAGUUGUAGAUAGACACACAAUAUCUUUAUUUAUUUGUAUGUGGUACUGAGUAUCAAACCCAGUGCCUCACACAUACAAGGCAAGUGCUUUACCACUGAGCUACAGCCCCAGCCCCUACCUAGAAUUUUGAUUCUUGAUGCUGUAGCUAUACUUGCAUAAAUGACAUAUCCCUAGUAUGAUAUUAUGCCCUUGUCAUUUUUUUCCUAAUGACUGUGAGUUAUCACAUGGAAACUUUCACAACAAACAUUCCAUAUUAUAAGAUAUUCAUAAUAUUCUGGAUCACUCUAUAAACUUCCACCAAGCCUCUAUUUUUGUAGUAAUCCUACAGGGAUGUGUUUUACCCUAUAGAUUUUAGUCAUCUAACCUACCAGGACUACAGUCACAAUCCUGAUUUGAACCAAUACUAGCCCUGGGCUUGUAUGUCACAAAACCUAUGAACCUUGCUUUGUCGAGUACAGCACUAAUUCAAUCAACAAGCACCGUGUGUGGAGUAAAGCAAGUCAUAACAGGACAGCACUGACAUCAGUAAGAAAUGGCAAUUGACCAAGGAGGGAGGCUUCUAAAAUGCAAUCUGUUAUGGGCAUUAAGAUUUUAUGAAGGAUUUUGAAUAUUCUCAGGGAAAAAAGGCCAUUUAGAUAAUAAAAGAGUAGUUAUUAAAUCCUAUUUCUAAUUCUCUGUCACAGUAGUCUGUGAGAUCGUCUUUCCCUUGCACAGGUCUGAGAGAAGGAACCAAAUAGUAGUGGUAAAUUCAUAAGGUUAAUUUGAUGUGCUGACAAUUCUUAUGGUGAUUCAAUUAAAAUUAAGCUAUGCUUUGUAUAUUUAUAUGGAUAAUACUUUUGUAAUCCUAUUUUAAGGACUAACAGAAGUGGUUAAAGAAAAGAAGUCCCUGAGCAACAUAGCUCAGAAAAUAAAGAGCUCCUCAUUCCCUCUAAAAGGGAAUAAAUAUCUUUUAUAUAUGUAUGGAGUCUUAGCCAAUCAAUGAGUGAGAUAUAUGCAGGCUCUGUGACAAUCAUUAGAAGGUUUGACAUUGCUGCUAAGGAUCUUUUGACAGGAACAACUGAUGAUAAUAAUAGAGGUGAGCCCCACUAGAGAAGGAGGCAUAAAGGCCUCACGGAGGGCAGGACCAGCCCAGAACAGAAGAAAGGGUGCCAACCAGAGCUCCAUUAAUUAUCUCUUAGAAAGUUUUAGGAUCUACAUUUAAAAAAAAUCUAUUUGGUAUGAAGUAAAGAUGAAAAAGUUUUCAGUUUGAUAAUCUCCUUUAUGUCCACAUAUAAACAUUUUCCAAGGAAAAAACUUGAUCACACCCUGUCUGCAAUCCUGUACUUGAGCCUUUAAGAGAACAGAAUAUUUUGGACCUGGCAUUCAUUGGAUCAUUUGUCAUUGUGCCAAAUAAGUUUGGCUUUCAUAGCACUUGAAAAACAUGUUUUGGAGAGUCUGUGUAACAUUCUGGGUGGGGUGGUUUCUAAAAGGCUCAGUCUUAAACACAAAGCAGAGCUGUAAGACCAGUGAUUAGUAUUGAUGCAACAACUUCACAGCUAUGCUGAACAUUCAGAGUGCUAGGAAUUCUCUAAGCCCAUGCUGGGUUGACACAUCUUUCACCAUGUGUUGACAGAACAGAGCUAAACAGUGUGCAUUACACUAUCAAGUCAUGUACAUUUUUAUUCUUAAUCCAAAUAAACUCAGUUUCUGUAAAAAUUAUGUGAUGAUAGAAUUGACGUAUAUUUAUUCAUUAGCUUUUCUCAAAUUAUGAAUACUUAUACAAAUAAAAUAAUAAAUAUAAAGCAAGCAUAAAUAACAAUAAAAUGCAUACCUGUUUUCCAGCUUAAGGUAGAUGAAAGAAAGAAAACUUUUAAAAUUCCUUUGACUCUUGCUAUGAAUUAUUUCUCACUCUCCCUCACUUUAGAAGUAACCUCUAUCUUGACUGUGUUUAUCAUUCUCAUCCUUUUCUUUACUUUUUAUAAACACACACAUAUGUGCAUGCAUGCACACUCCAUAUAUAUAUAUAUAAAACACACACACACAAAGUAGUGUUAGUUUUUACAAGUUUUUCAAAGUUAUAAAUAAAAGUAUAUGUUUUAUACCUUCUUCUGUGAGUUGCUUACUUGUUCAGAAUUUUAUUUUGAGAUUCAUUCACAUUCAUGCAACAUUUCUCUGCUGUACAGAGAAAAGUACUUUUGUCCCUUAGUAUCUCUAGGAGGUUGGUUCUAGGACCCCUGCAGGUGCCAAAAUCUGUGAAUUGUCAGGUCCCUUGUAUAAAUGGUGUAGUAUUUGCAUAUAACCUAUAUAUAUUUCCUGGGUAUACUUUAAAUCAUUUCUAGAUUAGUUAUGUGCUUAAUACAAUGUAAAUGCUAUUUACAUAGUUGUUGUACUGUAUUGCUUAGGGAAUAAUAACAGGAAAAAGUCUGUACGUGAUCAGACACAAUUGUUUUUCCUAAUACUUUCUAUCCACAAUUGGUUGAAUCCACAGGUGUGGAACCCACAGAUAUGUUGAGCCAACUGUCUUCAGUUGUCUAAAUACACCACAAGUUAUCUAUUUAGUCAUCUUUUGACUGACAGCCAGGUUGUUUCUAGGCCAUCAGGGACAUUCUUGAAUAAAUCUCUUUGUUGUUCACACACAAAACUUUCUUUUGGAUGAAGAAAAUGGAGUUACUUGUUGGAGUAAUGUACACAUCUGCAACUGUACUAGAUUAUGUAGAAGUGUUUUCCAAAAUCAGUAAACCAGUUCACACUCCCACUAACUGUAGGUCAAUAUUCCCAUUAUUCUACGAUUCUCCAAACUUCGGGAUAGUUAGACUUUCCAAUUAUUGCUAAUUCAGUGUACAUGAAAUGGUGUCUUGUUGAUUUAGUAUGAUUUUCCCUACUUGCUAAAAAGGUAAGCUUCUGAUUAUGUGUUUAUUGGUCAUUCAUGUUUCUCUUUUGGUUAAAUAUCUGUUUUAUCUGCAUAUUUUAUUAGUAGUUUUUGAUUUUUUUCUUGUCUGUUUUUGGAAGCUUGUUAUAUAUUCUGGAUACAAUUUUUUUUUGGUUAUGUAGUUUUCAAACAUCUCUCCAAUAAUAUUAUCUUUUCAGUUUCUUUUGCAUAGCCUGCUAUUGCUUUAAAAUUUCAACUCAGGUAAAUAAAUCUUCUCAUCUUAGUAUUUAAAGAAAUAAAACUGUAUUAUUUAUGGUAUUCAGAAUUUUUAUUCAAACAUAAGAAUCAGAAAAGGAUAUUUGUGUUAUUUUAAAAGGCAAAUUGGCAAAGAUAUAUUUCCUGCCAGAUUCACAAUCUGGUGAGAUAAUGAGAUCUAGUCUAAAACAAAUGGAAUCCUUUAUUUAUUUAACUGAAUCCUAUUAUCCUUUCAGACAGAUACCUCCCUCCACCCCAAAGUUUGUAAAACAUCCAAAUAGAUCUCUUUCCUUCCAGCAUCUAAUUUCUGGAAAAAAUAGCAUAUACUUGACUCCCCUUUCUUAAGUUACAUAUUCUUUUUCUGAUGAUCUGGCUUCCCCUGCUAUUCACUUAGAAACUUUCAAAGGUCACAGUGACCUUGUAAUUUCCAAAUUGAAUGACCUCUUAUAUAGAAUUGCCAGAUUUAGCAAAUAAAAACAGAAUUUUUAACUAAAUUUAAAUUUCAGAUAAAUGAAGAAUAACUUCUAAGUAUAAAUAUGUCCCCAAUACAUAUCUCAAACAUCUGCCCUUCAACCCUCUCUAAACACAUUCAGUUGAGCACAUAGUGCUAUCAAUGACUCAGUUAUUUACAUGGAUAAUUCCCUUAGUACAUUUGGAAUGCUGGAAUGAAAAAAAGAUAGGGGAAAUUUGGUAUUAUUUUGUGUGAUACCUUGGUGGAACAGUGAGCUAUGAUUACAUUUCUUUCUAAUCAAAUGCUUUUCCACCAGUUUCCAGGCCUGAGAUUUCUCCUCCUUCUGCUAGAUUCUUCCUAGGUAGUACCACUGGGGGAGAAGUUGCCAGUUGACAUUAAUUAUCUUAGUGGGAAGAGUUAGAGUUCCAAAGAAUGGCUCUAACCAAAAGAAUCUGACUCUGGGGGAAAAGAAGAGAAAAAGCUUAGAAGUGGGCCCAUGGGUUCAUCUUCCUCUGUGUCAUGGUCUCAUGUUUCUUCUCUCUCCUCCCCCACACCCAUGAUAUACUUUGGCCCCUCCCCAACUUCUCCUGUCCUUGGGAAGAAAAUGCAAGAGACUCAUAAAUAUAACAGUCAUUCAUUUUGCUCAGCUUGGAAAGUAUGGUUCAUGUGGAAUAUUAAGUUAUAUAUGCAAUAGUAAGACAAUUCUGUCUUCACAAAUAUAUCUUGAUAAUCUAUAUUCAAGUAUGUAUACAUCCACGUUUUGGAAAGUACUUAAGCAUUUCAAGAGGCAGUAAUCUAUUUGAGCAAUAAAGAUAUAUUUAAAAAGUAAGGGUCUAAAAAUGCUUCACUGAACAAAGGAAGGUCAUUUUAAAUGAUGGGUCUUUCUCUUGUCUGACAAGUUGGAAGACUGGUCCCUGUGAAGACAGAGUUUGAGAAAUAAGGAAUGUGGCCUUUCCUCCAAAGACCUCAGAUCUAUAUUAUUAUGGAUCCCAAUUUAUAUAUGUGGAAACUGACAACGUUAAGCAAUUUGCCUAAAGGGACUCAUUGACAAGGGCUGGGAAAAAAAUCUCUGGCUUGUGCUGUAACUAGACUGUGUUGACAGAAGUCAGGCUCAGCAGACUGUUUUGUGAGUGUAAUGUUAGCAUAAUGUUAGCAAACAAUAAAGCAACAUCUGCUACAGACACUCCAGGAAAUCAGGUUUUUAAAAGCACAAAAUGACCUGGGAGAGAGAAGGUAAAUCUGAGAAAGACGAGCCCUAUGGCUGCUAACAUUUUUAUUAGGAACUUGAAGAAACAAAAUGUCCACUCUUCUGAGAGUUACUCAGGGAACAUCCGAGCCACAACAAUUAUUCUGGCACAAAAUAUCUCUAUUCCUUUACUCUCAAUACUCUAGUUUUCUUGUUGUCUGACAGGGACAUAGCUUUACUGAAAUGAGGGGAGGAGAGGGAAGAGUUGUACUCACUUGGAGGGGAUGUCUGUGGAAACAGACUCUGAAAUAAAGAAUAAGCAUGGCCUCAAGGGAGUGGCUUGGAGCAGGUCCCCCUUGAUGUUUCUAUGAAAAAACAAAAGCAGGUCGUUUAGAUCAUUGCUGGACUAUUGAAUUGCUAUCAUUGAAUUUUCACAGUUUGGAUAAAAUACAUAACCAGAUCCUAACACUCGUUGUGAAAACACAUAUGGAAAAUCCUUUUUCAUUUAGAGCAUACGAAUGACCCAGAAGCACUGUUUUGGCCACAAGAAUGUGUCCCUCUGAACAUGACACCAGAGCACCAGAGUGUGGUGUAGCUUCCAUGUAUCACACACAAGGGCUGGGAUUUUUAUUUUGCUUCUCAUUCUUCACAAGGCUCUAUUUUGAAGCACUUAGGAGAGAGGUGAUAUGGGGACAGUAUUGUAUUCAUAAAGAUUUCGAAGAUGUGGAGGUUCCCACGGUUUGACCUAUUUUGCUACUCAUGCAUUAUAUAAUGCAGAAUGUCUCAUGCAUACAGCAGGCUCAUUAACAUUUAAUAUGUUCUUAUGCAUGUGCAUUUACAUGUGUGUAUGUAUACACCCAUCGAUGUUUUGAGGGCAAAGACAUAUUUUUUUUUCCUAGAGGACAAGAUAAAUAAUUUGAAUUUCAUCAAAUAUUGAUGCAUUUUGUUAUAAAAUAAGAUUAUGGUCAGAUAAGUUUAAGAAACUACUUUUCAAAUUGAGAGUUCUUUAGGGAAAGAACAUUAGGCUUUAAAUCCUAGACGAAAACAGGAGUUAUCUGUAUAAAACACAAUGUGCUAAAUUCUAUUAUCAGCAACUUGCUAGUUAUAGGAAAGCUACCCUGGAAGCUUUGUCAGUUCUUCCAGGCCACUAAUACAUUAGUGUACUAAUAGCCUACGAACCGAUACAGCUAUUUAAAGUGCCUAAUUUAUAACUCAGAGUAGGUUAUGUAGCAGUUGAACCUAAUGCAAUAUAGUGCCUUCUCUUGAAUCUAAAAAGCCCUGGACUCGUGUUUCCCUGAGGAAUUAACGGCAUCAAUAGGGGAAUGAGCUUCACCUACUCAUUUCUCAGGCAUUUGUUGAUUCUUUUAUUUGACACAUUUAAAUUAAAUGCCUAUUCUGAGCUAGGCACUGGUUUAUGUGCUGUUAUGGAAUAUUGUAUUAGACAUGCCCUUCUUUUAGGGGCCUAUGUUUUAAUGAGGGAGACAGAAGAAUAAACCAUUACAUAGGCAAACCAAAGAUGAUGUCUUUCAAGACGUUAAAGGAAAGACAAUGGGGCAACUCUAUGUCUGGGGUGUGCUGAGUUCAGGGUGCAAGGGAGCCCUCUGAGGAAACAAUGGAGGAGCAUUGGCAAAUGAAUGGCAAAAAUGAAGAGCUUGGGGAAGGACUACAGAGCCAGGAGUAUUCUGGGCACUUUGAUGGGAGAGGCCUCCUGGAAACACAGUUGGGCCUAAGGAGUGGGUAGGCACCUGGUAGGGGUUGAAGGCAGUGUCCUCCCCAUCUGGUUUUAUGAGGACACUGGACUUUUGAGGAGAAGCCACUGUAUGGCUUGAAGUAGGCCACUGGCCUGAACUAUGUUUUGAAACAUCACUCUGAUUAUUAUCCGGACAAAGCAUUGUCAAGGGGCAGAACCAGAUACAAGGAUUCUAGAGAGAGCUCAGGUGUGCACUAGUGUGAUGGCAAGGGACAUGGAGAGAAAAAACAAACUUUCAAGCACUUGUCUGUGCAGGUACCAUUUGCUGACGUGAAAGGCUGUAGGAGGGGUGCGUCAGCUUCAAGAAGCCUGAGUUCUUUGGGUUAAGUUACAUUUGAGAUGUUGGUGAAACCCUCAGGUUGAGCUCAGUGCUGUGGGGGAGACUAGAGGGCUGUUUAUUGAUCAGUUGGUUUAUUGAUUGGUUGAUCAAUAAACAGUGUGCUGGGGAAAAGUGAGAAUGUCCUUAGCAAAAAUUUGAAAGCCUGAGUCUGGAUUCCUAAAUCAACUUUGUCCUCUCCCUUCUCUUUAAAAUCUUCUCUGAUUUGUCCCUUCUCCCUCCAAAGAGGAGUGCCUGAGGUCAAAGAAUUAGGGUCAAUCUGGACAUGCUUGUAGGCUCUAGUGUAAAAAUACGAUUUCAGCACAACAUCCCCACCCACCCCUUCCAGGGCACCUCUCUGCCAGUCUGGUUUUCUUGAAUCCAUUUUGAAAUACAUUCCAGAGCCAGCUGUCCAAGGAGAGUCCUGGUUGUACUUGUAUUGCUCAUUCCACUCAUCCUUCCAGGAGAACAGGCUAUGUGUUUAUAACAAACCAGUAGAACUUUGGGUGGGAAAUGUUUUUUUUCCCUGUUAUCAGAAUGUAGCCAGACUUAAAGAAGACUGGUUAUCUAUUAGUCAUUUGGUAUUCUAAGCAUGCGGGUGUGCACUCCCCACCUGCCUCUGGCUUGCCUGAAUUGUGAACAAGUUUGUCCCCAGUAGAUUGCCUAAAUGCCAGAGACUUUAUGUUUUUUUGGCAGUUCAACCAGAAAUCCAGUUCUUAGGGCAGAAUAUUAAUAACGUUGAAGAUUCAUAAGGCAUAGAACUGACAUCUUCUAAGAACAUAAUAAUGAAAUAAAGUGAGUGCUUUAAAAAUGAAUAUUACAAAACAAACUCAGAAAGGAAGUUGAUUCUUUAAAGAGUCUUUUAGGGAAAUAAAGCAAAUCCAAAGUGUUUUUAACUCCUUUAAAACAUAUUUCAGGAAUAGUUUUGGUUGAACAUGCUAAAAUUCUUUUUAAAAUUAUAUUUCUCAUUUUCCUUCAAAAUCAAUUUAUUUUAGUGGGAGGGAAAAAAAAAACGAAAAAAACUCAAUGUUUAGAGAGUCACAGAUCUGGGUCAACUCCAGCCUCUGCUACAUUCUAGGUUUAUGACCUUGGAAAGUACUUUGAGUUUUCAUUUCUUCAUCUAAAAAAAAUGGGAAAAUUGUAAUAGCCUCCAGAAAUAUGCAUGUCCUGGACCCAUCAAUUCUACUUCUAGGAAAUCAUCUCAAGGAAAUGAUCAUAGACGUUCACCAAGACCUAUCAAUGAAGAAUGUGCCCUCAUAGCAUUAAAAUAUUGGCAUUGUUUGAGUACAUUGUGCUAAAUCUAUAUAAGGGAAUACCAAGUGGUGAGAAAAUAUUUUUGUAGAAGAAAGUUAAUAAUAUUAAAAUGGUUCAGAAUAUGAUACAAAGUGAAAAUUUAGAAAGUUAUGAAGACUGUGAUUAAUUUGGGUGGAAAACUACUGUUUAUAAACUUACAGAAGAAAGACUGGACAGAUAAACAGAAACAGUGACUAGAUCUAGGUGGUGAGAACUCAAGGAGGUUUAGCCUCUACUCUUUUACGUUUUCCUAAACAUCUUUCAAUGGUAUGUACUAGCUUUAUAUUAUUAGGAAAAUAUUAAAUAGGGGACAUUUGUAAUGACCUUAUGGAUUUGAGUUGAUAAUUAGAUGAUUUAUAAAAAAUAGUUGGCAUUUAAUUGGUAUUUUCAAUUAUGUUUACCCAAUUUAAUAUCUUAUCAUAGGCCUAGCCCUAAAUGAUUUUUUACUUAAAAAAAUAUUGCCCUUUAAUGGAAGAUUUGUCACCAUUAAGGAUAUUCAAAAGAACACACUGCCAGCUGUGAAGGAGAUUUCAAAGGAGUUGUACCUUUGAGCACUGGAAGGGACACUGAAAUAGCAUUUAAACUUAAGAUGACUACUUUAGAGCAUUUAUUUGGACAUAUACAUUUUAGUUUAUUUGUUUAAAAACCUGUCAUUACCAUAUAGCUGCAUUGGGUACAUAGAUAGAUGGAAUAAUAUCUUACUCAAAGCAAGCAAUUAGUCCAUCAUGAUAAAUGCCCCCUGUUCUUCAGGAGGAUAAAAAAGUUGUCUUGUCAGAGCCUCUUGUGUCAUCCCCAAAACACCAUGCACAAGCACUGUGCCUUUCUCCCUCCACCCAAGACACACACACACAGGGGUGGACACACACACACACACACACAGAGGCAUGGCCACCUAUUCAUACACACACAGACAUAUGCACAAAGAUACAUGCAGAGAUGUACCUACCCCCACACACCUAUACACAGGCACACAGAAACACACACACACACAGAGGCAUGGCCACCUAUUCAUACAUAGACAGACAUAUGCACAAAGACACACACAGAGAUGUACCUACCCCCACACACCUAUACACAGGCACACAGAAACACACACACACACACACAGACGCAUGGCCACCUAUUCAUACAUACACAGACACAUGCACAAAGACACACACAGAGAUGUACCUAACCCCCACACCUAUACACAGGCACACAGAAACACACACACACACACAGAAGCAUGGCCACCUAUUCAUACAUACACAGACACAUGCACAAAGACACACACAGAGAUGUACCUACCCCCCACACACCUAUACACAGGCACACAGACACACACACACACACACACACUUCUCCCACUGCUCAUUAUCCUCUCCUUUCUCCCUUCCCUCAGUUGAAUGAGGAGCCCCUCUUUUUCUCUGUAAUCUCUCUUCUAGCAUCUCCCAUGGACUCAGGCAAACAUUGGUUUCCUUAUCUCAUCCUUGCACUGUAGUUCCCUAAGAGAGACUCCACAUUUAGGAGCCUCUCAGAUAUCUGGUUUCUCUAUCUUAACGUUUUCACUGGCCAAUGGGAACAUAAUGCCUCUUUCAGAACUUUGUUGUGGACAUUCCAUUGUGUAAUGGAAGUCGAGUUCCUGGCACAUGCUAGGCACCCAAUAAUUGAAGCUAUUAUUAUGAUUAAUUAUAUUAUUUAUUCACUUUUGUAUCCUCAGGGCCUGGCUCAGUGCCUGAUGAAUGAUGAGUACAAAAUAAAUUUCUGAUGAAUUAAUGAAUUAAUUUGCAAGCUUACAGAAUAAGGCUCUGAAGUGAAAGAAGAAUGUUAUUCUGUAGUGUUUGGGCAACAAACCCACGCACUUCCUCUUCUCAGUACUUUCUCCAAACAACCUGUCUAGUGCCCAUCCUAGGGCACUAUCCUUCCUUGGAAAAAGGAACUGUGAAUAUAUAGAGAGUCUACUGACUGUCAAGUCCAUGUAGAAUGUGGCUUAAUAGGAAUAAGAGGAAAUUUCUGCCUUGACCAUCACCUCACUAGACUACCUGGUUUAUUGCCCUCACACCAGCCUUCCUUAGCCUUGUUAACCUCUUCACUCUCUGUAAAUCCAACAAACAAGCCACAGUCCAGAUGAAAUCAAUCUCAAUGUUAAUUCUGGACUCCAGUAGAUCUGUUAGUUCCAAUGUCUUCACCUCUUUUUGUGUUCACAAAACCUGUUACUGAUUUGCAUUCCACCUCCUAUCUUUCCCUGUACUUCCUUUUAGGAAGAUGUUUGUGAAUUAUUUUAAGCCAGUUGAAUCACACUGAGUUAAGUGCUAUUUUUAAGCUUUUGAGGAACAGUUGAGAAGGAAUGGUUUAGGGAUGUGCAGCAUUUCACAAUAAUAUCCCACAGAAACUUCAACUUACCAAGUUUGCGGUAAAUUUCAGCAUUUUAAGACAAUAGCGGUAUAUGGGUUACUGUUUUCAGAUACCAAAUUCUAAGCCACUCAGCAGCAUGAUGCCAUAUGAAAGCAAGUUGUGUGGUGCAGAAGAAGCUCAAAAGAAGGCCAUCUGCUGCCAGAGAGAGUGCCUUCCUUUCCAAUAUCUUCAGAAUGCACUGUUUCUCUUGCUGUCUCUGCCUGGACACAGAACUUUUCAUUCUUUCCUUUUUUCUGUUUCUUUUUUUGUUCUAAUUUGUUAUACAUGACAGUAGAGUGCAUUUUGACACAUCAUACAUAAUUGGAGUAUAAACUCUUGUUCUUCUAGUUAUACAUGAUGUAUAGUUACACUGGUCAGAUAAUCAUAUAUGCACAUAGGGUAAUAAUGUCUGAUUCAUUCUACUAUUCUGCCUUUUAUCAGAGCCGCUCUUUGUGUCCUGUUAGACUUCCUGUCUUCUAUAAGCAUCCUGUAUUUCAGAGAUUAUGUGGCAUAUCUAGUGUCCUAGGUAGAUCCAGCAGACCUUCCUGAGUAGAGUGCGAGGUGAGAGCUCCCCUGUUGAUCAUUGCACUUUUUCUUAUGGGCCUUUUUUGAACUCCCAGCCCAACCAACACACAUUUCCUCACAAAAGUCCCCACCAGUUCCAAAGUCUUUCCAGACUGGUAAGAACACAUACGUUUGAUCUUAUCUCAACUUUUCUAAACUUUUAUGGUAAUUGUUCUCCUCUCAGUUCUGCUUCCGUUGCUGCCCUGCUCCCUCCUUAUUGCUCACCUUUAUAUGGAAAUCCAUGCCUUCUGGAUCAACCCUACUGUUUUCUUUUGCUAUCUGCCUGUCUUUAUCACACUGGUUCAGAAAAUCAUGCUCAGUAGUGGACAGUACUCAGAGUGCAAACAGCAUGUUUGUUGUUGAUGAUGAAAUAUUCUUUCAUAGCCACAGACUGUGUCUUGCAGUAAUCCAGGUUCUAUAGGUCUUGGGAAAACAAUAGUGGGAUGCUAAAGUUGGUGAAAUCUUAGGUGAUGUCUUUGUUACUAACAAACUGAAAGCUUCGAUAUGGUGUUUAAGCAAUUUCUUCAUUGACAUUUAACCAACUACCUGCCAUGGGUUAGAAGUGAAAAUAAGCCCACAAUAUUCAUCAUGGAUUAUGGAGUUUGGAUAAAUAUAAAGAAUUUUCCAAAAUUCCAAGUUUACUCCAAACUUCAGGGAAAUCACCCCUUCAUGCAUAAGGUAAUAUACAUUGAUAUUUUUAGAGUAAGGGUAUGACAUCUCUCUCUCUCUCUCUCUCUCUCUCUCUCUGUGUGUGUAUGUAUGUUAUGAUGGAAAUACAUAUAUAAUGGGAAUUUGUAAAUAAUGGCAAAAUAUAUUUAUAUAUAAUGAAAAUUAUACUGAUAUAUAAUGGACAUAUAUAUAUAUAUAUAUUCUUCAGACACAUGGAGUAUUGGGAAAUCUAAAACUAAAUUUAAGAGAUGUUGCCAUAAUUACUAAUUCCACAGGGAAGAAGGAUUAUUGCAGUAGUAUUUUUGUCACUUUGUUGCAGUCAUUUCUGCUAAUGAUUCAUAGCAUACCAAUUUAGUGGUUUAUAUUUUAUUCAGACUUAUUCAUAUGGGUAUGUAGAGAGCUAGAAGGAACUGAGAUUUCUUUUUUAAAAUAAGGAACAGUAAGUCACCUUAACUUGUUUUAGGUUAGAUGGCUGAGGUAUUGCAAUCCCAGGUCAUUGGUGUUCCAGGCUUUAGCUCUUUCUAGUGAACUGUGCUGUCUGUAUGAGUUCUUAGCCUUGGAAAUAAUGCAGAGCUGCUAUGCAUCUAGGAAUCACUCUCAGGUUUUGCUUAUCUGAAUAGACAUUGUCACAGGCUUGGUUGAUACCUUCAUAUUUAUGGACGUGUUCUUGUAGGCAGAAUCAACAUGUGCUUGUGUAUAUGGAACACAGUGUAAAGCAGCAAAAUAUGAAAACUUCUGUUCUGCAUAGUUCUNCUUCACCUCUUUUUGUGUUCACAAAACCUGUUACUGAUUUGCAUUCCACCUCCUAUCUUUCCCUGUACUUCCUUUUAGGAAGAUGUUUGUGAAUUAUUUUAAGCCAGUUGAAUCACACUGAGUUAAGUGCUAUUUUUAAGCUUUUGGGGAACUGUUGUGCAGGGAUGGUUUAGGGAUGUGCAGCAUUUCACAAUAAUAUCCCACAGAACCUUUGUUUUCCUGAGUUUGUGGUAGAUUUUAGCAUUUUGAUUCCAUAGCGGUAUAUGGGUUCCUGUUUUCAGAUACCAAAUUCUAAGCCAUUCAGCUGCGUGAUGGGAUAUGGGAGCGGGUUGUGUGGUGUGGGAGAAGUUUGUGUGAAGGCCAUCUGCUGCCAGAGAGAGUGCCUUCCUUUCCAAUAUCUUCAGAAUGCACUGUUUGUGUUUGUGUGUGUGCCUGUGUAUAGGUGUUUUGGUUGUUUGUUUUUUUCUGUUUGUUUUUUUGUUCUUGUUUGUGUGUAUGUAUGACAGUAGAGUGCAUUUUGACACAUCAUACAUAAUUGGAGUAUAGGUUGUUGUUCUUCUGUUUGUGUGUGUGUGUUUCUGUGUGCCUGUGUAUAGUUGUGGUGGUUAGGUACUUCUCUGUGUGUGUAGGGUAAUAAUGUCUGAUUCAUUCUACUAUUCUGCCUUUUAUCAGAGCCGCUCUUUGUGUCCUGUUAGACUUCCUGUCUUCUAUAAGCAUCCUGUAUUUCAGAGAUUAUGUGGCAUAUCUAGUGUCCUAGGUAGAUCCAGCAUGUGUUUGUGUGUGUAUUGCUAGGUGGGCGUUCGUCUGUUUGUGUUUGUGUUUUUUUUUGUGUGCCUUUUUUGAACUCCCAGCCCAACCAACACACAUUUCCUCACAAAAGUCCCCACCAGUUCCAAAGUCUUUCCAGACUGGUAAGAACACAUACGUUUGAUCUUAUCUCAACUUUUCUAAACUUUUAUGGUAAUUGUUCUCCUCUCAGUUCUGCUUCCGUUGCUGCCCUGCUCCCUCCUUAUUGCUCACCUUUGUGUGUAGGUGUGUGGGUUUUGGUUCAUCUCUGUUUUUUUCUUUUUGUAUCUGUCUGUCUUUGUCUGACUGGUUCAGAAAAUCAUGCUCAGUAGUGGCCAUUCCUCUGUGUGUGUGCAGCAUGUUUGUUGUUGAUGAUGAAAUAUUCUUUCAUAGCCACAGACUGUGUCUUUCUGUGUUCCUGUUUCUAUGUGUGUUGGGGUAGGUAUAGUGGGAUGCUAAAGUUGGUGAAAUCUUAGGUGAUGUCUUUGUUACUAACAAACUGAAAGCUUCGAUAUGGUGUUUAAGCAAUUUCUUCAUUGACAUUUAACCAACUACCUGCCAUGGGUUAGAAGUGAAAAUAAGCCCACAAUAUUCAUCAUGGAUUAUGGAGUUUGGAUAAAUAUAAAGAAUUUUCCAAAAUUCCAAGUUUACUCCAAACUUCAGGGAAAUCAUCUCUUCAUGUAUCUUUUUGUAUAUGUUUGUGUUUUUAUGGUUAGGUUGUGAUGUCUCUGUGUGUGUGUGUGUGUGUGUCUCUCUCUGUGUGUGUGUGUCUUUUGUGGUGGGAGUACAUAUAUAAUGGGAAUUUGUAAAUAAUGGCACAGUGUUUUUAUAUAUAAUGAAAAUUAUACUGAUAUAUAAUGGACAUAUAUAUAUAUAUAUAUUCUUCAGGUGCAUGGUGUUUUGGGGAUUCUACAAGUGGCUUUGAGAGAUGUUGCCAUCUUUUUUAUUUUCCUGGGGAAGAGGGGUUAUUUCAGUAGUAUUUUUGUCACUUUGUUGCAGUCAUUUCUGCUAAUGAUUCAUGGUGUACUAAUUUCUUGGUUUGUGUUUUAUUUUGUUUUAUUUAUCUGUGUAUGUAGUGCAGCUAUAUGGUACUGAGAUUUUUUUUUUCAAAUAAGGAACAGUAAGUCACCUUAACUUGUUUUUGUUUAGAUGGCUGCUGUAUUGUAGUCCCAGGUCAUUGGUGUUUUAGGUUUUAGUUCUAUUUUAGUGUCCUUUGCUGUGUUUAUGGGUUCUUCUCCUUUGAAAUAAUGCAGAGCUGCUAUGCAUCUAGGAAUCACUCUCAGGUUUUGCUUAUCUGAAUAGACAUUGUCACAGGCUUGGUUGAUUCCUUCAUAUUUGUGGGUGUGUUCUUUUGGGUAUCCUUAAUGUGUGCUUGUGUAUAUGGAACACAGUGUAAAGCAGCAAAGUGUGAAAUCUUCUGUUCUGCAUAGUUCUAACGCAUCACUAACCUGGCCCCUAGGCUGCAGAGAGUAAGGGCAAUUUUUUUUUAAGUCAACAGUUAUUUGGUGUUAGGCCUAUGAUAAGGUUUUAAGUUGGGUAAACAUGUUUGGGCAUGCCAGUUGUUUGUGAGCUCUGGGAUUCUGGCAGCUGUGCUCUGAGCUUAUAGUCAGAGACAGGUUGCUCACUGUUUUUUUUCAUCUUCUUGUUCUCAUUUGCACUCAUCCUAAGGUCGUUCCAGAUGUUCCUGUCUCUAGUUCAGAUAAUACCUUUCUUCCUGACAGGGAGAAAAAAAAAUUGUGAAGAAUCCUUUCUUGAAUCUUGUAUGUUAUUUACUAUUUUCCUUGUAGUAUCCAGGUAGUGGAUGCCGUUGACCGGUGUUUUGGUUAACGUCAAUGAGUAGAGGGUGAACCUCCUUGAGUUUUUGUUACCUCUGUUUAGUCACUGUUUUUGUUUGAGUAAAUUUGUUUAGUCUUUGUUCUUGUUCCUCAGGCACACUGUGGUUCAUGGACUCCUCUUUUGAACCACCCCGUAAUUUUAUGGAGGGUAGUUUUGCCCCCCUAUUCAUCACAGUUUUCAUAAGAUUUUUUCCUUUUUAUUUUUUCAUUUUUUAGGGCAGUUCAUUACUCUGAAGCACAGGUCUUCCUUUUCUGAUCGAUUUUAAUGUUUUUGUCUUUCUUUUACAAUUAUGAGAAUCUUAAUUUGUAAUAAAAUCACAUGAAUGAGUUGUGGUAAGUUUUUGUCAGGAUUUUGUAUUUCCUUGUUUCGUUUUAGCAUGAUUUACUCAAACUUUGCUUAUUUUUUACUGUUAUGUGGGGGCAUUCUUUAUUGUUAGGUUUUGGUGAUUUCCUUCCCAAAGCUCUCUGCCUUCCGUAGGCUUCGGCUUGGAGGCCUAGGCACCCUGAGCACAGCAAAUUGCAUUAAUAAAUCAUCUUUUUUUCCUAAAACAUAAAAAAGAGGUGUUUCUUCUCAUUUUCUUGCGAUGAUUUUCUUAGGUUUCUAGAGUAUUAAUAUACUGAUUAAGACACGCAGAAGUAGAUUUGGAAAAGAGAAAACAAGGAAGGGUUGAGGAAUGUCAUUUCCCCUGAGGGAAAUGUUUCAAGAACCAGGUGAGGGUUGAGAACUGCUGUUGUUCAGUGAGGAGGGCACUGUGGUUGGGAGCAUUGCUAGGACAGGUGCUCAUCAUAUGCACUAAGAUCACCCAGUAGUAAGCAGGACUGCCCCAGGGUGACACUCUGUAUUGUGGCGGUGGCCAGCCCAGGGAUGAAUUGACAGUGUAAGUUCCAUGAAUGUGGGCGAGAGAUUUGCUUUGCUGUGAGAUUAGUGGUUGCAUAAUAUUGGUUCUGGGUCAUGUAUAUUUCUGGAGGCUGUUAUUAUUUUCCCAUUUUUUUUAUUUUUAAGCAUAGGUGGAAUUGAUAAUAUUCAAGAGCUGAAGAAAUUUAAACUGAUUUUCCUUUCGAAGGUCUUGAAUCUAGAAUGUAUCAGUGGUUGGUUUUGCUUUUCUAAGCAAAGGAAAUUAAAAGUUGAUCUUUUUCUCUUUUAACAUUGAUUUUUUUUUUCUUGUUGCAAAUUAGUGUUUGGUAAUGGGAAAGGAGGUGUAUGGCUGUACUUUUGUUGAGGAAAAAAACUGUACUGCUGAUUAGAGAAAACAAAGCUGAUUGGGAAAGGGGGGUGGGAAAGUUUACAUUAAAUAUGUUUUUUUUUUCUUUUCGGGUGCGAUGGAUUGGUUUUGAAGUACAGUAGUCCCCUUUAUCCAUGGUUUCAUAUUCUGCAGUUUCAAUUACUUGCAGUUGACUGCCAUCUGAGAACAUUAGAUGUAUAGUUUUAGAAAUAAUUUUUGUUUUAAAUUUCGGUUGUUCUGAGUAAUACUGUGAAAUCUUGCAUCAUCUUCUUCUGUCAAGUCAAGGAUGUGGAUUAUUCUUACAUCAGGUGUACCCAGGCUGUAUAUACCUCCUGCCCAUGGGUCAUUUAGUGGCCAUCUCAGGUGUCAAAUGGACAGUUGAGGUGUUUCAGUGUUUGUCUGCAAGUAUUCCUUAGAUAUGACCACAAUGCCUGUCAUCUGCCUCCUUCAUCUCCUCACACAGGUGAUGUCCUCUCUCACAGCAUGUCAAGAAGGGUGAAUGCAGCCAAAUAUGAUAUUUUGAGGAAAAGAGAUCACAUUCACAAAACUUUUAUUAUGGUAUAUUAUUGUAAUUGUUUGAUUUUAUUAUUACUCUUUCCUAUGCUUGAUUUAUAAAUUAUAAAUUAAAUCUAAUCUAAGGCAUGUAUGUAUGGGGAAAACAUUUAUAGUGUUUGGUGCUAUUUUUUGGUUUCAGACAUCCAUUGUGGGUUAUUCUUCCAGAUAUUUGUAUCUAAAAGAAUUUCACAUAUUAAUAUAUUUCAUUUUUUUUCUAUUUAGAAACAGUGUAAUAUUUGUUGAAUCUGAUUCCUCCUUUCAAGUAGGAAUCUGGGUCUCCUAAUGUUCAUAUGGAUUGUCUUUUACAUUGAAUAAUGACCAAGGAAUAGAGUAAAGUUCUAAGUUACUAUUACCCCAGUGACAAAGAUAAAUAUACAAAGUGGGAUGGGUUUUGAAUAUUAUUUUUAAAAAUUAUGUUUUACUUUUAUUAACUAGGUAAACAUACAAAUGGUACACUAUUAAAAAAAAAAUACCCAUGAGAAUUUGAUUUUAUUUCAAUCCCCUUUCUACAACCAUCUAGCUUUUCUCCUCAAAGAAAUCAUCCUUAUAAUGUUAUUUUAUUGUUCCAGUGAUAGUAUUCCAGAAACUUCUUUUAAAAAUAAUCUCUUAAUCUUUCAGUAAUAUUAGGCCAUGAAGCUCAAAAUUUCCUGCCAAGGAAAGCUAUUUGGCCUCUUUUGAGCAAGAAGAAAGAGGAUAACCUCAGAUUUUCUUUAGAACAACCCCCAAAAGCAGGUAGAACCAACUCCCGGUGGGGAAAAUUACAAUUCCAGAUGACUGUGUGAUUUGCCUGCUCAGACAGGUAGUUCCUGGUGGAGCCAGGGUUCCCCACAGCCCCUGGAGCCAGAUUCCUUGCUCCACUCUGCCUACCAUGAGGAGGUGCAACCAUAGGGAUUCUCUGGCACUAGCUAGAAGGUUCCAGAGUGGGUGCAAACUGAUUUUCUUUUUUUGAAAUCAUGCUUCCAAAUAGCUUAUAAAGAGCCCCAAUCCUUGAGUUCCAACAAAAUUUUUGGUGUUUCAAUACAGAAACACACAGGCCCAUAACCCUUUGUGACUUUCCUCAUGUCUUCCUGCCCAGCUCUGAUGGCAGAUUUAAUGGUUGCCACAAUUUCAUAAAUAUAGACUUUUAAGAAGAAGGUUGGGACUUGUUUCUUCUACUCAGCCACAGUGGUAAAAUGUCUUAAGAAAGGAAAGGAUUCAAGGUAGACUUGCUGAAAGAGUUUGAAAAUUGUUCAACAUCAUUAGUGGCUUAGAUCUGCAAAAAUUUUCUUUUUGUCAUCUUUGUCCUCUAUCCCCAGAUGCAUCCCAUGUGGAUGGAUAAUUGCUCUAGUGGCUACAAGCAUGAGGCAUCAGAAGUUGUCACAUGAUCUGUCAAUUACCAGCUACAUUUUUACUUGUUCAAGUUUUCUUUUUUGUACACAUCUUGAUUUGGUUAUAUAUAGUCCAGUUCUUUUAGUUUGACCUUAAUUCGACUUAUAGCAUCUAUUUUAUUUUAUUUCAUUUUAUUUGGUCUCAGGCAUUGAACUAAGGGGCACUUAACCACUGAGCUACAUUCUCAGCCCUCUUUUGUAUUUCAUUCAGAGACAGUAUCCCACCAAGCUGCUUAGUGCCUUGCUAAGUUGCUGAGACUGGUUUGAACUCAUGAUCCUCCUGUCUUAGCCUCCCAAGCCACUGGGAUUAAAGGUGACACCACCGAAUUCAGCUACAGCACCUAUUUUAGAAUCCCUUUUUGGAUGGGGAUGGUCCAAAUUUUCUGAGGUUUUAGAUAGGAGGGCGUAUAAUUUUCCAUUUGUAACACCCUGUCAUAUUGGGUUGUCAUUAAUAACUGGUCUAUAUCAUCCAUAUGCUACUACCUGUCCACUCUCCAAGGGUAAAGUUUUUUUAUUAUUUUUGGUUCAUGUUUUUAGUUUUGAAAAUUGCUGAGGAGAGAAAAAAUAUAUUUUUCUUUCUUUUUUUUUGCGGGGUGUUUAUUGAUUAUUGAAUCCAUAAGUGGUCUGCUCUUUAGCUAGCUCUCUAGUCUUUUUCAUUUUUAUUUUGGGUCAUAGUCUUGUUAAGUUGCUGAGUUUGGCCUGGGGCUUGCAAUCCCUUUUGUUUCACCAAGCAUGUGACACUAUGUCUAGUUAUAAGUAUUCUUUUAAAGGACAUUCUUUUUGAAUGUGGGUUUAUCCAUCAGAGUUCAGGCUUCUUGAAGCUGAUCUGUAGCACUAAACAUUCCUCGCACCUCUGUAGGCACCUACAAAUCAAAGCCUAUAGCUUUUCACGUCUGUAGGUUUUACUUUUUUCCCUUAUUAUAUUUAAAGCGCAGCCAUGUGUUUGACCCAGGUUUGUUUUUUUUAGGAUUAGCAUGAAUAGGCUUUUGAUUUGCUUUGCCAUUGUAUUAGUGUUCAUUUGAGCUCUCUCUUGAAUCUUUGUAUCUGUUUUUGUCCUUUGAUGAUUCUUUUUGCGGGUAAUGCUCCUCAUUGCAAUAUUAAAAGAGAAACUAUGUGUAGCAACUAAUAUGGCUGGAUGUGAUAAAGAAUUUUUCACAGAAAAUUGGGACAGUAGUACAUGGGUAGUCAAGGCUGGGCAACACUGGAGAUACAUCUGUGUGCUUCCAUUGAGGAGUCCUGGGGGAGAGGCAGAGUGUUGUUUCACCACUUGGUUCAGGCCAGUGGCUGUAAUGUGAAAUCUUUGACCUCCACAAAGCAUUAUUUAGAGACAGGACAAAGUAUUUCUAGGCAUGUAGUGGCAGGAGGUUCACAUCUGCUGUUGUGGACUGAAUGUUUGUCCCUCCCCUCCCCCAAUUCACAAGUGUCAAUUCUAACUUGCAAUGUGAUGGUAUUUGCAAGUGGGCCUUUGGGAGAUAAUUAGACCUAGAUUUAGUCACAAGAGUGGGCUUUUCCUGAUGAGUUUAGUGUUCUUAUGAGACGGGAUGGGGAGGCCAGUGCUUUCAUUCUCUCUUUUACAGGAGGGCACAGCAAGAAGACAGCCAUUCACAAGCCAGGAAAGGACCCUGCUAGGCAACUGAAUUGGCAGGCAUCUUGAUCUUGGGCUUUCUAACCUCCAGAACUGUGAGAAAUAGAUUCCUGAUUUUUAAGACACUGGGAUAAUGGUAUUUUGUUAUGGCGCCCAGGUGCUUGCCUACUCUAAUGCCGCUCAGCCACAGAGAUUUUAACGUACCAUUUAAGUCUUUUGCUCAAUUUUGUUGUUCCUUGUCUUAUGAUCUAGGGGGCCUCUCCGGUCAAAGUUCCUUUGGUGAUCAGUGGAGACAACAUUUCCAAGUUCAAGACUUAUGGUAGACUUCCCUAACCAGGAAUAUUUGUUUUCUAUAUUAUUUUCCCUGAUAAUUAUUCAUAGCAAUUAAUCACCAACACUCUCAAAAUUAUUUGAUUUCUUCUUUCUUGUCUGUGCUUCUCUACUGGAAUUUGAGCUCUGUGAAGGUUGGUGUUUAUUUUUCUUUCCUGUGUGAAUCUUCAGCUCCUGGCUCUGUAUUCCUUCCCCAUGAGUGCUAAGUGGAUGAUUAAGUAAGCAACAUUUGUGGGGUGUGAUAAAGGUUAGCAGGUAAGAAGACCUCAAAUUCAUUACUAGCUUGGUCCCUGAAAAGAUCCAAGGAAAGCUCACAUAGGAAUCUGCAAGCAGAUGUUCACAUAGCAGCUUUAUAACCGCCCAACUUGGAAGCAGCCAAGAUGUCCUUCAGUAGAUGAAUGGAGGCACUGUGGCAUAUCCAGACAACAGAAUAUCAUUCAGUGCUAAUAAGAAAUGAACCAUCCAGCCAUGAAAGGAUAUGAAGGACCUGAAUGCAAACUACUGUGUGAAAGAAAGGACUCUAAAAGGUGACAUACUAUAUUUUUCUCACUAUAGAACAUUCUGGAAAAAGUAAACUAUGGAGACUAAAAAAGAUGAAUGGUUCUCAAGGCUUAGAGGAAAGUGAGGAAUGAACAGGUAGAGCACAGAGGAUUUUUAAAGCAGUGAAAAUACUCUGUAUGAUACUAUAAUGGUGGAGGCAGGCUAUUAUUCAAUGUCUAAGACUACAGAAUAUAUACCACCCAGUGAACCCUAAUGUGAACUAUGGACUCUGGGCCAUAAUGAGGCACAAGGUAGUUUCCUCAGUUGUAAAACAUGUACUAGUCUGACAGAGGAUGUUGAUAAUAGAGGGGGUGCUUUGCAUGUGUGAUGGCAGGGGAUAUAAGGAAAAUCUCUGUAUUUUCCUCUCAAUUUUGCUAUCAACUUAUGGCUGCUCUAUCUAAAACCGUGUCUUUUUUUAAAAAGUUAAGGAAUUCUUUGGAUGAUGUUUUUCUUAGGGUGUCUUUUCCAUCCCUCUAUUCUUUGCCUAGAUGAAAUCAAACUACUUUACUUGUUCUGCCUUAAACUGAGCUGUAUAAACUGAUCAUUGAUGAGAAGACUGAGUUAGCAAAAGGGACUCUAGAGAUUUGAAGGACCUUAUUGAAGGAAUUGGGGAACUGCUUAGCCAGAUCAAAUAAAUUAUAAUUUAUACCAAUAAUUCAGAAUCAGAACCCAGAAGAAAUCUAUCACAGACUCAAGAGAUGAUAAUCUCAGGCUUUCCCCUGUUUAGGCAGACUAUAAAAACUAGAAUCAUCAAAAGCUUAUAUGUAGAAAAGAUUUCUUUAAUAGGCAAUUAUGACCUCUAAAUAAUUACUUUGCCUUCUGAUACAAAUUUGCAAGCCAAUAUAAAGAAAACUGGGUACAGUAUAUGUAGAUUUGCAUAAUGUAUUUGAUAAUUUAAUUUUCCGUGGAACAUCCUAGUAAUUUUCUCACUAGGAAAGGAGAAUGAUUAGUCAAAAUUGGGGAACCCAACUUAAAAACAGGAAAUGAAGGGAAUGGUAAAUAGACAAUUUCACUAUGGAGAAAUAAAAAGUUAAUAGUGUUCAAGUUCUUGUUUUAACCAGGUUCUUUAUAAGUGACUUUUGUUCUAGGAUAAAAUAUAGAGCAAACUCUUAAAUUUGUGAGUGACAAAAAUUUUUUUCCGGGGGAGUGGGGAGUGGGGAGUGGGCAGUUUGGAAAGCAAGCUAAAAUGAUAAAUGCAGGAAAUUAACAAAUCUGUAUAAAUGGGAAUAAAAAUAGCAACUAGAACAUUUGAGAGGUUUCUGGUAGCAGCAAAAACUAAUGUUUAUUAAGAGCUUACUUUGUAUCAGCUGCCAUUCUAAGCACUUGGCAACCAUUAUUUUACUUAGCCUUAUAAGCACUGUAUGAAAUCGCUGCAUUAUUAUUUUCAUUUCAUUAAUGAUGGUGAGAGGUUAACUUGCCCAAAUAGUAAAUGGUGGAGCUGAUUUCCCUAGGGAGUCUGACUCAGAACUUAUGUGCCUUACUACUCCCUAUGGGGCCUCAUCAAAUCCAUGGAGGAUGAAAGGAAUAGAAAUCAAGAAAGAAAGAAACUUAAAGAUCUAGAACAUUGCUCAGUGAGGGAACAUGGCUCAAUGAGGGAACUCUUUCAGGAGAAAAGAAACCAAACAAAAACAGAGCACUAGGAAGGGUAUAGAAAAGCCCAAACCAGCACUGUCCUAUUGGCUUAUAAUUAGAACACAUUUGCACCAGCAUUAUGAUUCAUGAAAUAAUCUAACAAAGGAAAUUUAGGAUACAAAAAGGAGUUAGAGCUGAACUCAUUUAGUAACAAAUUGAUGGCCUUAGUUCCUCAGGAGUAAAAGUGGCAGGAUAUAUAAUACCUUUCCCAGUGUGUAACAAAUUAUUAAGAAUGAUUAUUAACAACUCCUAAAGAGAGAAGUGGAUCCAACCCACAAGAGGGAUGUUAGCCAGGGAGGGUAGUCAUGAGCCUCACCCAGCCAAGUUUUUUUUUUUUUUUAAAGGGAGAGCAUACUGAAGUAGUCCAAGGUGUCUUUGAAGUCAGACUCAGGUUCAAAUUCCAGCUGCACAGUUCACUGAAUAGUUACUUAAUCCCCCUGAGCUGUAGUUUUGUCACCUGCCAACUUCACAUAAUACUUCACUGGGCAAAUUGGGUCUGGCACAUAAUUGGUACUCCAAAUAUGUUGGCUGCUAUUAUAAUUAAGAUGACCCCACAUAUGUCUGCUAGAUGUGCUCAAAAGAGCACCUCCCUUCCUCUAGGUUGAAGGAUGUCAGUGUUUCAAUUUUAUCUUACCCUGAACUGCAAUUUUCCAGCUCAACUCUGAACUUGUGUUUAAAUCUCUAUAUACAGAAAAGAAAGUUCUGCACCCUCCCUUGAUAUUCAGAAAACACACAUUUUUGCAGUAGUUUACAUCUUAUUUCUUGAUAACCUUUUCUUCAUAUCUUACAAUUAUAUAGUGAUCUCCAGUAUAUCUCUUCUGAUUUUUUUUUUUUUUUGGUGGCUUGGUUUGUUUCUAAUGAUCCUUUUGUGCCUGUGAUGGGAAGGGAGAUGGACAUCUUGUGUUUCUGAGAGUGAGUUUCUUUGGGACCUUUCUUAUCUCUGGGAUGAAGAACUUCUGGAGACUCCUUUGUACUAUCAGCAUUGACAACUCCACAACGACAAGUCUCAAACCUUUUGCAAUGGAAAUGAGGAGCUGAAUAAAAAGACACACCUGAAUGCAUUUGCUUUGAGUCACAUGUUGCCUAGAACUUCAGAGUUUCUGCCCAUCUUGUUUAAAUCCAACUUGUCAGGUGGUCUGGCCACAAGGAUGAGUGUAACAUGGAGGAACAUUUUGCAUACCUUGUGGUCAGCAGUCCUAGCUGGAGAGUUGCAGCCUGGUGAAUUCAGCUGUAACAGGGCCCAGAAAACUACAACUUAAGAAACAAUUUCCUAAAUUUUAACUUUUUUUUUUUUAUUUUUGAGCAAUGACAGUUGUAUUUAUUUAUUUUUUUAAUUGGCCUUUUAAAAUUGGUGACAGUUUUUUAGAGACCACAGUGAAAAAAGGUGGAAGAUAGAUCUAAGGGAGAAACAGGAAGAAAAAAAUUGCCCAGAACUUUGAAAUUUACAUAUUUCCAUUUCCAUUACAUUUAUAUAGUUUCAAAGAAAUAAAUAGAGCAAUAAUUUUUAAAAAAGGAAGUACUAGCCAAAAAAAAAUUUACAACGGAAAGCAAAGAGUUGAUUAAAAUCUGAGAUUAUGAGAAUCCCUUGGUUAUGUUUGUAAACUGAAGUCCACCUUAAAGACAUAUGUUUUGCUCGAAUUCGGGACCCCCAAAAGACCACCAGAGACCAAGAUCGAUGUAAACAGCAAAGAGGUGUUUAUUGCGAGCUAGCUCGGUCCUCCGCGCGCACACACAGCAACUGGUGACGCUGAGAGGCCCCGAGCCCAGGGUUUGCAGCAGUUUUAUACAUUCUUUGGAGAAGGCAGGGACUUCACAUACAUCAUAGCAUCUCUUAGCAAAUCAUCACACACCGCGGGAAAAUCAAAUAACAACUCUAAAACAUGAUUAGCACAUUCACUGGCAGGAACAAGUUGGGUAGGGGUGAUUGGUUACUACAAGAGGGGUAUUCAUUUGAACUGAUUGGUUUAAGCCAAGAGGGGUGUUUGUGCUGAACUAUGUGGUUUCCCAACACCAUAAACUACUGGGAGGGUCAUCUGGCAUCCCAGGUAUUUCCCUGGCUAAUGCUGAUUGGUGGCUGCUAGGGGGCUGCUAUGGAUCCCCACCUAGCCUGACUGAGUCAGGGACACCUGGUGCAGCAGAUCUCUCCUGUUAUUUGUAGAUAAACAACUUAGCAGGGUGGGAAUGUGCCUAGGAGUGCUCUGUGGGUUUUUCUAAGGACAAAGGUGAUGUCCCUUCCUUGGACAGGCUUUGCUCUGAGGUAGAGGCUGGUUUUUCACAAAGCCUUGAAGAAAUGUAUAAAAUUGAAAACACAUUUACAAUGGGCUCACCCCAUCCUCUUUUCUUUUUGACAUCAGCUUCACAUUUUUUGGCUACAGUCAAAGAAAGGAAUGAAAAGGUCAACGAAGAACAACAUGGUCUCAUUUAAUCUGUAAAACUUGGUGAGGUACAUGGGAUAGCACUGAAGGGAGCCUGGGCCUCCAGGAUGGAGACUCCUUUGAACUGUUGCUCCGGCCUGCCUCAGCAAUGGUUGCCAAGAUGGAUUCUCCUCAGAGAGGCAGUCAACAUCCAUGUUUGCUUUAAAUUAAAAAAGAAAACAAUUGUUUUAAUCAACCAGGUAAAUAAGUCAGAGUUUUAGCAGCAGAUGAAAAUGUGUUUCUUGCAGAGAGAGGCAUGACAGAGGCUGAGAUGUUUGUAUUCAAGUCUUGAGCCUUCAGAGGGUUGCCUUACAUGCUGUCCGCUCUGCAUUAUAUAGUACUGCAUAUGUUUAAUUUUUCCUUAUUCUUCACAAUUAUCAAAGAAAUUGCCAAGCUGGCCCCUGGUGUUGUUUUCCUUGCAUCUAUUUUGCAUUGUUUUUUUUUUUUUUUGAUACUGGAAAUUGAACCCAGGAGUGCUUAACCACUGAGCCACAUCCCCAGACCUUUUUAUUUUUUAUUUUGAGACAGGCUUUCACUAAGUUGUUUAGGGCCUCACUGAGUUGCUGAGGCUCGUUUGAACUUUUUAUCCUCCUGCCUCAGCCUCCAGAGCCAUUGGAAUUACAGGUGUGUGCCACCAUGCCUGCCUAUCUUUGUCAUUUUAAAGUUGGUUUGGAAGCAUAUUAGACAGAAGAAAGAGGUAAAACCAAUAAGAAGGAAGAGGUGUGAAUCUAGACUUUUGUAAAUAACGUAGGUCCUACAUUAUGGGCAAAAACCUUUAUAAAUUGAGGUAAACUUGCCUGAGCAUUUGCAUUAAAACUUUUACAUUCAUUAAAAAAUUAACCUUGCUUUUGGAGAAGAUAAUAUUGCUAAUGUGUAUAGUGAAAGAAGGCUCCAGAAUGACCCCUGGCUGCUACCAUUAGAGUACACCAAGUUUGGGAUGGCAUGCUGGCCCCUGCAACUUAAAUUCAAAUUCCGGUUUCCUUGCUCAACUUGAACAACACACAAAAAUAGCCUUAANGGAAAGAAAGAAGUGUGGGAGAAAGGAAGAGGGUAGAAGGAAAACAACUCUUUCUGAGCAAAAAAUUCAGUCUUUCUUCCAGGUGGAGCUUAAAAGUGUGGACUCUUUGAAAUGAAUUUAGGUUAGGUUAUGAUUAGCUUAUAGCAGAUUUUGUGAUUAUAUUCAUUGAAGAACUCCUUUUAAACCUAAGUGACAUGUACGUGGGGUUAAUGUCACGAGCAGCUUCUCAGCCUUGUCUGGUUACCAGGAGUUCCCUUCCGGAUAUCUGCACUGGACCCCGGACCGCGACGUACGCGAACACCAAGCACGAACUCGAUUGCCUUUUGAAAUGCUGGUUUAUUCGCACACCACACAAAGCAAUACACGAGGUGACUGGCUCACACUGCACGAUCUUACUCUCAGGCGAUGAGAGUUGAUUGUGAGCAAAUACAUGGAGUUUCCCUCGCGCUUAUAUACUCUAUAUGUUUACAACAAACUUGUUUAUGUCUAACUUAUCUAACAUAAGCACACUACCUAGUUACAUCAUCAACUUAUCUAACAUGGGCAUACUAUCUAGUCAUCCUAUAACCAAAACAUGUUUACAACUAAAAAGUCACUUAGUCACUGCAAAGUCCAAAACAAGUCCUUUUGCUGAUUCAUGUUGUUUAUUCAUCCUUGAUGUUUACUCCUGUCAGUUAAACAGGAUGGAAGUCUACAUUUUCAUGCCCCACUCCUUUAUAUCCCUCAAACCAUUGCCAUAUUAUUUAUUUCUCCUUUUGCAAAGGUCCUGGGAAACACAAUUGCCUUUAAGCUCCUGGGCAGCUGUGGGAGUGUGCAUUCCCUUGUCCUUAGGUGCACUGGGAUGGGCAGCUGGUGUGUCCAGGGAAAGCAGCAUUCCACUGAGUUAAGGUCCACACCCAGAACAUACCUUCAGAGUCACUUGAACUGGAGGGAGAAAGAGAUAAGGUAUACUGAAGGAAAAAGAGACCCCUCUGCUCUGCCCACAGGUGUCUCCUUAAUCAGGUAGAGAGUCCAAGGUCUCGCCAUUUUUUUCCCCCUUCUCAUGAAAGAAACACAAUACUUGACCUGCUCCUGUGUCCCUCAGGAUUCAGUGAAGGUUUGGGAGCCAUUUCUUUCUGCAGGGGUUCUUGGCACGCACUCCAAUCCAACUCUGAUUUCCUGACUUACCCCUAAGUGGACUGCUUUUUGCCUUCUUCUGCUGUAACACCAAAUGCUCAUUUUACCACUUUCUCAUCAGUAUCUCUUUAGAGUCUUCCUUGUAGACACUGGACUCCAGCAGUCUUGGAAUCUCUUUCUCUCAUCCUGUCUUGCACUUAGAGGCAAGAUUGUUAAUUGAAUGAGCAAAAACUGUGGGAACUCACAAAGCAUUCUGAAUUCCUGAUUGCCCUGGUAAGCUGCAUUUUGUUGCUCCAGAUAGGCCAAGCCUCACACUUCUUAAAAUAGGAGAACUUUGAAGGGCUUGGGGGUGGGAGUGGGGGAGGAAAACAGUGAUAGAAGUCCUCUUCUGACAAACAAAAUUAAGAGCCUGAAAGGAUCAACAAAUUAAAAUCAUGCUGGGACUCUCUGCUUUGUUGCAAAUUGGGUCUGGACUCAGAGCUGCCCGGGCCUCUAUCAGUAUUGGGAAAUCACAAAUCCAGUUCUGUCAGUUUCUUCAUGUAUUUUUUUUUCUUCAUGUUCUGUGAUAUGGUUGAAGUCACCAAAAUUCUAGUAUGUUCUAAUACUAGUCACUGUGAAAGUUAUUUUUUUUUUUGGUCUUGUUGUUAUUUUUAUUAUGUGCUGCUAGGGAUUGAAACCAGGGCCUUACUAUGCUUUGAAAACUAUUAACUGAGCCUCCUAUAAGAGGAAGAUUCAUCACCCUACAUCUUCUCUUUCUACAUAGCUGUCAAUUCUAUACAUGGACUACCCUACUAAUGUAUCUGUACAUUGUAAAAAAUACACAUAAAAUUAAAAGAGGAAGAUAUAAAAAUAUAAAUAGAAACUCUAAUAUUUUCUUCCCAAGCCAGACUCCAUAAUUGUCACACUUCAUAUGGAUGGUACACUCCAAUUUAGAGGCUGCUAUUACAGACACCAUUUCCUUCCCAUGACUUAAUGAUGUGGACAGAAUCAGAGUUGUCCUCCUUAAACUCUUGGAAUGGGUUUGGGGGAUGUACUGUGACUUUCUUGUUGACUUUUCCAUUAAGUGGGGGUAAUACUGUUAUCUUAGCAUCAUGGAAUUUUAGCUGGAGGAGGGAUCUUAGAGAGGACCUCUAGUCUAGUUCUUACCCAGUGAGGUGGGGAGGUGAGCUAUGAAAAAAACAAUAGAUUCCUUGAUGUGACAGAUAAUCCCUGUUGUUUGCAAAAUUGACCUUUCCCCUUUCCCUUUGAUUUGUUUACCCUCUUGUGAGUGCCCACAUGCUUGAGGGCAGGCUGGACCCCUUUUCAGCCCUAGGGAGUACAACCUGACUAGGUGAAUCAAUUAUGAAGAUUCCGUUCACCUACCUUGCUCAGUGAUUGGGUUCAUGUUUUGGCAUGUGACAUGGUCUGACCAACCUGUUUUGGAAAGUUUCUUUCUCUCUACAAAAAAACAUAACUGGUAAAUAUUCCCUUCCUAGCUCUGGACCUCAUCUUCUCCACAUGACAUGACACUUCAGUUGUGAUCCGAGGGCCAUGGAAGAAGGUUGUGCUCAAGGACAACCUGUCAAUGAGAUGUGGCAGAAUAGAAAGAUGGUUAUAAGUCAUGAAACUGCCAAUUUAAUCAUUCUGGACUUCCAAAACUCUGGGCUUCAUCCUAUGCAAAAUAGUAAAGGCUUUUAUUGUUUAAGCUGGUUGUAGUUGCAUUUUCUAUUAUUUUUACCUAAACUCAUCUUAACUAUACACUUAUCCAGAGAGAUUGAGGGUAGCAAAAAUGAAACAAGAAUCCAGAACUUUAAAAUAAUAGGUUACUGGUUCUUAUUCACAAAUAAUGACUUAAAAGAAUUUAUUCAUCUUGCUCAGUAAGGGCAGUUUCUUUCUUUUCCUUCUGGAGACUUAGCCCUUGCCCAGUUAGAAGGUUCUGAGAAAAUACUAUUAUUUGAUUUUAAGAAUGUUCUGCUUCCUCACUUCCACCGAGUGUUCAACUCUAGUGAUAUCUUGAUGGUUUUCUGGGAAUAUAUAUUUACUUUUUAAUAUUAAACCUCUCAUCCAGGGAUAUCUAGUUAUAAUAUAACUUUCAUCUAGUGGCAAAUAUAAUUUGCCUGUAGAGGCCUGGGCCAACAGUCUCUUGGUGAAUCAGUGGCAAAACACUGAGUGAGGAAUCAGCUUAGUUGUAUGUUCAAACCCAAGCUCCCUCCUCUGCCAGUCCAGGCUGCGUUUGCUGUUGAAGAUGAGCUGGGACACUCAGAAAUAACCCAGGAGUGUAUAAAGGUAAUAGUGGUUUCAAAUCACCCAUAGACACCCAUAGUAAAUGGAAAAGCUUUUGUCAACAUCUUUAAUGGUUUCAGUUGGUAAAUUAUUAACAGAAUAUAUGUGGAGUCCUCAGCAUUUCAAAUACAUUUACUUUCUGGAAGGAAACGUUGGAGAACAGUUUCUCCUGCCAACUCCCAAGCUGCAGGUGUCUCCUUCCUUGUCCCUCCUCCCUCUCUCCCCCAGAUAUGUUUGGAGCCUCCUUCCCUCAUGAAGAAGGCUUCUCCCCACACUGCUGAGGGCUCUUGGUGUAUUGAGCAUGCAUAUCCUUGUUCAGGAUAUCAAAUGAAUAAUUUCCUUUCAUUUGUUCCCUCUUCUCCCAGCAUGAGGGGGAGGAGAUCAUAAUUUGGAAACAAAACAAAAACAACAAACAAACAAACAACAACAACUGGAUUCUAGUACAAGCUCUAGAACUAGCUAACUUAUUACUUGGGUAAAUCAUUUAACUUCCCUUAGCCUGUCAAUCAGGAAUAGUCACACUAUUUAUAUGAUCUGCAUCUCAGAGAUGUCAGAAUCAAGUGACAUAAUCCUCAUGGAUGGGCUAUGAACCUUAUAGUUCUCACUAUUGGGAUUGUUUGUGUUGACAUUUUUCCUUCCCAGGAGGUUGACACACAACCACUCACAUGAUCCAGUUCUGACUGACUCAGGAGGCUGGAAGAACAAGUCCUCAAGUGAGUGGAAUGACCUGCAGGACACAUUUGCUGGAAAAUAGGGUGUGUUGUUGUGUUCACACUAGCAAGCACUGGAGACGUGGAUCCUGCUAUGAUAUUUCACAGCCACAUUUUCUGGGUGGCCUGGCAUCCAGAUAAUGUCUAUAUGUUGGGAAUAGGCAAUAUUCAAGGGAAGAGGGGAAAGGUUCAGAGAGCUAGAGGAAGAGUGGGUGGGAGAGACAGGUUACACUUUGGCAAGAUUUUAUAAAAGAUCAUCAACUAUUGCAUUGUUUUAAUGUAGGACGGGAGACACUCUCCUGAGUUAGAAUACAAUAAAAUAUAUGGGACAAUUUAUGUAUUUGCCCUAAAAUUUUCCUCAUCAGUUAAAUAGACUUGAGAGUUUCUGUGAGUUAUAUGAGAUAACUCAAAAUAACUAGCACAUGAUGAUAAUGUUAUAUGUUUGUACAAACAUGUGAGUGCAUGUGAGCAUGUGUGUGCUUUACCACACCCAAUUUCUGCUCUGUUCAGUGGCUAUGCUUUCCACUGAUCACCCACUGAUCACAUGAAAAGCACACCAUCCAUGCAAGGCAGUACACUGUCAAGGUGCUUAGAGUCCAGUCAAGAACCAGAAGACGAGGGUACUGAAGAUGGGAAGAAUGCAGAGACUCAAUCAAUAAAGAUGCCGGUAUAGAUCAUUAUUGACUUUGGAUGCUGAGAAAAGUAUGAAUUCCUUGAAACCUGAAAAAUUUACAAACGUUGUACUUCCUACGCAGUGUCAUGAAGAGUGACUUUAUUUUGAGUUGGGGAAGAAAUUCCAGGUGUAGGAGCCACAAGAGUAAAGGCAUGCUGAGGAAAGAGGAAAAAGCUGAUACUGGCUAGAAUGGCCGUCCAGGGAACAGGCUGGAUAGAAGGGUAGUGUCAAGCAUUCUUCUCAUGAGUGCUGCCAUCAGCUCCAACACUGAUAGGGGUUAUCAGUCCCUGCUGAGGAAUUCUUUCAAUGCCUGGGGACACUCCAUUAACUGCUGAUAAACAGCACAACUUGCUCUUUCUCUUUGUAAAGAAUUACCUGUUGAUUGACAUCUACUGGGAUGUUUUGUGUGCUAGGCAUCAAGGAAGAUUAUGAAGAAUGUAGAGCCUUUGCAAGAUAUGUGGCCAGGAAAAGAUCAUUCUAAUAACAAAGGAUAACAUGCCUAUGUAAAUAGAAGAAAUAUAGAAUAAAAGAGCAGCACACUUUAACGCAGAACAAAACCUAGCAUGAUACAAAUAGAAAAGUGUGACAUGCCCUUUAUUGAUGAAGAAGGGGUUGUUGUUAGGUUAGAGUGUGUGCAGAGCAAGGUUUGGAAAACCUGAAGUCAUGAUUUGACUGUGCUUCGCCUGAUGCACCAGAGGCCCUCUUAGUCCUGGGGAGCAGUCAGCACACCACAGUAUUUCCUGUUUGCCUAUUAGAUUGCCCAUCAAAGCAGUGAUGAUGUGUUCAGCAUGUUUUGCUUAAUCCUCUUCUUCAUAUUCUUUUUUUAUUCAUGGAUUAUGUGUCUACACUUAUUUCUCCACAAAUUGACCCUUAGUAUUAGUUGAACAAUCUUGAUAUAAUUGAAUAAUUUCUCCCUUAUUUGCUGACAAUUAUUUCUUGUUCAGCAAAACUUUUAGAAAGUUCUAGAACACAACCCCUGGGUGUUCCCUGCUUCUUGCUGAGUGUUGGGGUCAUCAAAACCUCAAGUUUAUUGCAGCUGCAAUUUAGUAUACAAUGGGGAAAUAUAAAUUUGGAUGCUAAAAAAGAUGGUGCUACUCUUGGAAAAUGGGUUUAAAUCAUAGCUAUCUGAGGUUUUUCUGUCUCAUAAACACAGCUGAUAGAACCAAAAGAAGCCAACUGCUUCUGGUUAGAUACCUGCCAAGUCUCUAGGAAGGUGAGGAGCCAAGGAUGAUGGGGGUGGCUAAGGUGAGAGCUCCUUUGGGGUCCUUGAGAGCAACAACUGUGUCCCUUAUUCUUCUGGCCUAGUACAGCGUUGAACACACUGUAAAUAUUCACCUGGAGCUUUGUGUGCAAAUAAUAAAUGAAUAAACUGUAAAAGAGUUUCAUGGAAAAGAAAUAGCUUCUAGCAGAACCAUAGUGUUCUGAGGCUUAGUUUCUAGGUUUAGUGGAACAUCAUUGUGGAACUGUAUUGUCCCUGAAUUGAUCAUAGGUUUUAGUAAUUUUAUGUUUUCUUUGGAAUAAAAACCACUAUUAGAAGCAUGAAAUCACUAAGUACCUGUGCAGGUUUCCUGAAGAAAUAUUAUUGGUGAUUGUAUUGAUGGUUUCUGUCCCUAGAAUUUUCUUUUCUUAGACCUCUUGUCACUAAUACUAUAGUUAAUUUUAAAAUACUUAAGAAUUUCAGUGUUUAAAUUUUACAUGUAAAUUAUAGCAUUUAACACUUAAGCAUUCAAAAUCCAUGCCUAUUCACUUUCUAAAUAAAAUACACAUAAUUUCUUACAGGGCUAAAUAGAAGAAAAUAUUACACAGAUGAAAAUCAACAUUGUAACUCUGUCAUAAUAAUAUCCUUGGUUCUAUCCUUAUUUUUAAGAAAAAGAAAAAAGAAAAGAAAGCUGUGUUUGUCUUAUAGUCUCAGUAAGAACGGGUUGUAGAUACAGAUGUCUUCUUGAUAACAGAGGGUUCAUACUUUAUGUCAUUCAACUGUUUUUUUCCUCUCUCUUUUCUAAUAACCAAAGUACAGAACAAAACAGAAGCCCCAAACAAAAAUGAACAGACACCAAAAUGGUGUUGCGCAUCUGUAAUCCCAGUGACUCAGGAGAACAAGACAGGAUGACCACAAGUUCAAGGAUCACCUAGCAACUUAGUGAGACCCUGCCUCAAAAUAAAAAGGACUGGGGAUGUAUCGCAAUGGUAGAGCAUCCUGGGUUCAAUCCUCUGCAUUGCAAAAACAAAUAAAUAACAAACAAACCAAAACAAGUACAACAAUAGCAUCAUCAAUAAACAAUGAACAAAAAAAUUUAGGUGGGAUGAUACAAAAAUUAGAUCAGCAAAUGAGAUUUUGGAACUCCAUAUGGAUUAUAUAAUUCUAGAAAAGAUGUUUUAUGUAUUGCUAUGAAAGGAAAGUGGGAGACAGAAGAAAAAAGAAGAGAGGAGGAAAAGUAAAAAGAAAGAAAAAACUCUGUGUCAUAACUAGUGUUUCCCAGCAGGGCACUGUUACCAUUUGGGAUAAGUGGUUAACCACAUUUUAUAAAUACAAUGAGGAAUUUUGAUAGGGACUUAAUUUGGGUUGAACCUUCCUUGAUUAAUUGUACAUUUUAUUUCUAUUUCCAAAAUUCCUAAUGUUUUAAACUUUUUAUUUUUUGAAAGAGGAUUUCUUCCUGUUACAGUUUAUAAAUGUCUCAAAGUGUGGGUGUAUAGCAAACCAUUCCAAAUUUACCCUCAAGGAAGCAUUCUUUACUUUUAGACUGUUCUGGUUCUCCAUUUGACUUUUGCAUAGGAAUCCUUAGCGCAUCUGCUCUUCUGCCUCUAAACUCACUCUCCUGGGUGAACUAAUUAAUUCUCAUGGCUUCAGUUGUUGUUGUUGACCUAGUUUUUAUACCCAUUGCUGACAUUUCAACUAUGCUCAGUCCAAUGUCUUAUGGAGUGAGAAAUCUGUUUUCCUUAUUUAAGAAAAAUGUGAUAAAAACUGAAUUCACCUAUAUCUCUUUUGCAACAUCAGUGAUGCUAUCAUUUGUUAAUUUCUUAAUUUCACAAAUAUUUGAUUGCCUAAUACAUACCUAUUAUGCUAAAUUUUAGUGAUACAAUGGAGACCAAACAGGCAAAGUCCUGGCUCUCAUAAUAUAAUAGUCUAAGAAUAGAUAGAGAUUAGAAAAAAUAAUCCCACAACUGUUUGAUGAUUAACAGAGAUAAUGGCCAUGGUCAAAACUGCAGGUUACACGAGUAUGUGAUAUAAAUUGUACUCACUUAUUCUGAUGGUCAAAAUUCAUUUUUUAAAGGUACGCUCUUACAUUGCUGGUGGGACCACAAAUUGGUGCAACCCCAGAGUGGUUGGAGUAUGGAGUAUGGAGAUUCCUCAGAAAACUUGGAAUUAAAUCACCAUUUGACUCAGUUAUCCCACUCCUCGGCAUAUACCCAAAGGACUUAAAAUCAGCAUACUACAGUGAUGUGGCCACGUCAGUGUUUAUAGCAGCUCAAUUCAUAAUACCUAAACUGUGAAAUCAAUCUAAGUUCCCUUCAACAGAUGAAUGGAUAAAGAAAAUGUGGUAUAUGUACACAGUGAAAUAUUCCUCAGCUCUAAAGAAUGAAAUAAUGAUAUUUGCUGGUAAAUGGAUGGAACUAGAGAUUAUCAUGUUAAGUGAAAUAAACCAAUCCCCCCAAAACAAAGGCUGCAUGUGGAGAUACUUAAUAAGGUAGGGUGGGGAGAGGGAAGAAUAGAAAUUCAUUGGAUUAGAUAAAGGGGAAUAAAGGGAAGGGAGAAGGGAUGGGAAUAGGAAAGACAGUAGAAUGAAUCAGACAUAACUUCCCUAUGUUCACAUAUGAAUACACAAUCAAUGUAACUGUACAUCAUGUACAACCACAAGAAUGGGGUAUUCUAAAUUAUACUGUACGUAUGUAUGUAUAAUGUCAAAAUAAAUUCUACUGUCAUCUGCAUCUAAAAAGAACAAAUAAAAAAUUCAUUGUCUGGACUGA
RNAcentral lists this long non-coding RNA (96002 nucleotides) under Marmota monax (woodchuck). Lineage: Eukaryota; Metazoa; Chordata; Mammalia; Rodentia; Sciuridae. The record is from RNAcentral.